GGGGCAAACCAUCUUUUUCAAAAUUUUGAAUAUUAGCAUGCCAUCAAAAAGAAUUUUGUUCAAUCCCAAUCCCACAUUGUCUGUAGAAGUAUUUACUUUUGACUGUACACUUUGUUAUUUUCCAAUCCCUCCCCAGUUCUGCAACCAUUUCUCUACUUUCUAUGCUCUUGGCUUGCUAAAAACUUUUAUCCUUGAUUGUAGUUAGAAAUAAAUUGGUUUUCUAGGAAGAGAUUAUUGAUUGGGAUAUAAUAUUUAAGUUGGUUCUUCAUCAUUUAAUGUUAUAAUUUAAAAUAAUUGAUGAAAAUUACUGUACACAAAAAAGUUGUGAGAACAUCCUUAAUUAGUCUAAUAAGUAAAGUGUUGUUAGUUUUGACUAUAAGAUCUUGUUAUGUAUUAUUGCAUAGUUUUUACUAUUUUUUCGGUAUUUUUUCUUUUUUAUAUACAACUUUUAUUUUUCUUGCCAGUUUGUCAUGGCACCAACACCAAUUAAUAAUAAAUCUUAGACUAUUAUUAAAUAAAGAAAAAACAUAAACAUGGUUAAAAUACCAAACUUGAAUUGCUCAAACCUAAAGAAACCCUAUGACAAUAAUCUAAUUUAGAAAAUAAUUAAUUUAUCCUUGUAGUCCAAGAAAAUAGUAUUUAAUUCUUAUGUUUUCAUAUUCAUAUAUGAUUUAAUGUGUUGAUUGAAAUUGUCAAUGGAGUUUACUCACAUAUUGUUAUAUUGAUUUUGAGUUCAAAUAGAUGUUUAAAAAGAGAGUUUUUUCAUGAAUGCAACCCUUCAUGUAGUCCAAGAAAAUUAGAAGAAUUAAUAAGUUUGCGGACUUAAUUAAACUUUGAGUUAAUUAAUCAAAUAAAUUCAGGGAUUUAAUUAAAAUUAACCUAAGGGCACAAUUAGAAAUCAAUUAUUACUGAUUAGGAUCCCAAUUGUUGAGAUUAAAUUGAUUAGGGGUCAAAGUGAAUAUUUCCAUUCCUGUCGAAAUGACACCGUGGUUGGGGAACAGUCGUGUAUCUUCUUCAUUCCGAUUCAACAGGGAAGCUGGAAAAUCGGCAGUAAAACCGACCCAAUCGUGACCACGUUCUCUGCCCACAAUCCCGUUCGUGGAGGGAUAACAGUCCUGCAAAGCCAGGACUGGUUUGAGGGGCAAGCUCUUAGGGGCCUUAUAAAAGGCAGAGUAGAGCAGAAAAAGGGAGGGGAAGAACACCGGGAAAAGACCAGAGAGCCGAAAAAUCAACCCAGAAAAACAGAGUUGAAAAAAAAAAGGGCAGAGAAAACAGAGCACAAAUCCAAAUACAGAGAGAAAGAGAGAACAAGAGGGCAGGACACAGUGAGGAGAAUUAUCCUUGAAAUUGUCUUCGGACCUGCAAACAAAGAAAAACCCGGAUUCAGCCAAAGAACACUCACAACAAGCCGGAAUCUUCUUUGUAGCUGUCACACCCGGACAUCGCGGCGACCAAUUAAAAAUUAUUAAAUCUUUGGAAAAGAACGGAUUUCUGGCAUCCUGUUCUUUAAUGGGGAAUGGUCUUUGUUUAAGGAGUCGCCACCUAGUAUUAUGGUCACUAGGAACACUAACUGGUCAACAGAGAUUCUAUGGUUCGAGACUGGUUACGUAAAAGGGAAGAUAUUAUCACCCCUUAAACGUCCUGCCUAAGGCAGGCUGCAUUGCUAGUUUCGUCUUAAAUUGCUAAAUGUUUAUUACUUUAUGCUAUGAAAAUUUGCUUAUAAUAUUCCUGACUCUGGCGCCAGUGAAUAUUCAACUAUGAAUAUUUCCAACUCUGGCGUUGGUAAAUAUUACGUAGCUAUAAAAUAAAUUAGAUCAAUAUUUUAUUUUAUUCCCGACUCUGGCGCCAGUGAAUAAAUAAAUAAUAAUAAAUUUAUUUUUUACAAAUGCAAAUAUUUUUUAUAUUUCUAGCUAAAUAAAAUAAAAUACAAUGAAUAAAAAUAAUAUAAAUUUAAACCGGUAUUUUUAUUCCUGACUCUGACGUCAGUGAAUAAACCAAUAAAUUUACAUUAUUUUUAUUCAUGCAUACACAUUUUUAUUUUUUUAUUUUUUCUGUUUUUUUAUAUAUGUUUAUUUUUUUUUUUUUAAAGGACUAAGCUUCACACGUGUAUGCAAAAGUAGUGAAUUAAAUUUGCCUAUGUACAGUACCCAUGCCCGACACCCCACGUGAAUAAAAAAAAAAAGAAAAAAAAAAAAAAGAAUUGCAAAGCAAAGGGAAAUGAAGAACUUACCUGUGCAGGAGGCGAAGUCGAAGACGGUGGCGAAGGUGUGCUGAAUUGCCAAAGCUACCUUCUCUCCUUCUCUGUUUUUAUUCUUCGUCCGCUUCUCCUCUGGUUUUGCUUUUCUUUGCUUUGAUUGCUUCUCUUAUUCUUCCUGUCUCCCCCCUGUGUUUGCUUGUUCUCAGUUCGCUUGUGUUUUCUUUUUUAUAUGUUGUUCAGGGAAUGGAGGAGCUGGUGUAAGUGGAGACAAAGCAGCUGAUGCCUGAGAGGGCGUUGUACUGCUGCUGGAGCUGGAAGAGGCGCGCGUUGCUGGUUGCUGAUGCAUGCUCACGAUGCAUGGAAGUGGCUGAGUUGCUACUAAUCUUGACGAUACUGGUUUCGUCCGCUGUAAAAGUUUUCGUGCCCCUGCAUCCGAUCAAAGCUUGUGCUUUUCCAAGCAAAAGCCAUGGUCCCUUGAAACUCAGCAGAUUUUCGGAGCAAGGAGGAUCGCAUGCCAAUGUAGUUCAUGGUUCUGGUUUAGAGGCAGACGUGGCGGAGAUUAAUGGUGAUUGGGACCACAGCCUAGAAGGUGACCGGGAGGAAGAUGAUCUCAAGCCUUUAUUUGCUUUUUUUUUUUUUGUGAGGAGUUUGCAGAUCCCGGGGGUUGAGAAUGAAGAAUGAAAAAUCAAUUUGAUGGGGAAGAGAUUGAGGCCAGGCAAGAAGGGAGGAAAAGGCUGGGGGGAGGGGGAAGCGACGGCUAGUCUAGGACUCGGCCGCGCCCUCCUUUUUUUUUUUAAAUGUCUUUUGUUUCUUUUCUUUUUUUAUAGGUUUUUGGUAAUGGUCUUCUCUUGGGUUUUUUUUUUUGUGUCGUUUAGGGUUCCUCUCUAAUCAUCCCCUCUCCUUUUCUUUCCCCUGAGAUCUGUAUUUAUAGUGCCAGAGUCCCUUCGCUUGUGAGAAACCAAGUUUCAAUCAAACUCAUUCUUUUUUUUGAAGUUUGAAUUUUAUUAAGAAUCAAAUUUGAAAGCGGAUAACUAUCAUUAUCUUAAAGACAAGGAUUAUCUCGAAGAUAAAGAUUAUCUUGAAGAUAGGGAUUAUCUUGAAGAUAAAGAUAGAAUGAUAAAAGCACAUUGUAGUCCUUAAUUUUCACGGAAGUUGACAAAUCACACUUUUCAUUGAAAUAAAUCUCUGAUCUUUUAAUUUUUCAUUUUAAACCCUGUAAAAAUUAAAUUAAAAAUCAAAGGGCCAAAAUUGGGUUAUGACAGUAGCUUUAGAAGUUACAGAGAAAUCAAGAAGGAAAGCACAGACAAGUGGUCACAGAAGGAAAACCAGAGGAGCAUUAGGCGAGAAUCAUCAAGCAGCGCUGCAAGCAUCUUCGGUCUCCAGAAGCAGGUAUGACUUCGUCCCCUUUGCAUCUUCAUUUCAAAAAGUGAUUCUGUGUUACAAGAACACUGUGUGAAGGUAAUUUAAUUACCUUCACUAGUGUUCGGGCACGCGUGAACAAGUCACGCGUGCCUUUAGUUUUUGCCCAGCCGGGUCACUGGCUUGGGCCAGUGACCGGGCUGGGCUGGCUAGGCCCAGCCCAGCCCCAAAAUUUUUUUGCUGGGCUGGGCCCACCCCACCCAGUUCAAAAAAUAAUAAAAAUAAAAAAUAUGUAUGUAUAGAUAAAAAAUAAUGUAAAUUUAUUGGUUUAUUCACUGACGCCAGAGUCAGGAAUAAAAUACCAGUUUAAAUUUAUAUUAUUUUUAUUCGUUGUAUUUUAUUUUAUUUAGAUGAAUAAAAAUAAUGUAAAUUUAUUGGUUUAUUCACUGACGCCAGAGUCAGGAAUAAAAAUACCGGUUUAAAUUUAUAUUUUUUUUUAUUUGUUGUAUUUUAUUUUAUUUAGCUAGAAAAAAAUCAAAAAAAAUGUGCAUGCGUAAAAAAUAAAUUUAUUUUUGUUUAUUUAUCACUAGCACUAGAGUCAGGAAAAUAAAAAAAUAUUAAUCUAAUUUAUUUUAUAGCUACGUGAUAUUUACCAACGCCAGAGUUAGAAGUAUCCGUAGUUUAAUAUUCACUGGCGCCAGAGUCGGGAAUAUUAUAAGUAAAUUAUCAUAUCGUAAACUAAUAAACAUUUAGCAAUUCAAGACGAAACUAGCAAUGCAGCCUGCCUCAGACAGGACGUUUAAGGGGUGAUAAUAUCUUCCCUUUUACGUAACCAGUCCCGAACCAUAGAAUCUCUGUUGACCAGUUAGGGUUCCUAGUGACCAUAAUACUAGGUGGCGACUCCUUAAACAAAAAUCAUUCACCAUCAAAGAAUAGGAUGCUAGAAAUCCAUUCUUUUCUAAUUUUAAUUUUUUAAGACCGCCGCGAUGUCGGGUGUGACAAGGAGUGAUUUCUUUUCUAUUAUUUUUUUUCUUUGGAUCAAAAGGGUCUUAUUGAAUUAUUAUUUGUUAGGUAACUAAGAUUUGUUGAUGUGAAAAAUUUGGCAUGGCCAUCGGUGAGAAUCAAAAGCAGCAGCAAUCCAUCUGUGAAGCCGUACACCACAUCAGGGCCCCAACAUUUAGACUUUUGAUGGCAACCAAAGCUAAAUUUAAAAACAGGACCAUCUGAGAAGCCGGCAUACAACAACAGGUCAAAGAUCCAAUUUCCAAAAAUAAACCAUGUAUCAUGUAGUUUAACAUCUCUAAGCAUGAUUUUUGCAAUAAUCAUCUAUGCUUUACCAUUCAUAUCUUUCACCACAGUUCUCUGUCACCACUUCACAUGCACACAUUCCAAAAAAGAGAUAGCAUGGAAAAAUGUCUUUGCUUGCCGUAAAAAAUACAAGGGCUAAAACCUAACAUAAGGAAAAUAGAUUGGGAAAAGGAAAGCAGAACCAAAGCAAGGCACUAACAAUUAGGAGGGGCAAAAACAUGAAUUCUGAAAAGGAAAAUACAUUCCGGCCUUCCAUGACCCAAUCCAUAUUGGGCAGCAAAUGAUAACCCCGCAUCGAUGUUUCCUCGUGAUGUGAAUUUCUUUUUUCUGAUACAGAAACACAAAACCAAAUUACCUCAAGGUCUAUUGUUGUUGUAAAUUUUUAAGGUAGCAGAAUUACAGGAUAAAAGUAAUUUACCAAAAUGCUUAUGGAUAAUUGGCUCUUCCAUCCAGCAUUAAUUCUAUUAUCAAUUAUAGUUCAGUCACUGGUUGUAGAUAAAUUUUUUUAAGAUAUUAUCAAGUUUUAUUUUUAUCAUUAAAAUUUAGAAUUAAUUCUAUUACGUAUUUAAAUGUGUUUAGUUACCUUGUAAACCGUAUGGUAGAGUCCCUCAAAUAUUCUGGCCACAGCAAAUUGUAUGGGGCUUGCAACCACUAUAUUUUAUGCCAAGCUAAUAAUAUUUUUUUUUCUAAAUUAAAGAUUAAUAUUUUUUGUUCGCAUCAAAUAAUUAAAAAUGAGAAUUUCAGAGCAGAGGGUUUAAGAAAUAUUAAAAGAGAAGGUUUUACGUAAUUAUUAUAUAAUUGAAAUUGUCACUAAUCUCCUUUGUUCAUUUUCUUUUUCUAUUACCCCUUCCAAUCAGCAUGCACGAAACUUUAUGUCACUCAAAUGAUACAAAUGCUUUCACCGUUUUAUGCUGAUUGUUUAUUAUUAUUUUUUUUUUUUUAAUGAAAGUGAUUGUUCAGGCCAGUUUAUAUGUAUUUUGAAGUUAACGAUCAUAUAAACUUCCAGUGACCUUGAAGUUUGUAGGACUCGAACUGAUAAUUUCUAAAAAGUAAACUUAAAGUCUAAUUAGUUGAGUUAUACCUUUCAGAAUUACAAAAUUACAUUGCUUGUUAAAUUAAUAAAGUUAUUAGUUGCUAUAAAGUAAGAGAUAAGAAAGUAUCUAGGAAUAUGGUAAAUAUUGUGUUUUAAAAUAUAUUAAAAUAAUAUUUUUUUAUUUUUAAAAUUUAUUUUUAAUAUUAUUACAUCAAAACUAUAUAAAAUUUUUUUCAGAAUAUCAAUUCAACCGUACUCCAAAGAACACUCAUACUCCAAUAUCAGCAACCACCACGAAAGUUACCACUCAAUAAUUUAUUCUUUGACAAUUAUUGCAUUGCUAAUAAUUUGCAAGGAAACAUACUUUCUAACCGAUACUCAAUCGAUCUGCACCUACCACGAAAUUACCAAUAAGAGUCUGUUUGAUAUUUUUCCAACUUUUACUAUUUUACUUCAAAGUUUCAAUAAUUGUUUUUUCAUUACAUAUUCUUUCCAACGUGUAAUAAUUUGGAACCACUCGCAAUAAAUAAAGCCAGCAAAGCCAGAUGUGUUUGUCUAUAUAUACAUGAACUGCUGAUUCGAUUUGAACACCCCAUUUCUCCGAUUCAAUAACUUCAGUUGCAAAACUUCUCUCUCCGAUUGCUGCAAUUUCAAAGCUAACUCUUUAUUAUACAGAGGUAUAUAUGGCUAACUCUUCUUUGCUUCUUUCUCGUUUUAAUUUCAUGUCUUUACCAAGAAUAAUAAUGUGAAAGCUUUGCUUGUUUCAUGUUUAACUUCAGUUGCUAUUGUCUUAUGCUCUCUCAUUAUUAAGCUUAAAUUGCUGUAUUAUCUUCGAUGAUCACUUCACAUGUAUCAGCAAUUGCUAAUUGAUUGUUCCUUAAAUUCUGCAGCUGAAAUGACAGAGCCACAGUCUUCUCAUUCUAGACCAGAAGGGGCCUAUGAUGUCUUCCUGAGUUUUAGAGGAGAAGAUACCCGCAAGACAUUUGUAGAUCAUCUAUAUACUGCCUUAGUCCAAGCAGGAAUCCACACUUUUCGAGAUGAUGAUGAACUUCCUAGAGGAGAAGAAAUCUCCGAGCAUCUUCUCGAGGCAAUUCGAGAAUCAAAGAUAUCCAUAGUUGUCUUCUCAAAAGGAUAUGCUUCUUCUAGAUGGUGUCUCAAUGAACUUGUAGAGAUUCUGAAGUGCAAAAGGAAGAAAACCGGUCAGAUUGUUCUUCCUAUAUUCUAUGACAUUGAUCCUUCAGAUGUGAGAAAACAGACUGGCAGUUUUGCAGAGGCAUUUGAUAAGCAUGAAGAAGAGCGUUUUGAAGAGAAGUUGGUGAAGGAGUGGAGAAAAGCUCUUGAGGAUGCCGGAAACCUAUCUGGAUGGAGUCUCAAUGAUAUGGCAAAUGGGUAUUCCUUCUCUCUCUAAGAUUCACUUGCACACGUUUAUGGAGUAAUUUUACAUUACAUUUUUCAAUGUGAAGUAAUAAAAUAUUUCUUUUUAACAUACUUAAUUGACUUUCUAUCGAUGACUUGCCUUUUUUCUGUGAGCAGGCAUGAAGCAAAAUUUAUCAAAGGGAUAAUCAAGGAUGUGUUGAAUAAAUUACGUCGCGAGUGCUUAUAUGUUCCUGAGCACCUGGUAGGUAUGGAUCUUGCUCACGAUAUUUAUGACUUUCUAAGUACUGCAACAGAUGAUGUACGCAUUGUGGGCAUACAUGGGAUGCCAGGAAUAGGAAAGACAACUAUAGCAAAAGUUGUAUUUAAUCAACUCUGCAAUGGACUCGAUGGAAGCUGUUUUCUUUCGGAUAUCAAUGAAACAUCAAAACAAUUCAAUGGUCUGGCUCUUUUACAAAAGCAACUUCUUCAUGAUAUUUUAAAACAAGAUGUUGCUAACAUCAAUUGUGUCGAUAGAGGAAAGGUUAUGAUCAAAGAUCGACUUUGUCGCAAAAGAGUUCUUGUUGUUGCCGACGAUGUGGCUCAUCUGGACCAGCUAAAUGCUUUGAUGGGAGAGCGAAGUUGGUUUGGUCCCGGAAGUAGAGUAAUUAUUACAACAAGAGAUUCAAGUUUACUUCGUAAAGCAGAUCUAACAUAUGAGAUUGAAGAAUUGGAACCAGACGAGUCCCUUCAGCUUUUCAGCUGGCAUGCCUUUAAGGACACCAAGCCAGCAGAAGAUUAUAUUGAGCUUUCGAAGAAAGCUGUUGAUUUCUGUGGAGGACUUCCUUUAGCUCUUCAGGUUAUAGGAGCUCUUCUGUACAGGGAAAACAAUGAUAAAUGGGAAGGUGAAAUUGACAACUUGAGCAGAAUUCCAAACCAAGAUAUUCAAGGAAAGCUUCUAAUAAGUUUUGACGCACUUGAUGGUGAACUACAAAAUGCAUUCCUUGAUAUUGCAUUCUUCUUUAUUGGUAAAGAGAAAGAAUACGUCGCAAAAUUGCUAGGAGCCUGUUGCCGUUACAAUCCAGAAGUUUUGGAGAAACUCCGUGAAAGGUCUCUGAUUGAAAUAUUGGAAGAGACGGUAACCAUGCAUGAUCUAUUACGAGAGAUGGGAAGGGAGGUCGUUUUUAAAGCAAAAGGAUGCAUGGAAUGUACUUCAGAAAAACAUUAUGGAAUGUACUUCAGCAGCAGAAGGUACGAGCUCAAUGCAUACACAUAGCCAUGCGUAUUUUCUAGUCAAACUUAUUACAAAUAAUCAUAUAAAAGUUUUAUUGUUUUUUUUUUUCAGGGUACGGAUGUUGUAGAGGGUCUUGCACUGGAUAUGAGAGCAUCAGAAGCUAAAUCACUAAGCACAGUAUCAUUUGCAAAAAUGAAACGUUUAAAUUUACUCCAAAUCAAUGGAGCACAUCUCACCGGAUCCUUCAAACUGCUUUCUAAAGAGUUGAUGUGGAUUUGUUGGCAUGAAUGUCCUUUGAAAUAUUUGCCAUCUGAUUUUACCUUGGACAAUCUAGCUGUUCUUCAUAUGCAGUACAGUAACCUCAAAGAACUAUGGAAGGGAAAAAAGGUACGAAACAUUUUACAAUCCCCAACAUUUCUCCAGUAUGUAAUUUAUAUUUACAUGUUAUGACUUUCUAUGAUUAAUUUUCAUUAUUUUUCUCUCUAUUAUAACAGAUUCUUGACAAGCUUAAAAUCCUUAAUCUCAAUCAUUCUCAGAACCUUAUUAAAACACCAGACUUGCAUAGUUCAAGUCUAGAGAAACUAAUUCUGAAAGGUUGCUUGAGUUUAGUUGAGGUGCAUCAAUCAAUUGAAAAUUUGACGAGCCUCGUUUUCUUGAAUAUGAAGGGAUGUUGGAGGCUGAAGAAUCUCCCUGAAAGCAUUGGCAAUCUAAAGUCUCUUGAAACUCUGAAUAUUUCUGGGUGUUCACAACUUGAGAAAUUGCCAGAACGCAUGGGUGAUAUGGAAUCCUUAACUGAGUUGCUAGCCAAUGGGAUUGAAAAUGAGCAAUUUCUCUCUUCAAUUGGACAAUUAAAGCAUGUCAGAAGGUUAUCAUUGUGUGGAUACAGUUCGGCUCCACCAAGUUGUUCUUUGAUUUUAGCAGGUGCUUCGAAUUUGAAACGGUUGCUGCCAACAUCUUUCACUGAAUGGAUAUCAGUGAAACGUCUCGAGCUUUUUAAUGGUGGUUUGACUGAUCGCGCAACUAACUGUGUUGAUUUUAGUGGUUUGUCUGCUCUAGAAUUUUUGGAUCUAAGAGGAAACAAAUUCUCUAGCGUGCCUUCUGGGAUCGGCUUCCUUCCCAAGCUAGAUGUCUUGUUUCUUCACGGAUGCGAACAUAUUGUAUCAAUCCUAGAUCUUCCCUCAAGUUUAAGUUGUUUCAGUGCACCUUAUUGCAAAUCAUUGGAAAGAGUAAGAUUACCAAUCGAGCCAAAAAAAAAUCUAUAUAUAAAUCUACAGGAAAGUCAUUCGUUAGAAAAGAUUCAGGGCAUUGAAGAUCUAAGUAAUGGUGGCUGGAUAAUGUGGGUUGAUGACAGCAGUCAUUCACCAAAUAAAUUAUCGAAAAAUGUUUUUGAGGUACUAUUUCUUUAAGUUUCUCUUUCGCACAAAAAUAAACACACACAAUUGGCACAUACAUUGGUUAAUGUCUAAAUUCGCAACAUUUCUUAAAAUCAAUAUGUAUACAGGCAAUAAUCAUUAUUAUUAUUAUUAUUAUUAUUAUUAUUAUAUUUUAGAAAAUAAAUAUCAUCUCUAAUAAUAUUUUUUAUUUUUCUUAUUUAAUCUAAAAAAUUAAAUAUUAUAUUUAAUAAUAUUUUUUAUUAAAUAUUUAAAGUCUGAUUGGUUUUAUUUUUUAUUUCUUGAUUUUAUGAUAAUAUAUUUGUACAGACAAUGUUUAACGGUCGUCACCGGUAUUCCUGGUAAGAUGCCAAACUGGUUGAGCUACAGGGGAGAAGGAUGCUCAUUGUCAUUCCAUAUACCUCCAGUCUUCCAAGGCUUAGUUCUUUGGUUUGUCUGUCCAUAUACCUCAUUGCUCCUUCUCACCAUAUGCUGUAAAGAAAUAAUUCUUAGAUGGUCAUCAUAAGUAGGAUGAAUUACAUCUUAAAACUCCAUCACCGAAACAACGUGGCAAAAAUAAUCAAAGGAAAAGGUGGAUGAAUUGUUUCACGUGUCAAAAUAGAUUUAUACCAUGAUUUUGAAUUCAAGUGCUAAUUGAUAUUCAGCUUAGGUGAUAUCAUGUGAAGCAAUUAAUUCGUCCACUUUUUGUUAUGCAGAUCUUUCUCUCUCCAAAUCCAAUCUUACUAAAUAUAUAUAUAUAUAUAUAGUAAUUAGGAGAUCAAAUCUUAUCCUCUCAAUACUUAUCAUUCAACUAAUUAAUAACUUUAUUUAGCAUAAAUCCAUUAAUAAACUCACGAAAAGAACCUAACAUCCUCCUGAAUUCCUUAGCCGACACUCUCGUACACUGCUGAAUCAUUGAAAAAAUCAGUAGAAGAUCUGAAGUUAGCAUCUAUAACAGUGCCUUAGAAUUUAGAAAGAGAAAGGUUUUUUCUUUACUAUAUAUUCCAUUAUAUAAAGCAACUAAAAAAAGGUGGGUGUUAACUAUACAUUCCAAUGUUCAUCCUCUCACAAAAGUUUAUUUCUCCUUUAGGAAGUCCUUGAAAUUUUUAUUGUUUUAUAAUUUGGUUGCUGAACUUUUUUUCUUUUUCAAUUAGUCCUUUCAAGUCGCAUUAUUAUUAUUAGGAUAAGAAAUAAAAGCAAUGGUAUUCAAUUGUUUGAAUGUAAACGAAUAUCACCAAAAACUGAGGGAUGGAUAAGAUACAUAAGUAGAAGUGAAAUGGCAAUGGAAGAUUACUGUGGAGAUGACGAAUUGGAACUAUACAUUUCUUCAGUGCCAACAGUGGAUAAGAUAUAUUAAAUAUUUAAGGCUUUUCGGUAAGAAUACAUAUUUUCUUUAGUUAUUUAUAUUUUAUUCUAUUUAAUUUAAGAGAUUAAAUAUCAUCUUUAAUUAUUUUAUUUUUCUUAUUUAAUCUAAUAAAUUAAAUAUUAUCUUUAAUAAUAGUUUUUAUUAAAUAAUUAGAGUCUGAUUGGUUUUAUUUUUACUUCUCGAUUUUAUGAUAAAAUGUUUCUUAAUUAAUUUAAAAAAUAAAUAUUAUCUUUAAUAAUUAGAUCUAUUGAAUAUCACUUAAAAAAUAAAUUGUAACUUUAAUAAUUAUUUUUUGAAAAACAAAAAGCCAACAAUCACUAACAUAUUUAUUAAAAUCACUUUAGUUUAUUUAGAAAAUAUUGAAAAUUGAUUUUUGUUUUUUUACAUUAAAAUAAAAAAAUUGAAUAAUGUUUUUAUAUUUUAUUUCAAACUCGAUAUUUUAAAACAAAAAUGAAAAAGAUGUGAUAUUAACCUUUUUUUAUUAUAAAGUAAGUUUUUUAAUUAAAAGUAAUAGGAAUUUGUUCGUAAUAACAAAAUGCAUGUACAAUCAUGCGCAUUUAACUUUCUUUUCAAAUUUGAAAGUUCUAAUGAAUUUGAUGGUUUUUUAGGGUGCAAAAGACUUUGAUUGACGUGAGAGUACAAGAUCAUUUUUCAUAGAGAUACUUGAAGUUGCUCCAAAUCAGUACGAUACUUCCAUCUGACAUAUUGAUAUGUAUUUGUUGGCUUGAAGAUCAUUUUCCAAGCUUGGAAGUUUUAUAAAUUGAGCGCUCUUUGUAAUCUUUUCCAUGAUGUAAUUUAUAUUUUCAAGUUACAAAUUUUGAUGAAUAUUGUUUCAUUUUUUUCCUCACUUCAAAAGAUGAAAAUCCUUGAUUGUAGUUAGAAAUAAAUUGGUUUUCUAGGAAGAGAUUAUUGAUUGGGAUAUAAUAUUUAAGUUGUUUCUUCAUCAUUUAAUGUUAUAAUUUAAAAUAAUUAAUAAAAAUUAUUGUACACAAAAAAGUUCUGAGAACAUUCUUAAUUAGUGUAAUAAGUAAAGUGUUGUUAGUUUUGACUAUAAAAUCUUGUUAUGUAUUAUUGCAUAGUUUUUACUAUUUUUUUAGCAUUUUUUCUUUUCUAUAUACAACUUUUAUUUUUCUUGUCAGUUUGUCAUCAGCAUCAACACCAAUUAAUAAUAAAUUUGAUACUAUUAUUAAACAAAGAAAAAACAUAAACAUUGUUAAAACACCAAACUUGCAUUGCUCAAACCUAAAAAAACCUAUGACAAUAAUCUAAUUUAGAAAACAAUUAAUUUAACCUUGUAAUCUUAGAAAAUAGUAUUUAAUCCUUAUGUUUUCGUAUUCAUCUAUGAUUUAAUGUGUUGAUUGAAAUUGGCAAGUGAGUUUACUCACAUAUUGUUAUAUUGGGUUUGAGUUCAAAUAGACGUUUAAAAAAGGGAGUUUUUCAUGAAUGCAACCCUUCAUGUAUUCAAUAUGAAUGAUGGGAGAUUUUAAUGUCUUGUAAAUGCAUUCAUUUAUAUAUGGAUGAUUUUGCUAAGAAUUGGUUGGUUAAAAACUUAAUUUCGUUAUAUAAAAACUGAAGAGAUAACAAUAAAUAGCUAAUAAUUGAUGUGAUAAAAAUGAUUUAUAUGCGUGUAUAAGCUAAUUCAAAUGAAGAUUAAAAUAAAAAAGACAAAAAGAAAAAGAAAAAGGAAAGACUCGUUAAGAUUUUAUGUUAGUGUUCAACAUAUUUUUUCUUAUUUUAUUUUUUUAAUUGGAUUACCUUUGUCUUUCAUGUCAAGUAAAAUUCUGGUAUAUAACACUAAAUUAAAAAAAAUAAGAGGUGAAGUAAAGGUCUAACUAAAUGAAAUACAAGUACAAAGACUACAUCAAAUACAUUUCAUAUACUCAACUCUUAGGAAAUUGACAUUUCAAGGCUAUUCGUAUCUUGAAAACAUAAUCUCAAUUUCAAGGCUAUUAUUAUUUUUUUCUUUGGAUCAAAAGGGUCUUAAUUGAAUUAUUAUUUGUUAGGUAACUAAGAUUUGUUGAUGUGGAAAAUAGCACUAAGGAACACAAAAACAGCAGCAAUCCAUCAAGAUCAUCACCAUCCUAUCGCUUUGCCGUAUUGUUUAUCUUCUUGGCAUUGUUUAAAGGAACGCAAAAAGACAUUCCAAGCGUGAAAGUGUAUUAUUGUAAUAAAUUUUUCAAACUUCCAAUAUAGAGAGUGAAAUAAAGAGCAAGAGCAAAAGGAAACAUCUUUCUUGUUCCCUUCCCCUUCUUUACAUGGCUUACUCAAUGAAAAAGCAAACACCCCAUUUGAUUUUCAAUCAGUAUGAGAGUGAGAAUUAAAGAGAGAGGCUGUCACAGUGUCAAAUGUGCACGAGGUGCACGCUUCGGCAGGCUGGCCAAAACAAGGCCUGAGGGUGCUGGCAGCCAUGCCAUCAGUGGGAGAAAUCGUCAGCGCAGAUUUAUGCGGCUGUAGGUUCGUCAAAGGGAAAAUCAGCAGCGCAGAUUGUUGACGAACAUGGGCUGGACGAGGGACUGUCCAAGCCUCGUCAGGAGGAUAGGCUGACGAGAAUUGGGGCUAUCGCAGAAUUCAGCAGCGUAGACAGGGGCAGCCUGCACGCAGAUGCGAAUUCGGCAGCGCAGAGAUUGGCAGCACGCAUAUGCGAAUUCGGCAGCGCAUUGGCAGCCUGCCCGCAGAUGCGGAUUCGGCAGCGCGCAACAACUUGUGCAAGUCAGGGGCUCGACUUGGCACGAUCUAAAACUUGGGCGAAGGAUUGUCCAAGGCAUGGGUAAAAGAGCUCUAGGCGCUGGGACGCGCCAGCGAAGGCACACUGCCUAGAAUUCGGCAGCGAUGGAUCGCGGCAGCCUUGCAUAGGCAGAGAUGAAUUCGGCAGGCAGCAUGCAAUGGUCUAUGCGAGUCUUUGAGCUUGCGACUUGGCAUGGACGUGGGGGCUUAGAUGAUGGACCUUCUAAGUCAGCAGCUGACGCAGCAGAAGCUGGCAGCUGGGGCUGCCAAGUAGACAGCCAAGAAAUGGGGGAAGUGGCAGCUUCAUGGGAGGCAGAACGUGGGAGCAUAACUGGGGUGCUUUCCAGGCCACUAUGUCCUGAAAACAUGGGAUCAUGGGUGAGAGGUAGUGCUCCACCAUGUCCUGAAAACAUGGGAUCAUGGGAGAAAGGUAGUGCUCCACUAGGUCCCGAAAAUGGGGGAUAAUGGGGAGGAGCCUUUGCAGCUCCUUUGCUUGUCUAUAAAUACAAGAUGUAGCUCUUGGUUGUGAGGGAGCAUUCGGGUGGGAAUGUUCAGAUGUAAGGGCAUUCGGUUGGGAUUGUCCAGCAUGUAGGGGCAUGCAAGAACAUGUGUAGAACACUAGUUAGAGGUAGCUUAGUGUAGCAUGCAAUCUUUGUGCAUAGCACACAUACGGAUUUGUGUAUAGUUUCCUUUGUGUAUGAGAUUAAUAAAGGUUGGGAAAGAGUUCCUGUAAAGCUUGUUGUGCACUAUGAUUCUUAUCCUUGCUUGUGUAUUCUGCUUGCUUAGUUAUUAGGCAAACACGAGUGAGAUUGGUGAGGGAAGGCUGAGUCUAGUGAGGGACUAGGCUGCCGCACGGGUUUAUUCGCGUAGCGAAAAAUACCCCCGUGACAGUUGGUAUCAGAGCGCGGUUGCUUUCGUGGCAGGAUGACGAGAAGAAUUCUGCGGCCAAAUCAACGGACUGAUUUGGGAGAGCUACUGCUUCUGCCGAUGGAGAAGCAGAUUUCAGCGCAAUGAUCAGCGACGAGAAUGCUGGUGUUUCUCGGGACAAAUCGAAGGGACUGAUUUGGGAGAAACAUUGCUGCUGCCGAUGGACUGGCAGAAACUUUGGAGCAAGAGCGCAAUAUGCGUUCAUGACGAAACGAUGGGCUGUUUCGUAGCACAGACGAUGGGCUGUUCUGUGGGGGCAGAUCGAAGGGCUGAUUUGUUCCAAGCCAUUUGAGGGAAAAACUUGCUAGCGUUUUGGGCAGUGUUGGUGUUCAAAAGGCCUGCGGAGUUUUAGGGGUUUAACUACUCCAUGGGCGAUGCAAAGUGACGACGAAGGGAUCAGCUCAAGAUGGGUGCUGAUUCGGCCAUUGAAACUGUCAGGUGGACUGGCAGGCUUGAGAGUAGGGGCCAGCGGAGGGGCUGCUGGGCGCUUCUGUAUUUUCGUCAAAGCCUUGAGGGAAGGAUGGGGCGAGACAGAAGAAGAAGCAAGUCAAUGUGGAGAGCCUAAACUUGUUGCUGCUGAUGAUGGACAGUCAGACGAGAAGGCAAAUCGGUAAGGGUUCGAAACUGAAACUUGCAUUGUUGUUCUCUUGCGAUGGAAAUUACUUUGUGCGAGAUUGUUGCCCAAAGGAGGGGAAACCUUGAUGUUGUCAUUGUGGAAGAUGGUGUUUGAGAUUAGGCAUACGUAAACCUUAUACGUUUGCUAGAUGACCGAGAUGGAAUUCAGUCAUCAUGAGCCAGCAUAUCGGAGUGGAUGCGGUCUGGCCUUGCUUGCUGCCUUGGUGGCAGAACUUAGGGAUUGUUGUGCAUCUCAAGGAAGGAAUGUUCAGGGAGAUGAAUGUUCAGGGAGGUGGAAGCAAAAUCCAGAGACCAAGUUGAGGACAGACGAAUCUAUGAGGAUUUGUUGUGGCUUUGCUGCCUUUGUGGAGGCAGAAUUGAUGUCUUCGGUGGAGACCUUGAUGAUGGACAGUUCAGGGUGAAGAAGACAGAACAGUGGCUGAGAUAGACUUUAGUCACGUUGAGACCAGGAUUGGAGGCAUUAAAGAGGAGGCAGUACCGUGGGGGUGUGUCUCAAGGAGUCUGCACGUUGUCGAGGGACAGACUGGGUGACAGAUUCGGCAGCCGAUCCAGUGGGCUUGGCGUGGAAGCCAAAAUCUUCGAUGAAGAUGAUUUUGUGUAUUGUCUUGGAAUCAGUACGAGUGGCUAUUCUGUGCAUUGUGAUGGUUGGCAGUGAUGGAAGCAGAAUGGUAAUGACCUUGUUGGGACAAAGUGUUGCGAGUUUUCGGUUGACGAAACAUGCAGCGAAGGUUGAAAACAGUAGGGGCUGUUUUGCGUCAGCGAAAUCUUGUGUGAUGGACGAAGUUCUAGCGCAUGACAGUAGCGCAUGGGGGAACCAGGUCAGACGAAACUUGAUACUGGGAUGCUAUGUAUUGGUGCUAUGGCAGGUUACAGAUGGACUUAGAGGGACUUGCCGAAAGACUUCGACAUGAGAUGGAGUUGAUCAACGAAACUGAGUCGGUGCUAGGUUCAACAGCACUGUCUCAUUCUUAUUUCUUGCAGGUGGAGAACCUAAAAGGGCUGACGGCAAUGGGAAGUCAGAAGCCAAGGGCAAGGAAAAGGUUUCGGAAUCAUGUUUGGGCUGUUUUAUUUGUGAGGGGAAGCACUUCACAAGGGACUGCCCGUUAAGAGCACAGUUUAGUGCUACUUCCGUGGAGAAGAAUGGAGAAGGAACGGCAUACGUAAAUCCUAUACGUGUGCUAAACACUAAGUAAAGAGUUAGUGUGAAGGGGCCAGCACAGUUGAUGAAGACUUAGGCGUGGCCGAACUGCCUUGUGCGAGGCAGAUUUGGGGGAGUUUCAUAACUUGGACGAUGGACAGAUCAUGGUUUAACUCCAGGCGUGAGGAUGCGCCAACGAAAAACACACUGCAUAGAAUUCGGCAGCGAUGAACAGCAGCAGCCUUGCAUGGGCAGAGGUGAAUUCGGCAGGAUGUGUUGAUUGCUGAGAAGCGGACAAGUAAGCAAUAUUGGUAAUACUUGCAGUUUUGGGGCACGCAGAAUGGUUGGAGAACUAGAAUGUUCGUAUGGGAGCUCAUGCGGUUCUUCGAAGUGAUUUUGUGUGGAUGUAUUUUGUGAAGGAAGGGACGGAUUCCUUGGGUGCUAGGCGUGGCAUCUAAACUUUGCGAAAACAUGCUUGCGAGUAUGAUGUGUUUGACAUUUGUGGAAAACUAACGAGCCAAAACAGAAUGUGUCACAGCUUGGUUUUUCGAAACAGGUUGACAAAGAUUCGGUGGACUGAAUUUGUUGUUGAAUGUGGGAAAAGCUAAGGGGUUUCGUGCGGAGAAACGUGGAUUGUGACGAGGAACAGAUGCGGUGCAAGGGUACUUCAAUUCUGUCCGACGAGGGCGUCGGGUUCUUUUGGUGGGGGUGGUUUGUCACAGUGUCAAAUGUGCACGAGGUGCACGCUUCGGCAGGCUGGCCAAAACAAGGCCUGAGGGUGCUGGCAGCCAUGCCAUCAGUGGGAGAAAUCGUCAGCGCAGAUUUAUGCGGCUGUAGGUUCGUCAAAGGGAAAAUCGGCAGCGCAGAUUGUUGACGAACAUGGGCUGGACGAGGGACUGUCCAAGCCUCGUCAGGAGGAUAGGCUGACGAGAAUUGGGGCUAUCGCAGAAUUCAGCAGCGUAGACAGGGGCAGCCUGCACGCAGAUGCGAAUUCGGCAGCGCAGAGAUUGGCAGCACGCAUAUGCGAAUUCGGCAACGCAUUGGCAGCCUGCCCGCAGAUGCGGAUUCGGCAGCGCGCAACAACUUGUGCAAGUCAGGGGCUCGACUUGGCACGAUCUAAAACUUGGGCGAAGGAUUGUCCAAGGCAUGGGUAAAAGAGCUCUAGGCGCUGGGACGCGCCAGCGAAGGCACACUGCCUAGAAUUCGGCAGCGAUGGAUCGCGGCAGCCUUGCAUAGGCAGAGAUGAAUUCGGCAGGCAGCAUGCAAUGGUCUAUGCGAGUCUUUGAGCUUGCGACUUGGCAUGGACGUGGGGGCUUAGAUGAUGGACCUUCUAAGUCAGCAGCUGACGCAGCAGAAGCUGGCAGCUGGGGCUGCCAAGUAGACAGCCAAGAAAUGGGGGAAGUGGCAGCUUCAUGGGAGGCAGAACGUGGGAGCAUAACUGGGGUGCUUUCCAGGCCACUAUGUCCUGAAAACAUGGGAUCAUGGGUGAGAGGUAGUGCUCCACCAUGUCCUGAAAACAUGGGAUCAUGGGAGAGAGGUAGUGCUCCACUAGGUCCCGAAAAUGGGGGAUAAUGGGGAGGAGCCUUUGCAGCUCCUUUGCUUGUCUAUAAAUACAAGAUGUAGCUCUUGGUUGUGAGGGAGCAUUCGGGUGGGAAUGUUCAGAUGUAAGGGCAUUCGGUUGGGAUUGUCCAGCAUGUAGGGGCAUGCAAGAACAUGUGUAGAACACUAGUUAGAGGUAGCUUAGUGUAGCAUGCAAUCUUUGUGCAUAGCACACAUACGGAUUUGUGUAUAGUUUCCUUUGUGUAUGAGAUUAAUAAAGGUUGGGAAAGAGUUCCUGUAAAGCUUGUUGUGCACUAUGAUUCUUAUCCUUGCUUGUGUAUUCCGCUUGCUUAGUUAUUAGGCAAACACGAGUGAGAUUGGUGAGGGAAGGCUGAGUCUAGUGAGGGACUAGGCUGCCGCACGGGUUUAUUCGCGUAGCGAAAAAUACCCCCGUGACAGAGGCCAAGGUGGUCCUCGAAUAUUUUCUUCUUUUAUGUCUCGCUCACUGGGGCAAACCAUCUUUUUCAAAAUUUUGAAAAGCAUGCCAUCAAAAAGAAUUUUGUUCAAUCCCAAUCCCACAUUGUCUGUAGAAGUAUUUACUUUUGACUGUACACUUUGUUAUUUUACAAUCCCUCCCCAGUUCUGCAACCAUUUCUCUACUUUCUAUGCACUUGGCUUGCUAGAAACUAAAGAAAACACAUUGCUCUACUUGCCUGCCUUCACUCUUCAGAUUGCUCAACAAAUCCCUUGAGACCUUCUCCAUAGUUAACACAUCACAUAAUGGCUAAUCUCAAAAAUUUAGCCAUAAACAUUGAACACCUUAAGCAAUCAACGUCCCUUCCUUCACAAUAUGCAUCACCCAUAAAUCUUUCUUUUGGGAUGUCGCCGGGAGUUUAAUCUCCGAGUGUAAAAAUUAUGUAUAAAUUUCCAUUCUUUCUUUCCAUCCAUUACUUGUCCUCUAUGAAGAUUCUAUGUAUGGAAUCUCGGAAUCUUUUCGAGCAUAACUUGGGAUCAACAGCUGAGAUCAUAGACGUGGGAUUAAUUGACAAAAUUUAUUUUUAACCAUCAAUAUUGAAUAAUGGCUUAUUUUAUAAUAUAAAUUAUGUUUGAAAUAAAAUUGAUAAAAUUAAAAGACAUGAAACACAAUUAAUGACGACAUAGUAUAUUUUGAGACUAAAUUGAGGUUUUUCAAUUACCUUUAAACAUAUCUUGGUUUUAAUAGUGGACGGUACAUCCUUUGGAUUUAUUAGAAAAAACAUGCAAUGUAAAUUUAAAAAAUAUAUAUAUUUAGUUUUCAAAUACACAUAGUAAUAAAAAAUUAGAUGAUAGUAAAAAGAAAAUAAAAAUUAGUCUGAAUAAUUGGUAUCAGUUUCUAUUAUGAUAUAUCUAGCGAAGAAGUUCAAAGAAUAGAAUGAAGUAAAAUAUUCUUAAUAAAAAAGAAAAAAAACCACAGAAAAAAAUAAAAUAUGUUUUUAAUAAAUAUGAAAGAUGGAUAAAAUUAGAGAACAAGAAAGAGAAAUAGAAUCUCUUUGUAAGAACUUCUAAAAAUUUAAUUAUAAUUUAGUAUUUCUUCCUUAUAAUUAUUCAACGCUAGGUUUUAAUAUAUAAUUAAAGAGUCUCUCUCCUGAACCAGAUAAUAAAAAGAUUGUAUAACUCUUUUGUAUGAAUUGUAAAUCCAGGGACUGUUUUGGUCCCUGACUUCGUUGAUUUGAUUUGAAUAUAUUAUUUAUAAAUUAGAUAAGAUUCAAACUAAGGGGAUUAAAGUGUAAAAUAAAGAAAAACACCCUUGGCAAUCUAAAAUAAUUGAAGUAAUGAAUGCAUGAAGCAAGAUAAUUAGUGGUUGAAUACAGAUUAUAACUAAUUAUUUGUUCUGAUGAACAUUACCAAAUACAAAAAAAAAUGUUUCUAAAAUAAUAAGAUAUGAAUUAACUAUAGGCGGCAAAUAAUUAAAAGAGAUAUAAAUUUUGUGAUGAGUUAUGGUUAAUGCAGAAGCAAAUAAAAGAGGAACAGAAAUGAUAGGCAAAUAUUGUUUCUGGGGUAGUGUUUGUCACUGCGGUUAGAAAAUGUUUUUAAAUUUUUUUUAUUUUUUUUAUUUUAAAUUAAUAUAUUUUUAAUAUUUUUAAAUCAUUUUAAUAUGCUGAUGUUAAAAAUAAUUUUUAUAAAAUAAAAAAAUAUUAUUUUAAUAUAUUUUCAAAUAAAAAACACUUUAAAAAACAAUCACUCCAAACUUUUAAACACUUAAUUAAAACCCAACCUUACAGCUUCUCUCUCCAUAUAUCGUCUUCUUCUGCUUUUGUCAUGGCAUCAACUCAUCGAGUACAGGUAGAGAUACUUGAGGUCUGUCAAGUCAUCUCGUCCUUGAACUCACUUGACCCAGCCACCGAGUUAUCUUUUCUGCUCAUCCUUUUUCCUACAAACUCACCAAGGCAACACCAGAUUAUUUUAACUAAGUGAUCCUUCCAGGUAGCCCCAGGCCACAUUAAUUCUGUUUUUUUUAAAACAAACUCGGCUUAGUUAUUAAUAACAUGUUGCAUCCACAGUCUUACCACUAUAUUAUAAUUAUUUAGGAGGAUAGUUGAACCAUACUUUUUAAAAAAAUUAAUUUUUUUUUUAUACUUUUUAAACAUGUUAUUAUAUUCAUUUCUAAUUUAAUUUUUAUCAUCCAUUUCAUCGUUUUAUUUAUUUAAUAACUAAAUUUUUAAGUGAAAGCAUAUAGUCUUACGAUAAAAAGCAUUUUUUUGAAAUAAAAUAAUAUUAAAUUAACCAUGCUCAACAUUGUUCAAAUUAUUAAUUAAUUAUAAUUAACUCGAGGCCUUUAGAAGAAACAAAAUGGAAAGACAAAAUUAUCUUCCCCACAACCAUAGUUGGGAUUUUUAAAAAAUUAAUUUUAUUUUUAAUUUUUUAAAAAUAAACAACCAAUAAUAAUAUAGUUGGGAUUUUUAAAAAAUUAAGAUGAUUAAAAAAUCGUAUAAAAAGCAAUUUGAAACCAAUUAAUGUUAAAAACAAAAAAAACAAAAUGAAACAUGCCAUGAAAACAAGAGGGUCUUAUUGAAUUAUUAUUUGCUAGGUAACUAUAUAAUAUAAUCUGUUGAUGUGGAAAAUAACACUAAGUUUUUGGCAUGGCAUUGGUGAGAAGCAAAAGCCAUAGGACCAUCACCAUCCUAUGGCUUUGCCGUGCUAUUUGGUUCAAAGGGACGCAAAAAGACAUUCCAAGUGCGCAGUGUUUAUUGUCAUAAAGUUUUUCAAACUUCCAAUAUUGAGAGAGAAAUUAAAAAAAAAAAAAAAAACCAAAAGGAAAAAACCCCCACCCCAUCUUUCUUGUUCCCUUUUCCUUCUUUACAUGGCUUACUCAAUGAAAAAGCAAGCACUAAUGCACCUUCUCCACAAGCUACCCCCUAUUUGGCCACUAUAUAAAUAUAUUAUGGAAAGCAAGAUAAAAAGAAAUCUUUGAUGACUUGCAUUAUCAAUGCAAAAUCUAUUUAUAUAAUUGCUAAAUCUAUAAAGAUAAAUCGAAAAUAACUAGUAAAAUCAGUGACUUGCAUUAUCAAGCUUGACGAAUUUUAAGCUUAAUCUAUUGUAUUAUCUUUGAUGAUCACUUCACAUGCAUCUCUUGCUUGUAUUUGCAAGAGAGUGGAUACCUUCUGCAAUUGCUCAUCGCUAAUUGAUUGUUCCUUCUGCUCUCUCAUUAUUAAGCUUAAACUGUUGUAUCAUCUUAUCUUCCACAAUAAGGAUAUAAUUAAUCAAUCGGACCGACCAUUAUGUUAAGGAUAAGAGAUUGUUGGCACCUCUUUUUUCCUGUUGACAACUCAUGAUUUAUUUAUAGCAGUUAAGGAUAUAAUUAAUCGGACCCACCAUUAUAUAUGUUCCACAUUAAAGAUAUAAUCCAAUGUUUCAUAAUGAUCAUCUUGAAGUUGUUUUUUUCCGCCUUAAUGUUCAGCAUUUUUUAUUUUAUGAUCAGAUAUUAUUUGGAUGUGAUAAUAUAAAAAAUAAUAUUUUAAAAUUUUAAAAAUAAUUUUUAUUAUAUUUUUUUUAUAAAAAAAAUACUUUAAAAAACAGUUAUUAUUACUUACAUGUGAUCUUUCAAUCUUUCAUGAUUGCCUUGUAUUGAUUAAAAGGAAGAAAUAUGAAUACCUCGGCAUUCUGCCACUCAUCAUUUAUCCCUAGGGGAGGCCAGGUAGGUCUGGCCAUUGCUUGCUUCUGUUAAUAAUGAACCUCAUUCAGCUUACGCAUCAACUAUUCAUAACCUAAUUUUAGGUUAUUUUUUAAAAUUUAUUUUUUUUUAAAUAAAAAUAAAAAUAAUUAAAUAAAAAUUGACAGUGCGAAGAAAACAGGUCGGGAAAUAUAACUAUAAUUAUACCCCAUUAUAUCUAAAAAUUAAAAAACAAUGUAAAUUCAAAGUUAAAUUAAAUAAUUAUUGAACGAAUUUGCAUAAAUAUAAAGUCCAAUAACAUAAUUAAAUUUUUAAUAAGUCAAUUUAAUUUAAUCAUAGACCAAAAUGAUUUUUAAUUACGUUUAAGAAUUAAUUUUAAUCCAAUUAAAAGGUUUAAUUAAGUGAAAAGGUUUAAUUAUACUUUAAAGAGGUUAAAUUAACUUUAUUAAAGAUUUAAUUGAUGAAAAAUUGAGUUUAAAAACUCAAUUUAAAUUUAAUUAAAAAGAUUAAUAUUUUAAAUAAUCAAAUUUAAUUUUUAUCAAAUUAAUUAAUUAAAAUCAGGAUGCAAAAUCACAAUAAAUUGAAGUUUAGCUUUUAUCAUUUCAAAAGUUGCAGCCUCAUCUUCACUACUUGUAAAAUUGGGGCAGAUUAUGGACUUAACCGAGCAAUUACCACUCGAAAUUCCUCGCAAUUUAUGAAGGAAAUUUCCGUGUUCUUUCUCUGUAUAUUAUUAGAAAAACUGUCAUUGACUAAUUUAAUUGUAAAGUCUUUGCAAGAAAGCUAAAAGAAUUAGAGUUUUUUAAUUUCUAAAAUUAUAAUUUUAAAUUGUAAAAAGAAUUCAAUUAUUUUUACAAUUCAUCAACAGGUAUAAAAAACAAUUAUACCACUAGCUGUCUUCUCCCAAUGAUCUUUGUAACACUUCCAUUUCCACAUCAUGCAUGAUCAAUUUAUCAGAAUUUUAAUUAGUGGUUGAAUAUAGAUUAUAACUAAUUAUUUGUUCUGAUGAAGAUUACAAAAUUAAAAUGAAAUUACAGCUUCUCUCUCCAUGGUCUUCCUCUGCUUUUGUCAUGGCAUAAAUAAUAGGAAAUAAAUUAACUAUAUAAAUUUAGUGAGGAGUUAUGAUUAACGUAGAAGCAAAUAAAUUAAAAGAGAUAUAAAUUUUAUGAUUAACGCAGAAGCAAAUAAAAGAGGAACAGAAAUUAUAAGCAAAUAUUGUUUUCGGUUUCGACUUUAAAUCAAACCUAUAAAACCUAACCAUUACAUCUUCUCUCUCCAUCGCCUUUUCCUCUGCUUUUGUCAUGGCAUCAACUCAUCGAGUACAGGUAGAGAUACUUGAGGUCUGUCAAGUCAUCCCGUCCUUGAACUCACUUGACCCAGCCACCGAGUUAUCUUUUCCGCUCGUCCUUUUUCCUACACCAAGGCAACACCGGAUUAUUUUAACUCAGUGAUCCUUCCAGGUAGGCCCAGGUCACAUUGAUUAUGUUAAAAAAAAAAAAUCUAAUGUCUUACCAUUAUAUUAUAAUUAUUUAGGAGGAUAGUUGAACAAUACUUUUUUAAAAAAAUUAAUUUUUGACGAGUAAAAUAAUGUGGAACCAAUCGCAAUAAAUAAAGCCAAAAAAGGCAGACGAGUGUGUCUAAUUCAUGACUUGCAUUGACUAAAAAUUACCACUAGAAAUUCCUAGUUUUAUCCUAUAUAAAGAAUACAAAAAAGGCAGACGAGUGUGUUUCGUGGUGCUUUCUCGGCCUGCAAAUGAAUAGAAAGCAUAUCCUUUUAUCCUAUAUAAAGAAUAAUACAAUUAACAAAGCAUAUUUCAAUAUCCUUGCUUUACUCUCCAGCCAUAUGGCCAUUGAUAGAAAGGUGUGUUGAAGCAAAAUCUUUUUUUAUCUGUAGCGACCUCAAUAAUGUUAUCGCGUGGGACCCAGUUGUUGCGACCACCACGAAAUUACCACUCCAAAUUGCUUGUUCUUUCUCUUUCUCCGUAUAUUAUUAGAAAAACUGUCAUUACUAAUUUAAUUGGAACUUAUUUGAGAGAAAGCUAAAAGAAUUAGAUUUUUUUAAUUUAUAAAAAAAUUCAAUUAUUUUUAAAAAUAAAACAUCAACUAUUUACAUAAUAGCUAAAUAAAUCUAUUAAAAUAAAUUGAAAAUAACUAGUAAAAUCAAGCAAAUAAUCCAAAAAUAAUAAGAAAAUAAAUAUAUUUUCUAGAUCUGAUUUGAGUAUUUUUUUAUCUUGAUUGACUGACUUGUUAAGUCUCACUAAGUAUAAAUGAAGUCUGUUUGAUAUUUCUUCAUUUAUUAAUGAAAUAUUACUUCUAUUAUAUAGUUAUUGGGUUUCGAGUUGAUCCAUCGGGUCAAUAGGUAAAUAGUAUAUUCUUUGAAUUUAUUAGAAGAAACGUGUAAUGUAAAUUAUAGAAAAAUAUUUAUUUUUCUGAUAUACAUAAUAAUAAUAAUAAAUUAGAUGGUAGUAACAAAAGAAAAUAGAAAUUAAUUUGAAUAAAUGGUAUGAGUUUCUAUUUUAAUAUAUCCAGGGAAGAAGUUCGAAGAAUAGAAUGAAGUUAAAUAUUUUUAAUAAAAAAAAGAAAGAAAAAAAUAAAAUAUAUUUUUAAUAAAUAUAAAAGAUGGAUAAAAUUAGAGAACAAGAAAGAGAUAUAUAAUCUCUUUGUAAAAACUUCUAAAAUUUUAAUUACAAUUGAGAAUUUCUUCCUUAAAAAUAUCCAAAAAAUUCCUAUUAUUUAUGAAUCAAGACAACAGUAGAAUAACUUUUACAUAUUUUUCAAGUCUACUUAGAAUAAUUAUUUUAAUAUUUUAAAAUUAAAAAAAUACUGUGUAGUUGUUUUGUAUAAAUUCUAAUGUUGAGAACUCUUUUGUGCUUGGUAAAAUAUGAUUUUCAACUUUCGCAGGCGAGCACUAAAGUCCCAAACUUGAAGAAUUUCUCUUCUUUUCCUUUUGUAUUUUCUCAUUUUUUUGGCAUGCGCGCAGCUGCUUCAUGGAAAAAACGUUUCAGAUGCGGAAAAUAAAGAUAAAUGUAGAAAAUAAAAGUGGAAAAAAAAUCCCAAAUAUCGACAAACAUCACAAGAGAAGCUUGAUAUCAACCACAUGCUGCAGUCCACAGUCUUUCCAUUACAUUAUAAUUACUUCUAAAAAAAAAUUAAUUUUUAUUUAAUUAUAUGCCAUCAGCAACUACCUCAAAAUUACCACUCUAAAUUCCAGCUCAAUAUCGAUUAACAUGUGGCUAAAAAAUUUGAUAAUCUCUUAUAGGAAUCUCUUUAUUUAUUAAAUCAUCAAAAUAUCAGAGUAUAUUUCAAAAGACUAUGACUACAGUUUAUAUAUAUAUAUAUAAAAAUAGAAACAACUAAAUAGAAAAAUUAUUAUUUUUUAAAUAAAAAACUAGAAAAGCCUGAUAAUAUUAUUGAAUAAAAAAUAAAAUAGAAAUUUAAUCAAUUAAAAGUUAAAAAAAAUACUGUUUAACUGUUUUGUAUAAAUUCUAAAGUUAAAGAGCCUUUUGUGCUUGGUAAAAUACGUCACACUAAAAUUAAUAAAUAAUAACACAAGAAAGGACCAAAGUUAAUAAAUAAUAGCAUGCACGAAACUUCAUGAUACCCAUGUUUUCCACGUUUUACACUGCUUUAAUAGAUUGUUACAGCAAGAGCACAGAGAGAGGAACGGUUCAAGACAGAACAAUAAAGGAGGGGCUGACGCUCAGUGAGGACAUCCUCCAGCUCAUCUGAUCCAGCUCAAAUGGUUGCAACCACCACGAAAGGAACGCAUUAAUGUUAACGCGUGGACCCAGUUGCUGCACCAGCAUGAAAGUACCACUCCAAAUUCCAGCUCAAAUUGAAUAAUGAUUUAUUUUCUAGCAUAAAUUAUGUUUGAAAUAAAAUUGAUAAAAGACAUAAUUACACAAUUAUUGAUGGGAUCGUAUAUAAAAAUAAUUAAAUUGAGAUUUUUUAAUUAUUUUUAAACAUAUCAUGGUUUUAGGUACAUCAUGUAAAUUAUAAAAAAAAUAUUUAUUUUUCUGAUAUAUAUAUAUAUAUAACAAAUGGUGUGAAAGGGGGAAGUACUAUGAGAGCUUUAUGCCACUUUCUAUCUUUGAUGUAAUGGCUUUGGCAAAAAGAAGCAAACAAAAGUUAGUGUUCGCACUACUUUAGCCGAAGAGUCUUUCAUGGGUGCCUUGGAUUGAUUGAUAGGAAGAAGUCUGCUUUGUUUUUAGAAAGAAGCAGUCUUCAUUGCUUUAAUAAAUUAUUACAAUAAUAGCACUAAGAGAAGAGAAGAAUGAGAGAUGAUCCGAGUUUCAAAACUAUAGUUUAUAUAUAAAAACAACUAAAUAGAAAAAUUAUUAUUUUUUAAAUGAAAAAACCAGAAGAGCUUGAUAAUAUUUAAUAAAAAAAUAAAAAUGAAAAAAUAUGCCUUUUUAAGUACAAACAAAAUUAUAAAGAUUUAAUAAUACUGUAUAAAAAAAUUAAAAAUUCUAACCUAAAUUAAAAAAAAUAAAAAUAACUGAAAAAAUAUUUAUAAAAAUUACGGUAUGUAAAUCUAGGGACUAAAGAUAAUACAACUGCAUUGACCGGAGAUUUCACUUAGAAUUUCUAGUAAAUUAUAAAGGAAAUUUCCUUGUGCUUUCUCAUAUACAUGAAUUUAAAAAUUAUCGUUGCUGGAUUGACUUGCAUUGACUGACUUGCUAAGUAUUUGCUGCUCUUGUGCUCUCUCUUGUAUAUUAUUAGAAAAAUUGUCAUUGACUAAUUGACUUGCAAAAGUAUUUGCAAGAAAGCUAAAGAAUUAGAGUUUUUAAAAUUUUUAAAUUAUUAAAAACAACCAAUUAUUUAAAAAAAAAAUCAAGAAUACAACAUCAACUAUUUAUAUAAUUGCUAAAUAAAUCUAAUAAAAUAAAUCGAAAAUAACUAGUAAAUAAUUCAAAAAUAACUAGAAAAUAAAUAUAUCUCCUCAAUAUGAUUUGAGUAUGUUUUCUAUCUUAAUCGACUGACUUGCUAAGUAUUUGUUAAACAUAAAAAAACUUUACUUUAAAAGUCUAUUUAAUAUUUUUCUUACUUUUAUUAUUUUACUUCAAAGUUUCAAUUUCAUAUUUUUUUACAAUGUAUAUUUUAUUUGAUUAAGGAUAUGUUAAGCAUUGACUCGAAAUUACUACUUGAAAUUCUGGACUGGAAACUAGCUUAAACGCUGGCCACCAACUCUUUUUUGCUCGAUUCAUAGGGAGAGAUCAGGGUAGAAAAUGUGAUUUUUUAUUCAAGAUCGUGGAUAGUACGUUUAAGAUUAUGGAAAUGUGUUUUUUUGUUUACUAGAAGGAUUGGGUCGAAAAGAGGGAAAAAAGUGACAACCUUCCAUAUACGUUUAAGGAAAUCUAGAUUUCUGUAAAUUUUAGGAAAAAACAAUGUCAUUUUUGUUUUUCUUUCAAUAUCAAAAUUUUUUCUUUCCCUAAAUUAUGAUAUAAAAACUCUCAAACUUAAUUUUUACGUAUAAUAUUUAAUUAUUGGUCUAAUUUCAAUACUAACUAUAUAUUUUAUUAUUAUUAUUUGUGUAUUUUUUUUCUGAUUAUUUCUAACCACUUAAAAAAUUAAAAAAAAUAUCAAAAUAAUAAAAUAAUUAAAAUGAACUAAAUUUACUGAAAAUAUUUUUUUAUAAAAAAAUGAAGGGUAAAAAAAUUAAAUUAUGACAUAUAUCAUUAAUUAUUGAGAUUCUUAUAACAAACACGGAACUUCAUGUCACUUGAUGAUACCCAUAUUUUCAACGUUUUACACUGCUUUAAUAAAUUGUUACAAUAAUAGCACAGAGAGAAGAAUGGUUCAAGAGAAAACAAUAAUGGAAGGGAAUCAAAAUCUUUGUUUGAUUUUCUGUUGUGUUUUUGGUACAUUGGUCAACAAUAGCUUGGAAGAGUUUGGUAGCAGUAAGUAACCUUUUCGACCUCAAUAAUGUUAACGCGUGGACCCAGUUGUUGUGGAAACUUUGCAGAGGAAGAAAAAUGAUUGCAUUGCUAAUAAUUUGCAAGAGAGAAUUCUUUCUCUGAAUAUAUAGAAAAAACUAUUAUUUUUAAAAUAAAAACAACUAUAUAGAAAAAUUAUUAUUAUUUAGGUAGAAAUGAUUUAAUUAAGGAAGUAUGUUAAAAAAUAAUAUAAAUUAUAUUUUAGAGUUUAUUUUAAUAGUUUAAAUUUUUAGAUGGAUAGUUUUUGGCAUGGCCAUCGGUGAGAAGCAAAAGCAGUAGCAGCCCAUCAGGACGAUCACCAUCCUAUCGCCGACAUUCCAAGUGUGAAAGUGUAUUAUUGUCAUAAAGUUUUUCAAACUUCCACUAUAGAGAGAUAAAUAAAUAAAUAAGUAGAAAGCGCAAAAGAAACAAUACGAUAAAUUUAAACUAUACUAAAGGUCAGUUUUUCACUCUGUGUGAAUCUACAGUGAAAGUUUGAUUUUGCACAUGGUAGAUAAAUUUAGGUUUAGGAGUAUAAUUUUUUAUAUAUAUAAUUACACUAAAGAAGAAUAUUAAUCAAAUAACCCUUAAAAAAUUCCUUUUAAUUUAUGGUUUAUUUUUUUUAUCUAAUUUAAAGUGAAUUUUAUACCUGAUAAUAUUUUAUCUAAUUUUAUUACACGCUAAAAAAAUUAUGAAAACUGUAGUUCUUGUCGGAUGUAUUUCGUACGUAAUGGAAUUGUAGAUGGUUUCAUGGAAUAAUAAAAAAUAUUUUAUAUAAAGUAUAAUUUAUUUCAUGAUGUAAUAGCAAUAGUUAAAUUCAUAAUAUUUAAAUUAAAAAUCAUCAAUAUUAAUAUAUAUUUUUUAAAAUUAUUUUAUAACCUCAAUUUUAAAAACAUUAUUAACCAAACACAUUAAAUUACUUUUUCUUCAGCCUCAAUUUCAACCAUAAUUUUAACCAAACACCUAUUUUUUCAAACCAACUUCAACUAAAAGUACUUUUUAUAAAACAAUUUUUUUCAAAUCAUAACCACAACAGCUACCGCAAUACCAAACACACUCUUAAUCAACUUAAAUUUGAGUGUACCUUCCGAGUAAGACAAACCCUGUAUUUUAAAAUACUAUUGCCAAAAGAUCCCCUUAUAUAUGGAUCAAGACAACAGUAUCACUCCCAUUUUAGUAAUAGAAUAAGUUUUACAUAAUUUUCAAGUUUAGUAGAAUAGUAGUGGAUUAAUUUUUUUAAUAUUUAAAAAUAAAAAAAUACUGUGGAGCUGUUGGUAUAAAUUCUAAAGUUAAGGACUCCUUUGUGCUUGGUAAAAUACGUCAAUUUAAAGUUAAUAAAUAAUAGCAUGCACGAAACUUCACGAUACCCAUGUUUUACACUGUUUUAGAGUAUGUUUGGUAUUGCGGUAGCUGUUGUGGUUGUGAUUUGAAAAAAAUUAUUUUAUAAAAAGUACUUUUAGUUGUGGUUCGUUUGAAAAAAUAGGUGUUUGGUUAAAACCGUGGUUGAAAUUGAGGUUGAAGAAAAAGUAGUUUAAUGUGUUUGAUUAAGAAUGUUUUUGAAAUUGAGGUUAUAAAAUAAUUUAAAAAUAUAUAUAUUAAUAUUGAUGGUUUUUAAUUUAAAUAUUAUGGAUUUAACUAUUGUGGUAACAUCAUGAAAUAAAUCAUACUUUAUAUAUAAAAAAAUUUAUUGUUCUAUUAAACUAUCUACAAUUCCAUUACGUACAAAAUUCAUCCGACAAGAACUACAGUUUUCAUAAUUUUUUAGCGUGUAAUAAAAUUAGAUAAAAUAUUAUCAUGUAUAAAAUUCACUCCAAACUAGUUUUUUUUUAAAAAAAAAUGUUAAAAAAAUUAACAAAAAAAAAACUUAACACACUAAAAAAAAAAAGAAAAAGAAAAAGAAAAAGAAAAAAGAGUCCACGCAGUGCAAGUGAACAGUGCAAGAGAAUUGCACCGUUCACUAUUUUUAAGUGAACAGUGCAUCACUUGCACUGUUCAAUGAACAGUGCAAUUAACGUGAACAGUGAAAAAAGUAAGAAAUGACUGCUUUUCCUUUCCUGCGUUGCUAACGCAGAAAUUAAGUGGGGCCCAGUAAACAGUAAAUCAAUUUUUUUCUUAACCAAAUAGCUGCGAACUGCAUUUUAAAUAAAACGCAGCCGCAGUCGCAGAGCCAAACAGGCUUAAUAGAUUGUUACAGUAAAAGCAAAGAGACAAGAACGGUUCAAGACAGAACAAUAAUGGAGGAACGCAAAAAGACAUUCCCUUUCUUGUCACUAAAGAGUAGCAAAAGUAGUAGUGAUGUUUUUUUCAACUUGCAUGUCUGUUAUGACUAUUUAUUAUGGGCUAUGCAUGACAUGGUCAGGGCAGCCUCUAAAAUCAUCCGAUCAGUCAAUUAUGCCAAGCGAUAGGCCUAGCUGAAGAGAAAUUUGUUGCCCAAACCUUGACUAACCUAGCAUGUCUAAGAGGAGACUUUGACUCCAAAACUAGCAAGUAAAUUUCCUCGUCUUUUGUUUAAUUUUUCUCAAGAUGAAGAAAUGGCUGGAUUAAUUUUCAUAUACGAAAAUCAAAAUUUUCUUAAUGGGAUCUUAAGAAAAUUUCUUUUCUUGUCCAAAUCAAGCCUCGAGAAAGCAUGUGCAAUUUAUAUAAGAAGCAAAUUCUAUUUCUUGACUUGUAUUUGCCUUUUGGAAUUUUCUGUACAAAUUUCUUGCCAGGAGUUGGAGAUAAUUCAAUGAACUUCCCCAAAUUUUGAAUUCCCCUCCUGUUCUGCGGUGGUAUCAUAGGACUUCAUUGCACUAUUCUGUGCAUGGAUACUUUGGAAAACAAAGGCUCUUAGCUGAAACCAAAGAACACUCUCUGGCACAUUCCAUUCACUAUACCAGUAAAUAGACAGAUAGAAAUGAAAAUGUUGAUGGAAAAUAUUUUAUUAAUAAUUUCAGAUAAAAAUAACAAUAAAAAAUUUCAAAUCUCUUAAAAUUCUGACCACAAUAGCAACAAAAUAGAAAAAAAUAAAACGGAUCAGAUUGCUUUUGAUGCAUACUGUUUCAUUCUUUUUCUCACUUCUUCGACGUAUUUUCAAGAAGAUGGAAAUUCUUGAUCUUAGUUAGAAACAAAUUGGUUUUUCAAGAAGAGAUUAUUAGUUGGGAUAUUGCAUUUGAGUUGGUUCUUCACCAUUUAAUGUUAUAAUUUAAGAUAAUUGAUGAAAACUAUUGAUAUAUACAGGAAAGUUCAGAAAGCAUCUUUAAUUGAUUUGAUAAGGAAAGUCUUGUUUGUUUUGGCUAUAAGAUUUUUCUAUGUAUUAUUGCAUGCUUUUUACUGCUUUUUGGCCUUUCAUUCGAAGGAUAUAAAAAUAAUAAGAACAUUUUUUAUUCAUUAUCAAUGCUUGAUUUUAGCACGAUAAAAUCCAAGGGAUUGAUGGUCUGGUGUUUGUGGUGCUGGUAAAUGUAAGAACGGACCGAGAGAUGAAAUAGGAAAAACCCAUGUCUAUUAGUUGGCACCGGUGAUCAUUAGGCCCUUGCCGCCCACGAAAUCGCUUUAUCCUGUUGUUAAUUUUUUAAUGAAGCGUAUCAAGUGUUUGAUAAAAUUCCUUAACUGGAAAAAAAAAACCUUUUUUUAAUGAAGCGUAUCAAGUGUUUACACUUUACAGUGCUUUAGAAUAAGUUUGGUUUUUAAAAUAUUUUUUAAAAAAAUACAUCUAAUUAAUUUUUUGAUGAUUUAAAAAUAAUAAAAAUAUAUUUUAGAAUAAAAAUAUAUUUUUUUAAAUACUUUUACACCACAAAAACAACUACUUUUCAAGUCUUCCUACCCAUCGUUAAAUCAAACCUAUAAAACCUAACCAUUACAGUUUCUCUCUCCAUCGUCUUCCUCUGCUCUUGUCAUGGCAUCAACUCAUUAAGUACAGGUAAAGAUACUUGAUGUCUGUCAAGCAUAGGUUUUAGAACCGGCUUGAGGGCCUGGUUAAAUAUUUGGGUUUCAAGUUUUUAUCUGGUUAAUUUUUUUAAAAAAAUUAAAAUAAUAUUGUUUUAGUAGAAGAAUAAAAAUUAACAGGUUGUAAUUAGGUUUUUGACCGGAUCUUAUCAAGUUAAUCUGCCGGAUCACACCAGGUUUUUUCUUUCUUUUUUUUUCCAACCCGGCUCAGUUCCAGUUGCAAGUCAGCCGGAUCCUGAAUCAACCUACCAAAUCAGGCCGGGUUUCAAAUCUAUGCUGUCAAGUCACCCCGUCCUUGAACUCACUUGACCCAGCCACCGAGUUAUCUUUUCCGCUCAUCUUUUUUUAUAUCCUGUUCUUGAAAGUCGCUCCAGCUGAACACGCUUAUUCCUCUACAAACUAUUGCAUUUACCAAUACACGCUUGAGAAAUUUCCUUGCUUUUUUUUCCUUGCAUGUGUUACAUUUUUGUCUUUUAUAAUUAUAAUUAUUGCAUUGCUAAUAAUUUGCAAGAAAUAAUAUUCUUUCUCUGAAAAAGGCUUGAAGCAUUAUAGAUAAUCUCUUAUAGGAAUCUCUUUAUUAAAUCAUCAAAAUAUCAGAAAAUAGCGGAAAUGAUAAACUGUGCAGAAUUGAUGCAGUCUUCCUUAAUGCUUUCAACCUUUUACACUGAUUGAGUCCUCUAGAAAACUAUUAGAUGCCAUAAAGCAAGAGAGGAAUAUAUUUUGGAGUGACAUAGAUAUUAUGUUUUAAAAUGAAAUGUAUUUAAAUUUAUUUUUAAAAAUUUAUUUUUAAAAAUUUAUUUUUAAUGUUAACACAUCAAACUAAUCUAAAAAUAUUUAAAAAAUCAUUUAAAAAAAUAAAACAUUCAGCAACCACCAUGAAAUUACCACUCUAAAUUACCACAUAGAUUGUUGCUUGCUCUUUGACAAUUAUUGCAUUUCUAAUAAAACAUACUUUCUCAAUUUCCUUCUUUUUUUUCUUUUUUAACUAUACUCAAUCUGCACCUGCCACGAAAUUACCAAUAAGUAAAUUCCAGCUCAAUAUUUUCCAAUACGCACUUUUGAGAAAUUUCCUUGCUUUUUUCUUUCCUUGUACGUGUUACCUUUUUAUCUUUUAUAAUUAUAAUUAUUGCAUUGCUAAUAAUUUGCAAGAAAUAAUAUUCUUUCUCUGAAAAGGGCUUGAGAAAACCCGAAGCAUAGUAUAUAAUCUCUUAUAGGAAUCUCUUUGUUAAAUCAUCAAAAUAUCAAAGUCUGUUUCCAAAGUUAUGACUACAGUUUAUAUAUAGAAACAACUAAAUAGAAAAAUUAUUAUUUUUUAAAUAGAACAACCAGAAGAGCUUGAUAAUAUUUAAUACAAAAAUAAAAUAGAAAAAUUAUUCCUUUUUAAGUAGAAACAAAAUUAUAAAGAUUUAAUAAUACUGAAUAAAAAAAAUUAAAAUUUCUAAACUAAAUUUAAAAAAAUAACUGAGAAAAUAUUUAUUAUCCCAAUAGUUCUAAUAUUAAAAUCUCAUUUAUCAUAUGUUAGAUCUAUCAAAUAAUAAUAAUUGAACAGUUUUUAGUGAAUUAAGUUCAAUUCAAGAUAACAAAAUAAAGUUUGUUGAGGCUUAUCUUGGAACCGGUAUUAAUUAGUGAGAAUAAGAAAAUCCUAUACAAAUUAUACAAAAUUAAUUAUUAAUUAUCGAUAUUUAUUAUUGAUAAUCAAUAAUGAAUAAUAGCUUAUUUUCUAGUAUAAACUAUGUUUGGAAUGAAAUUGAUAAAAGACAUGAUACACAAUUAAUGAUGGGAUCAUAUAUAUAAAUAAUAAAAUUGAGAUUUUUCAAUUACCUUUAAAUAUAUCAUGGUUUUAAUAGGUGAACGAUACAUUCUUUGAAUUUAUUAGAAGAAAUGUGUAAUGUAAAUUAUAAAAUAAUUUUUUUUUUAUAUACAUAAUAAUAAUAAUAAAUUAGAUGAUAAUAAUAAGAAAAUAGAAAUUAAUUUGAAUAAAUGGUACGAGUUUCUAUUCUAAUAUAUCUAGGGAAGAAGUUUGAAAAAUAGAAUGAAGUUAAAUAUUCUUAAUAAAAAAAAAAGAAAUAAAAUAUCACAGCAUAAAGAGAUGUGGUAAAUCUUAUGUUGGGAGACUGCUCUUCCAAGGAUCCUACGGUUGCGAGCCAUACACGCUUGAGAAAUGGUGUGUUAUCCUUGCGACCAUAAAAUAUCCUUGCGACACAUCUUCCAAGGAUCCUAUGGAUAGCACUUGCGAGCAAUCUUGUUUUUUCAAUGCCGCCAUUCAGCAAGUCCACAUGUCAUGAGUCUACACGGCAUCAAAUUUGCAAAAUCAUAUGGCCCAUUGAUAAAAAGAUGUGUCGAAGCGAAAUCUGUUUUAGGCUUUUAGGUUGAUUUUAUAUGGGUCUCUGACUUGGCUGAUUUUAUUUGAAUAUAUUAUUUGAUUAGUUCAUUUAUAGGUUGACUCUACUAUAUAUUCUGCCUUGCAUUGACAGGAAAUUUCACUAGAAAUUUCAAGUAAUUUACACAGGAAAUUUCCUGCAUGUGUUACAUUUUUAUCUUUUAUAAUUAUAAUUAUUGCAUUGCUAAUAAUUUGCAAGAAAUAAUAUUCUUUCUCUGAAAAGGGCUUGAGAAAACCCUAAGCAUUGUAGAUAAUCUCUUAUAGGAAUCUCUUUAUUAAAUCAUCGAAAUAUCAGAGUAUGUUUCCAAAUACUAUUACUACAAGAAACAACUGAAUAGAAAAAUUAUUCUUUUUUAAAUAAAAAAAAACUAGAAAAGCCUGAUAAUAGUAUUGAAUAAAAAAUAAAAUUGAAAUUUAAUCAACAAUAAUUUCUCAUCUCCAAUAAAAAUUUAGGUUUAUCAUUUGGGUAACACAAACCCUGUAUUUUAAAAUACUAUUGCAAAAAAUUCCUAUUAUAUAUGAAUCAAGAUAACAGUAAAUAACUUUUACCUAUUUUUUCAAGUUUGUACGUAGAAUAGUAGUGGAAUAAUGUUUUUAAUAUUUGAAAAUUUUAAAAAAAAUACUGUGUAACUGUUUUGUAUAAAUUCUAAAGUUAAGGACUCUUUUGUGCUUGGUAAAAUACCUCACAAUAAAAUUAAUAAAUAAUAACACAAGCAAGGACCAAAGUUAAUAAAUAAUAGCAUGCUUUUAUAGAUUGUUACAGUAAAAGCACAGAAAGAAGAACGGUUCAAGACAGAACAAUAAUGGAGGAACGCAAAAAGACAUUCCCUUUCUUGUCAUAAAGUUUUGAAUAGUACUUUUGUGUAUUAUUUUCGUAAAGUUUUUCAAACUUCCAAUAUUUACAUGGCUUACUCGAUGAAAAAGCAAGAGCAAAAGGAAACGCACCCCAUAUUUAUUGUUCCCUUUCCCGUCUUUACAUGGCUUACUCGAUGAAAAAGCAAACACCCCAUUAGUUGUUGCCACCAAAUUCCAGUACACGCUUGAGAAAUUUCCUUGCGUUUUUUUCCCUCUACGUACGCGUUACCUUUUACCUCUUUUAUAAUUUUGAUUAUUGCAUUGCUAAUAAUCUGCAAGAAAGAUGAUGAAAAUUUUUUAGUGAAUUCAAAAUAACAAAAUAAGGUUUGUUGAGGCUUUUCUUGGAACCUCGCUUGGGGUUUAAUUAGCGAGAAUGAAUUCUACAAAGAUAUCGGACUGUGAGUUUGUUUCUAAUGCAAUUCACAAUAAUGACCUUGUGGAUGGACUCUCAGAAUACGUUAGUGAGACAGAAUAUAAUGAGGUUAAUAAUGGGCUUCUACAACUCAUCAUUUAUCCCCAGGGAAGGCCAGGUGGGCCUAGGCCACUGCUUCUGUUAAAAAUAAACUAAAAUAACACUUGUAAGGUGAUACAUAUUCUUGCAAUAAAUAAAGCCAGCAAAGGCAGAUCUGUGUGUCUAUAUAUACAUGAACUGCUGAUUCGAUUUGAACACCCCAUUUCUCCGAUUCAAUAACUUCAGUUGCAAAACUUCUAUCUCCGAUUGCGGCAAUUUCAUAGCUAACUCUUUGUUAUACACAGGUAUAUAAUUUCAUAGCUAACUCUUUGUUAUACAGAGGUAUAUACGGCUAACUCUUCUUUUCUUCUUUCUUGUUUUAAAUAUUUCAUGUCUUUACCAAUAACAAUAAUGUGAAAGCUUUGUAUGUUUCAUGUUUAACUUCAGUUGCUAUUGUCUUAUGCUCUCUCAUUAUUAAGCUUAAAUUGCGAAUUGAUUGUUCCUUCAAUUCUGCAGCUGAAAUGGCAGAGCCAGAGUCUUCUCGUUCUAUACCAGAAUGGACCUAUGAUGUCUUCUUGAGUUUUAGAGGAGAAGACACUCGCAAGACAUUUACAGAUCAUCUAUAUGCUGCCUUAGUCCAAGCAAAAAUCCACACUUUUCGAGAUGAUGAUGAACUUCCUAGAGGAGAAGAAAUCUCCGAUCAUGUCCUCAGGGCUAUUCAAGAAUCAAAGAUAUCCAUAGUUGUCUUCUCAAAAGGAUAUGCUUCUUCUAGAUGGUGUCUCGAUGAACUAGUAGAGAUUCUGAAGUGUAAAAGGAAGAAAACCGGUCAGAUUGUUCUUCCUAUAUUCUAUGACAUUGAUCCUUUAGAUGUGAGAAAACAGACUGGCAGAUUUGCAGAAGCAUUUGUUAAACAUGAAGAGCGUUUUGAAGAGAAGCUGGUGAAGGAGUGGAGAAAAGCUCUUAAGGAGGCAGGAAAUCUAUCUGGAUGGAAUCUCAAUGAUAUGGCAAAUGGGUAUGCCUUUUUUUCUCUAAGAUUCACUUGCACACAUUUAUGGAGUGAUUAUACUUUACAUUUUUCAAUGUGAAACAAUAAAAUACUUAAUUGGCUCGCUAUCAAUGACUUGCUUUUGUCUAUGAGCAGGCCUGAAGCAAAUUUUGUCAAAGAGAUUAUCAAGGAUGUGUUGAAUAAAUUAGGACCCAAGCACUUAUAUGUUCCUGAGCACCUAGUAGGUAUGGAUCGGCUUUCUCGCAAUAUUUUUUACUUUCUAAGUACUGCAAUAGAUGAUGUACAAAUUGUGGGCAUACAUGGGAUGCUAGGAAUAGGAAAGACGACUAUAGCAAAAGUUGUAUUUAAUCAACUCUGCAAUGGAUUCGAGGGAAGCUGUUUUCUUUCGGAUAUAAAUGAAAAAUCAAAACAAUUCAAUGGUCUGGCUCUUUUACAAGAGCAACUUCUUCAUAAUAUUUUAAAACAAGAUGUUGCUAACAUCAAUUGUGUCGAUAGAGGAAAGGUUCUGAUCAAAGAGCGACUUUGUCGCAAAAGAGUUCUUCUUGUUGCUGAUGAUGUGGCUCGUCAGGACCAGCUAAAUGCUUUGAUGGGAGAGCGAAGUUGGUUUGGUCCCGGAAGUAGAGUAAUUAUUACAACAAGAGAUUCAAAUCUUCUUCGUGAAGCAGAUCAAACAAAUCGGAUCGAAGAAUUGGAACCAGAUGAGGCCCUUCAGCUUUUCAGCUGGCAUGCCUUUAAGGACACCAAGCCAGCAAAAGAUUAUAUUGAGCUUUCAAAGAAAGCAGUUGAUUACUGUGGAGGACUUCCUUUUGCUCUUGAGGUUAUAGGAGCUCGUCUGUCCGGGAAAAACAGAGUUACGUGGGAAAGUGAAAUUGACAACUUGAGCAGAAUUCCAAACCAAGACAUUCAAGGAAAGCUUCUAACAAGUUAUCACGCACUUGAUGGUGAACUACAAAGAGCAUUCCUUGAUAUUGCAUGCUUCUUUAUUGGUAAAGAGAAAGAAUACGUCGCAAAACUGCUAGGAGCCCGUUGCGGUUACAAUCCAGAAGUUGUUUUGGAAACUCUCCAUGAAAGGUCUAUGAUUAAAGUAUUGGGAGAGACGGUAACCAUGCAUGAUCUAUUACGAGACAUGGGAAGGGAGGUCGUUCGUGAAUCGUCUCCAAAAGAACCUGGAUAGAGGACCAGAAAUUGGAAUCAAGAGGAUGCAUGGAAUGUGCUUGAGCAGCUGAAGGUAAAAAAAAAUAGUCAUGGAACACUUGACUGAUCAAAGAAAAAAAAUUAUUUAUUUUCUCUUAUUGAGUUCCAUAGUUUAAACUUUCUCGUUACACAUAAUUUUUAGUUUGGUAUAUAUAUUCUACUGUUUUUUAUAAUCUUUAUAUUUAUAUUUUUAAAUAUAAGUACACAUAGCAUCAUUUGAAUCUUUUGAUUGAAAGUAAAAGCUUUAUCUCGUAAAAUCAUCUCUAGAAGGUUUUAUUUGGUCAAUCUUCAAAAACUUAGGGAUUAAAAAAAAAAAACUUCUUACUUGAUUCAAUUUGGAAACCUCAAGGAGAAAAUUGAAACAAGUAUAACCUCACGGGGAGAAGUUGAAUUCUCCCCAAACUCAGGGGUUAAUUAAAAUUAACCUUUAAAUUUCUAUCCAUGCCCAGUUGCCCACGAAAGAGAAGAGGUACAUCCACGUGAAGCUCAUUUUGGGUUUGGGUUAGUUGAAAAUAUCUAGUGGGUGGGCCUUUUUUCUGUUUUUCUGUUUUUUUUUUGUUUUUAUGCACAGAAUACAUGAAAUAAUAAAUUUAAAUCCAACAAAUCCAAUAGAGAUAUAAUAUUGUAUACGAUCAACAUGAAAGAAUUUUACGAAAAGACAUGAAAAUAUCAUAUAUUAUGUGUCUCUGCCAGUCAUAAUUGUAUUGUUUUGUGUAUUAUCAAUUAUCUUUCUUGUAUAGGAAAUAUCAUGUUGGAUUUUGCUGAUGACAAACUUAAUCCUAGAGAUUGCAUCUGCGGUUUUUGACCAGACGGGUUAUGCAUUAAUUGGCAUGGUGUUGGCAUUUGUAGCUUUGCUUCUUGCUGCCGUUGAACUCAUUCACAUGGCUCGAAAGGAAAGAACUAAACGGGUGGGCCUAUUGCCACCUUUUAUUCUCCAUGCAACUAGAAAGCCUGUUGGCUGGUGCUGUCUGGCAAUGUGUUUAUUCGACUGUGGAGUAUAUGUAUACUCGUCAGAAGAAAGAUAAUCCAAUUAAGAUGUGUCUUUUACCUUUCAUUUUCUUAUUAUGCGUGGCGAUUUCCAAAUUAUUAGUCGACAAGAGUUCCGUUGUAAAUAGUUCUUAGCAAUAGUAUUUUCUUUGAACUAGAAGGAAUUUCUAGUAUUGUGUUCUAAGGACUCUUUUUAGUGGGAAUGAGUCAAAGAUUUUGAUUCCUAGAUUUUCUUAUCGAAGACCCAGACUUGUAAUGCAAUUAAGACACUAUAUUUUAGACAGUGAGCAUGAGUUGAUGUGGACAAUCUAGCUAUUAUUGAUAUGCGGUUCAGUAACCUCAAAUAACUAUGAAAGGAAAAAACUGUCAUUCACUGAUUUAAUUGGAAAUUAUUUGCGAGAAAGCUAAAAAGAAUUAGAGUUUUUUAAUUUAUAAAAUUAUAAUUCUAAAUUCUAAAAAAAAUUCAAUUAUUUUUAAAAUUAUUUUAAAAAAUAAAACAUCAACUAUUUAUAUAAUAGCUAAAUAAAUCUAUUAAAAUAAAUUGAAAAUAACUAGUAAAAUCAAGCAAAUAAUUCAAAAAUAAUAAGAAAAUAAAUAUAUUUCCUAGAUCUAAUUUGAGUAUAUUUUUUAUCUUGAUUGACUGACUUGUCAAGUCUUUAUUCCGUAUAAACAAAUUUUAUUCUAAAAGUCUGUUUGAUAUUUCUUCACUUAUCUAUGAAAUAUUACUUCUACUGUACAGAAUAGAAAUAAAAAUUAGAUGAUAAUAUUUAUUCUAAAAGUCUUCGUUAAGGAUAAAUGAACUUUAUUCUAAGAGUUUGUUUGAUAUUUUUUUAUUUAUUAAUGAAAUAUUACUUCUACUGUAUAGUUAUUGGGUUCCGAGUCGAUCCACCGGGUCAAUAGGCGAACAGUAUAUUCUUUGAAUUUAUUAGAAGAAAUGUGUAAUGUAAAUUAUAAAAAAUAUUUAUUUUUCUGAUAUAUAUAAUAAUAAUAAAUUAGAUGAUUGUCACACCCGACAUCGCGGCGACCUUAAAAAUUUAAUUCUUUGGAAAAGAACAGAUUUCUGGCAUCCUAUUCUUUAAUGGGGAUAUUCUUUGUUUAAGGAGUCGCCACCUAGUAUUAUGGUCACUAGGAACCCUAACUGGUCAACAGAGAGUCUACGGUUUGGGACUGGUUACGUAAAAGGGAAGAUAUUAUCACCCCUUAAACGUCCUGCCUGAGGCAGGCUGCACUGCUAGUUUUAUCUUUAAUUGCUAAAUGUUUAUUAGUUUACGAUAUGAUAAUUUACUUAUAAUAUUCCCGACUCUGGCGUCAGUGAAUAUUAAACUACGAAUACUUCCAACUCUGGCGUUGGUCAAUAUCACGUAGCUAUAAAAUAAAUUAGAUUAAUAUUUUUUAUUUUCCCGGCUCUAGCGCCAGUGAAUAAAUAAACAAAAUAAAAUUUGAUUUUUUUACGCAUGCAUAUUUUUUUAUUUUUUUUAGCUAAAUAAAAUAAAGUACAACAAAUAAAAAUAAUAUAAAUUUAAACCGGUAUUUUUAUUCCUGACUCUGGCGUCAGUGAAUAAACCAAUAAAUUUACAUUAUUUUUAUUCAUCUAAAUAAAUUUAAUUUUUUACGCAUGCACAUUUUUUAUUUUUUAGCUAAAUAAAAUAAAGUACAACAAAUAAAAAUAAUAUAAAUUUAAACCGGUGUUUUUUAUUCCUGACUCUGGCGCCAGUGAAUAAACCAAUAAAUUUACGUUAUUUUUAUUCAUCUAAAUAAAUUUAAUUUUUUACGCAUGCACAGUUUUUAUUUUUUAGCUAAAUAAAAUAAAGUACAACAAAUAAAGAUAAUAUAAGUUUAAACCGGUAUUUUUAUUCCUGACUCUGGCGCCAGUGAAUAAACCAAUAAAUUUACAUUAUUUUUAUUCAUCUAAAGAAAAUAAAAUACAACGAAUAAAAAUAAUAUAAAUUUAAACCGGUAUUUUAUUCCUGACUCUGGCGUCAGUGAAUAAACCAAUAAAUUUACAUUAUUCUUAUCCAUACAUGCAUAUUUUUUUAUUUUUUAUUUUUCUGCCUUUUAUUUUUUUAUUUUUUUUAUUAUAUAUUUUUUUAACUGGGCGGGGCCCGGCCCGGCCCAGAAAAAAAAAAAUUGGGGGCUGGGCCCAGCGCAGCCCACAUGGACUGGGCUGGACCCAGCCAGCCCAGCCCGGUCACUGGCCCAAGCCAGUGACCCGGCUGGGUAAAAACUAAAGGCACGCGUGACUUAUUCACGCGUGCCCGAACACUGGUGAAGGUAAUUAAAUUACCUUCACACAGUGUUCUUGCAGCACAUAAUUAUCUUUUGAAAUGAAAAUGCAGAGGAGACGGGGUCAUACCUGCUUCUGGAGACCGAAGAUGCUGCUUCUGGAGACCGAAGAUGUUGCUUCUGGAGACUGAGAUGCUUGCAGCGCUGCUUGAUGAUUUUCGCCUAAUGUUCCUCUGGUUUUCCUUCUGUGAAUACUUAUCUAUGCUUUCCUUCUUGAUUUCUCUGUAACUUCUAAAGCUACAAAGAAGAUUCCGGCUUGUUGUGAGUGUUCUUUGGCUGAAUCCGGGUUUUUUUGUUUGCAGGUUCGGAGACAAUUUCAAGGAUAAUUCUCCUUACCGUGUCCUGCCUUCUUGUCCUCUCCUUCUCUGUGUAUUUGGAUUUGUGCUCUGUUUUCUCUGCCUUUUUCUUUUAACUCUGUUUUUCUGGGUUGAUUUUUUCGGUUCUCUCCCUCCUUUUCUUACUGUGUAUAAUUUCUCUGGUUUUCUUGCUUUUUUUCUUGCUCUCCCUCCUUUUUUUUUCUUUAGGUGUUCUUCUCCCUUUUAUAAACCCAGCCGAUUGCCCCCCAUCAGUCCUGCCUUUGCAGGACUGUUAUCUUCCACGAACGAGAUCGUGGGCGAGAGACGUGGUCCUCGAUUGGAUUGAAUCCGUUGCAGAUUUUCCAGCCUGUUGAAUCGGGAUGGAGAAGACGAACACGACUGUUCUACCCGCAGCGGCGACGUUUCGGCAGCAAUGGAUUUCACCAGCAACGACGCCGUUUCAAGCAGCAAAUGGACAUUUUUAUUUUGAUCCCUGAACUGUUGGAAAUUCGGCAAUUGGACCUUAAAAAAAAUUCCACUUAAUUUUGUCCCUUUGGAUUAAUUUCAAUUAAAUCCUUAAAUUAUAACACUGUUUACAAAACAGUCCUUAAUUCCUGGAUUGUUCAAUUUAGCCCUUAAUUAAAUCUUUAACCUUUCAAAAUUGAUCAAUUAACUCUCAAAUUACAUCCUCAAACUUCAAAUUUUGUUGUUUUAACCCCAUUGGCAACUAUAUUUAAUUUUUUUAUUAUUUGUUCAAAAAUUGGUUAUGACAGUUGCUCCCUCUUUAUAAUAUUUACAAUACAAAGAUAUUGAAAAAUUUCAUUUUUCCUUAGCUUUGUGUAGUAAAUUUAUAAAGAAAAGUAGAUAAAAAAAAAAUCUUGAAAACAGUAGAUUGACAUAUGACUUUUUACGGAGAGAAUAAGUUAUUUGGAAGAUGACUUUUUUUUUUUUUUUUGAAACUGAUCAAAUUAUUUUGGGUAACCUACCUAAUGAUAAAAGAAACGCGAAGAAUUUCGCGAGUGGUCUAAUUGUUCCAGGCGACCUACCCAAUGAUUGAAAAAUACGAGGAUUUUUUUUUUUGUGAUGGUAUAUUGUAAUGGGUUACCGGCCCAGAAUAAAGUGGUUUAUUGUAAAGGGUUACCGGCCCAAAUGGUCACAUUGUAAUGGGUUACCUGCCCAGUGUAGGAUGGUAAAUUGUAAUGGGUUACCAGCCCAGUCUAGGAUGGUAAAUUGUAAUGGGUUACCAGCCCAGUUGGUCACAUUGUAAUGGGUUACCUGCCCAGUUGGUCACAUUGUAAUGGGUUACCAGCCCAGUUGGUCACAUUGUAAUGGGUUACCUGCCCAGUGGAUAAAUACGUGGAUUUUUUUUUAAUAAGAUAUGAUAGGGCUCGAAGACGCACUCCAAAGGAGGUAGGAUAGGAAAUGCACUACCUUUGAUGUUCGAGGGCUCGAAGGCGCCCUCGAAAUGGAGAUAAAACGAGGGCUCGAAGACGCGCUCGAAUGGAGAUAAGAUGAGGGCUCGAAGGCACGCUCGAAUGGAGACAAGACGAGGGCUCAACGGCACGCUCGAAAAAGAACUCAAAAGGAGGUAGGAUAGGAAAUGCACUACCUCAGGAGUGGAAACUGAAAUGUGGUGGAAAAAUAUAGAGAGAGAUUUUUUUAGGUGGCCUAAUUCUCAUGGGCGGCCUGCCUAGGUUGAAAAAUUCUCAAAAGCGAAAAUUUUUCAAAAGCAAUUUCAAUGUUGGCCAUCCACUUGAUGGAUUCCGUUAGAAUUUUCUCUAAUAAAAUUUGCAGCACUCAUUGUCCAAUGUUUCAAAGUUUAAAUGAUAUGCAUGCAUCUUUACCUGACUUGAAAUAUAGGCCCCCCAUUUCUUCUUAAUCUUCUCAUUGUAUGGUUGAUGAGAUCUUGCUAUCUGAUUUGAGUCAUCUUUGUCGUUUGGAUUUCUAGCGCACUCGAGUUAGCCCAUAUAAGACUUUUUCCAGAUUUGUUUGCACAACUCAGCCUUUGUGGUGCCCAUCGUGACCCACAUGCUUGAUGGACUCGUCAAAUAAUUUGAGAGGAUCAUUCAUUACCCCUUGACUCACUGCUAAAAACAUUCGGUGUCACUAGCUGAAAGGAUCAAGCUGUCUUUCAUAAACCAAAAUGCCCCCUUGUCUUGUUGAAGGAAAUUACCAUCUCUUUUUUUUUUAGAAUUUUCCUUCUGAACACAAUAUCCCCUUGUAUUGGUCAUUCCCCCUAAGUGUGCUCUGUCAGCGACUUUAGACAAAUAAUGGUUUUAAGAGACCCUUUUCUCAUUUCUAUCCUUUUUCAGUUUGGUGAAGAAGUAUGGGUCUAGAAUAAAUCUUGAAAUCUUGAUCUUGCAUUUUUGAAAACAAAAAUUAUUUCAAUAUGAGUCUAAAACAAUUUACUUUCAAAAUCUUGCAACUCCUUGGUUAUUUUCUUUCUUGGAAAAGAGAUUAUUUGCUCUUGUGUUUGGCAAUGAGAUCUUCGGUGAAAAAUACGUUAUGAGAUGACCUUUUGUGUCAAAGUGAAGGGCUCGAGAGAAAGCUCGAGAUUUUGUAUGAGAAAAACAUCUCUUUUUAACUUUUAUUUUUAUCAGCAUGAAUAAUAAUGGGUAGUUUAUUCUUGAUGCCAUGAAUUUCAUGAAAAACUAUUCUUUGGAUUUUGAGAGCAUUGUUUAUUGUUCCAGGUUGCUUGCUUGCUUGAUUAGAAAGGACUUCUACAAGCACGUAAUGUAGGCUGUGGUUUUUGGCUAUGAAAGAAAAGGACUCGUAGGGCUCAAAGAGUGUUUCAGGGUUUCAAAGACUGAAGAUCACUAUUAAUAGUUUGACUCUUGACGUCAUUCAUAUUUUCUUUUGCCGCUCUUCUUUGAUUUGCCCUUUUUUCUUCUUUCUUUUUCAUUGCUUUGCUAGAGCCUACUCAUUUUAUCUUGGUUAUCACUUUUUCUUGUGAUUUGGGCAUGCCCCCUAGCACUUGAGUUUCUUGGGCUCUUUUGCCUUUUGGCUUUCUCACGGCUUUAUCAUUUUUCUUGAUCAUUGAAAUUUCACUUGCCCCCAGUGUGGGGUGUGAUCUUAGUCAGGAUUUUUAAUGAAAGAAAAAUUAUUCAGGCUCAAAAAGGGAUCGCAAGGGAUGUACUUAUUUUAGAACGUGAAAGGAAUAACAAAGAUGGCCUUUCCUCAUUUCAAACGUAAGCAACUAUGAUCAAUAAACUUUGACCUCAUCCAGUGUGAUGGUUUAGUCUUUACGAGGAUGCAUUUCAUGAGUUAUGAGCAACAAGUUCACUACAUACCAUUAUUCAUACAUUUAAAAACACAUGAUUCAAGAGUUAUGGGAUAAGGGUAUUUAUUCAUUUUUUUUUUGUUUUUAGAGUUUGGUCACCUCUAUGUAGGAGUUGCUUGAUUCAUUUGUCAUUCUACACGUAGAAUGUCAAAAAUCAUUUUUGAAUAAACAUCAAAUUACUUUUGAAAUCAAAAUACCAGAUCAAUUUUUCAAAACUCAAAUAAGAAAACUGAUUUUGGUAAAAGUAAUGAAUUCAAUCUAUGAGAUCAUGCAAGGCUUCAAGAGUGUAUUUACUGAUUCUUUAAUAUCAAUAACAUUUAUGAGAGAGAAAAGAUAUGCAAAGUGAAUUUCUUGGCAAAACUUUUAUUGAUUUGAUGAGAACUUAUACAAUCAUGGAUAAUAUUUCUUCACAGAAUUGGAAUUCACUGGCCUACUCAAAUCUUCUCCAUCCAUUCCUGUCAGUAUCAACGCCCCUCCAGAGAAUGCCUUCUUUACUACAUAUGGACCUUCAUAAUUAGGUGCCCACUUGCUAUGAUUCUCACUAGGUAGUAAUAGGAUUUUUCUCAAUACAAGAUCUCCUUCUUUAAACUCUCUUGGUCGAACUUUUCUCUCAUAGGCUCUUGCUAUCCUGUUUUGAUACAGUUGGUGGUGACAAAUUGCAGCUAAUCUCUUCUUACUGAUCAUAUUUAGCUGUUCGUAUCGUAUCUCAGCCCAUUUAGCCUCUUCUAGCUCAGAUUCCAUGAGAACCCUUAGAGAAGGAAUCUCUACUUCUAAAGGCAUCACUGCCUCCAUUCCGUAAACUAACGAAUAAGGUGUAGCCCCCGUUGACGUCCUUAUUGCUGUUCGAUAUGCAUGUAGAGCAUAAGGAAGCCAUUCCUGCCAAUCUUUAUAUAUGACCACCAUUUUCUGGACAAUCUUCUUUAUGUUCUUGUUAGCAGCUUCAACAGCACCAUUCAUCUUUGGUCUGUAAGGGGAUGAAUUAGAAUGCUUGAUUUUCCAUUUAGUGCAUAAUUCCAUGAUCAUUUUCCCAUUGAAGUUCUUGGCAUUAUCGGUUACUAUCCUUUCUGGCAAACCAUACCUACAAAUUAGAUCUCUCUCAAUGAAUCGCUUGACCACCUUCUGAGUCACAUGAGCAUAUGAGCAGGCCUCUACCCACUUUGUAAAAUAAUCAAUUGCGACCAAGAUAAACCGAUGACCAUUGCUGGCUUUUGGAUUAAUAGGCCCAAUCACAUCAAUUCCCCACAUCGCGAAUGGCCAAGGUGACACCAUAUUGAAUAAGGGCACUGGGGGUGCAUUGAUUUUGUCACUAUACACCUGACAUUUAUGACAUUUUCGAACAAAUUCUAUACAAUCUUUUUCCAUGGUCAACCAAAAAUACCCAGCUCUUUGCAUCUGUCUUGCCAUCAUGUGCCCAUUUGCAUGGGUGGUGCAAAUUCCUCCAUGCACUUCAUACAAUGCUUUAUUGGCUUCUGAUCUGUCUAGACAUCUUAAUAAAGUCCCAUCAAAUGACCUUUUGUAUAAGAUUUCUCCAUCUAUAAAGUAUUCCAUUGCCAUUCUUCUUAGAGUCUUCUUAUCUGUCUUUGAAGCUUCAGAAGGAUAUUCCCGAUAUUGGAUGAAUCUUUUUAUAUCUGCAUACCAAGGAUUGCCAUCCACUUCUUCUUCUAUUAAACAACAAUGAGCAGGAGAACUUCUAAUAUCAAUGCUUAUAGGAUGUACUCUGAUACCACAAUCGAUCGUAGCCAUAGAGGCCAAGGUUGCUAAAGCAUCCGCAAACUGAUUCUUAUCCCUUCCUAAAUGAUUGAACUCUAUCUUUUCAAAGUUUUCAGCCAAUUUGGAGAGAUAUUCCUGAUAUGGUUUCAAUUUCUCAUCUUUUGUCUGCCAUUCCCCCUUUGUCUGACAGAUUAUUAACAUAGAGUCUCCAUAUACCUCUAAUUUCCCUAUCUUCAGUUCCAAUGCAGCUUCUAAUCCAUGAAUGCAAGCCUCAUAUUCAGCUGUGUUAUUCGUGCAACUAAACUGCAGUUUGAUGGAGAUGGGAUAUUGUUUUCCUUCUGGAGAAAUUAUUACAGCACCAGCUCCAUUACCAGACACAUUCACCGCACCAUCAAAGUACAUAGUCCACCAAUCUCUUUCUAUUACCAACACAUCUUCAUCAGGGAAGUCAAAAUUUAAUGGCUCAUAGUCCUCAAUGGCGUUAUCAGCUAAAUGAUUCGCAAUUGCACUUCCUUUCAUAGAUUUUCUUGUUUUGUAGAUGAUAUCAUAUUCAGCCAACAACACUUGCCAUCUGGCCAGCCUAUUUGACAUAUAUGGCUUUUCAAAAAUAUAUUUCAGAGGAUCUACCUUUGAAAUUAACCAAGUGGUAUAGUAUAACAUAUAUUGUCGGAGUCUUUUCGCACUCCAUACCAAGCCACAACACAGCUUCUCAAUCAUACUGUAACGAGAUUCACAUUCAGUGAAUUUCUUACUAAGGUAGUAGAUGGCUUGCUCCUUUCUCCCGGACUCAUCAUGUUGGCCAAGCACACAGCCCAUUGCUGAUUCAGUCACUGUUAAGUACAAAAUGAGAGGCUUCCCAGGCACAGGUGGUACCAAUAGCGGUGGUUUCUGCAGAUAUUGUUUGAUCUUAUCAAAGGCUUCUUGACAAUCUUCAUCCCAUACUCCGGGGUUUUUCUUUCGAAGUAAUCGAAAGAUUGGUUCACAAGUGACUGUAAGUUGUGAAAUGAAUCGAGCAAUGUAAUUUAAACGCCCCAAAAAGCUUCGAACUUCUUUCUCAGUCUUAGGAGCUGACAUGGCUUGUAUGGCCUUCACUUUAUCAGGGUCUACCUCUAUACCAUUACUGCUUACCACAAAUCCCAAUAACUUCCCAGACUUCACUCCAAAUGUGCAUUUUGCAGGGUUCAACUUUAAUUGAUACUUUCUCAACCUUUCAAAUAAUUUCUUUAGAGCUGGGAUAUGAUUUUCCUCAUCUUUAGACUUAGCAAUCAUAUCAUCCACAUAGACCUCAAUUUCUUUAUGCAUCAUGUCAUGAAAUAGUGUCACCAUUGCUCUUUGAUAAGUUGCUCCAGCAUUUUUUAAUCCGAAUGGCAUAACUCUAUAACAAUAUGUUCCCCACGGAGUAACAAAUGUUGUCUUCUUCUUGUCUUGCUCGGCCAUUUUGAUUUGAUUAUACCCAGAGAAACCAUCCAUAAAAGAGUAAGUAGAACUCUUAGCAGCAUUAUCCACAAGUACAUCUAUGUGGGGUAACGGAAAAUCAUCCUUCGGGCUUGCCCUAUUCAAAUCUCGAAAAUCCACGCAUACCCUGAUUUUGUUGUCUUUCUUGGGUACUACUACAAUAUUGGACACCCAUUGAGAAUAAUCAACAACUUCUAAGAAUCCAGCAUCCCACUGUUUCGUUAUCUCUUCUUUUACUUUGAUUAGCAUAUCAGGCCUCGUCCUCCUCAACUUUUGCUUAAUCGGUUUACAACCCUCUAUCAAAGGUAGUUUAUGUACCACAAUAUCAGUAUCCAGACCAGGCAUAUCGGCAUAUGACCAGGCAAAAACAUCAACAUAUUCUUGUAAAAGAAUGACCAACUCGCUUCUCACACCAGCAGAUAUUAGCUUCCCUAUUUUCAACUCUCUUUUAUUAUGUUUGGUGCCCACAUUUAUCAGUUCUAGUUCUUCUUUAGCAGGCUUCCAUGUGUGAUCAGAUUGUUCCACUAACCUUGCGAACUCAUCGAUGUCUUCCUCACCCAACUCUUCCUCAUCCAUUGCAAUUAUAGUUUCAUCAAAGUUAGGCCAAUUAUCCACAGUGCAUUGAGUUUGUGAGCACAAUCCGCUUUCAGAUCUCCUGAAAGCGGAAAGUGUUUCGGUUAUGAGUGUAUAAUUCUGGGAAAGCAAAUAAAUAAACAAAUAACAAGAAAACAUGUUUGAAAGAAAAUAUGCAUGAUCUCAUUGAAUUUUAAAGGAUAGACGGGCUCAACAACAAAACCUUAUUGCCAAUCUCUUGAGCCACAAUGGUUUUGGCAAGGCACAAUUGUUCAAACAAUACAAUAAAAACAAAGAACAAACAAACAUUACUUUUUAAAAACAACUGGGACUUCAUGAAUUUCCCAAUUUUCCAACUCUUCUCCCUCAGCCAGCUUCCUCACGAAUUCGGAUGAGCCAUCUUCCAAAACACCAAUAGUUAGUUGUGGUAGCUGUUCGUAAGGACUCUCUUCUUCCUUUACAUCUUGCUCACUAACAUUUUCAAGAUAAUUGAUAGUAGCACCACUGAAUUCUUUUCUUAGCCCCUCCUCAUAAUCCUCAGCUUUUAUCACAUACGCGGCUCUUGGAAAUGUUACAUAGAUAGGUGGGAUUUCCAUUCGAUCUUCAUCUGGCUCUCUUCUUUCAAUCCGGGCUACUCUCUUUUCCCUUCUAUUUUCAGCUGCUCUUUUAAAAUCUGCUUUGCCAGGCUUAAACCCUAAGCCAAACCUCUGAUCGGCGCAUUUUAUUUUUACCGCAUUAACCCUCUCAGGCAUUCCAGUAGUUAGGUCAUAUUGAAAUGGUAAUCCAUGCUUCAAGAAGUAUUUAGCAGCCAUUUUUGCUGCUUCAGAAAUUUCUGGCUUUCUUCGUAUCAUAUUUUCAGGUACCCAUUCAGCAUUUACAACUUCAAAUGCAUGCAGAUUUCCAUCCUUACUUUCUUCAGCUUCUAUAUAAGGGAUCGAUACAUUUCUCAUCAUUGACAAAGUUUCUUCAGCUCUCACAGUCACCAAAUUCCCAUUGAUGAUGAACUUGACCCGUUGAUGUAAAGAAGAUGCGACAGCUCGAGCUGCAUGGAUCUAAGGUCUCCCUAGCAAAAUGUUGUAUGAUGGAUGAAUAUCCAUUACUUGUAAUGUGACUUGGAAUGGUUGGGGGCCAAUGACUAGUUCAACAUCAAUACUUCCAAUGAUUGGUCUAGGUGACCCAUCGUAUGCCCUUGCAGUCAUAGUACUUGGCUUCAUGUGAGAGGCAUCAACUGGCAUUUUAUCAAGUACAUGUCUCGGCAAUACAUUGAGAGCGGAACCAUUAUCCAUAAGCACCUUAGCAAUCACACAAUCCUUGCAUUUUACCGUGAUAUGCAAUGGUUUAUUAUGACCGGUCCCUUCAUGAUCCAACUCAUCAUCGGUAAAAUAGAGGUAGUUGGUGGCUUGAAUCCUACCCACCAAAUGUUCUAUGGAGUCUUGUGUGAUAUCCUGAGGAAUAUAUGCUUCAUUAAGAACCUUCUGAAGUGCGUUCCUAUGCAAUUCUGAACUCAAUAUUAAUGACAACAAAGAAAUCCUAGCGGGUGUUUUCUUUAGUUGAUCAACCACACUAUAUUCGCUGUGCUUCAUCAAUUUCAGGAAUUCAUUAGCCUCUUCAUCACUUACUGGCUUGUUAACCUCAUUUGACUUUGUCAAAUCCACCAUAUCCUUUCCUUUGGCUUUUCUUUGGUUUUCCAACUCUUCAGGAGUAAAACAUCUCCCACUCCGAGUGAGUCCUCCUAUUUCCGCAUGGAAAACGGGGGCAGGAUUUGUGCUGUGAAAGGAACAACCAUAAUUAUAGGGUUGGGCAUUAUAGCUUCCGCUAACAGUAUUCAUAGGCUUGGCUAGUAUCAUUUUUGGUGGACCCUUUUCGGUUGGUAUAUAUCUACAAACUUCCACUUUUUGGUUACAACCAGUCAUUGUUCCUACUAACUCAUCUUCUUUGGGUUUCAUCAAUCUUAACAUUCCCAACGUCAUCAUAUUUUCUACCUCCAAAUGAAACUCCUCGCACGAGUCAAUAUCAUGCCCAAGCUGCUGAUGAUAUUUACAAUAUUCAUUUGCAUUCCUUACAGCUUGUGUUUUGACUGGUGUCUUUAGAUAAUUUGUUUGCCUCAACAUCCCAUACAAUCUAUCCAUAGUCACCCUUAAAGUUGUUGUACUUCUCCUUCCUAUCUCCAAGUUAUUAACUCCCCCACUUCCCGAAGCAUGAUUUGGUAGAGGAUUAGAUUUCACAUUUGGAGAUUCAUCAAAAGAAAUCCACCCAGCUUUGAUGAGCUGAAGGAUUUUUCUUUUGAAUGCAACACAUCCAUCAAUAUGAUGACCAACAGCGCCAGGAUGGUAUUCACAUUUUUUAUCGGGUUUAUACCAAAAAGGAAAUGGUGGUUGUAAAGGUUCUAAGGGAACAGGUGCUACCUGGCCAAUACUAAGCAAUCUUUGGUGCAUUUCAGUAAGAGACAUGGGUAAUGGCGGAAGUUGCACUUGCUCUAUUGGAAAACUUCUUCUUGGGCGGUAAGUAGCAUUGGUUUGGUUGUUUAUUGGGUUAUUUUGGGUGUUUGUAGGUGAUGAGAAUUUUAUAUUGGAUAUAGAAGGGGUAGGUGUAAUACUUUUGAAACUGUAAUUAUCUUGGUAGGUGUUCUUCCCUCUACUUUCCCUUUCAACAUUGUGAACUUCCGUUUCUUUCCUUUUUCCAGUAAAACCUCUUUUUUCAGUAGGAUCCACGAUCCUACCUGUCCGAACAGCUUGUUCGAUCCUUUCAGCUAUGACAACCAAAUCAGAGAAAUUUUUUGCAGCACUACCUACCAAGUAUUCAAAGUACGGGGCUUUGAAAGUGUUGGAAAAUAAACCAGUCAUCUCCCUUUCUGACAAUGGAGGAUUUACUUGCGCGGCUGAUUCACGCCACCUUUGGGCAUAUUCUCUUACAGACUCCCUAUUCCCUUUUUCCAUGGCUUGCAGACUUGACCUUUCAGGGGCAAUAUCCAUGUUGAACUUAUAUUGUCUAAUAAAAGCUUCAACCAAAUCCUUCCAUCCUUUAAUCUUGGUAUUAUCUAAGCGCAUAUACCAAGCAAGAGCCGCAUCACUUAAACUGUCUUGAAAGAAAUGGAUCAAUAGCUUCUCAUCAUGGACUACCUCAGCCAUCUUAUUACAAUAUGCUUUAAGAUGGGUGAUCGGGCAUUGAGUUCCAGUAUAUUUAACAAAAUCUGGUACACGGAAUUUUCUGGGAAUAACCACAUUAGGCACCAAACACAUUUCAGCAGCUUUCACCGGAUCAUACAAACUAUUCCCUUCCAUUGCCUUCAUUCUUUCUUCUAAAGCAGCUAGCUUUUCAUGACCAUUUUCCUCCACUAUCUUAUUCCUUUGAGGUUCUUCUUCUGUCAAAACUGCAAUGGGGACCCUCGUUGGAUAUGCUGAUUGGGCAGGUAAGAAAUGAGCAGCAUGCUAAGGUUCAAAUGGCGGAAUAAAAGGAGGCGGAGGCUGAGGUGUAAAUGUUUGUUGAGAAGAUGUUCCUUCUCCAGCUCUAGGCCUCAAAGCCUGUUCAAGCAAGCUGGUAAGCCUUGCUACAUCCUCCUUCAGGCUUUCCAACUCUUUUUGGUGUUGAAUUUCUAACUGAGUUCUCUCUUCAUUUUCCAUUUUCUUCCGUAAACGAGUAUUAUGGAUACGUUUCAGUUGGGGACCUAUAUUUCACCUGUUAUAUGUAGAAUAUGACAAUUUAUAAAACAAAUGUAUGAAAUGCAUGAAUAUGAAUGCAACAUAUUGGAUAUGGAUUUGCUUUUCAUUGGUGACAUAUGGUCGUCAUUCUUUGGAUAUGAGGUUUGAGCUUGAACUUGAUAUCAUCGUUGUGAUGCCGAGAAGAGAUCUGUUUAGCUUUUUGACAUUUCAGCUUCCAGCCAUAUACGCAUAUUUUUGAAUUGAAAAGGUGGGUCUCAGCCCUUUAUUACUUAUUCAGAAGCUUACAAUGAAAAAUUGAUCUAAUCUAUUACAGGAGAAAAAACACUGCCUCUAUUAGCUAUUGCUUUUAAGAAAAGAUCGGUGUUAUCCAAGCUUCUUCGAUACUUUAUUAUAUCACCUCCCACUUGGCGAGCUUCCACUCGUAAUAAAUGGGCUUCUGCAGCUGCUUGACCAACUUGAUCUUGUAGUUCCCUUAUCCUCUCAGUAUGUAUCAAGUUGUUUCUAGACAGAAAGUUAUUGGUGGCAUCCAAUGUUUGAUUAUGUUGUUCUAUCAUUUUCUGGCUUUCCAUAAGCUGUGCAGUCUUUGAUUUUUCUUUGUCCAGCUUAAAUCUCAAUGCUUCCACCUCAGUAUUGUGAUUGUUCCACUCUGCUUUUUGCUCUUCAUGAAUUUUAGUUAAAGCCUCAGCUUUUCCCAAUUGGCCUUUAAACUUAACAAUGUCCGCCCGACGCAUUUUCAAUGUAGCUUGUGUCUUGAUGGCUAAUUCUUCCCAAUGCUUAGCUUUGUCCAUAUAAUACAUCAUAUCCUGAUUAAUUAUUUUUUGUGUUUCCAAGUCAGCCUUUGCCUUUAUCAAGUCUUGACCUACAGAGUCCCUUUCUUCUUCAGCUACUUUCCUUACACCCUUUUCUUUGGCUAGUUGCCGCUCUAAGGACACUCUUUGUUCUUCCUUUGCUUUAAGCUCAGCUUGUAACGAUUUUACUUGUUUUCUUAAUUCUUCUUCACAAUUCACUCUUUUCCUUCGAAGGCCCACAGAUUCAGAAACUUCUGCCGUAUAAGAGACUCCUCUAUUACGCCAUUCAGGAUACUUUUCACUAACUGUAGGAUUCCUUACACCGAUCUCUUUUUUAACUAGCACCAAAGAUCCCCAAUCAUGUUUAAUGCUCUCCAGCAUCUCAUUAUAUGCACCCUUAUAGACUCCGGUGAAUUGAGCUAAGCCAACUGUUCUUGGAAUGCUUUGUAUGCCCCCAAGCUGUCUUGCAACCAAAGCAGACGCAUAACUAAUAUAUCCAGUCACUCCAAUCAAAGGUACCCAAGGCCUCUUCCCACAACCCAUUAGGCAUGUUACAUUUUUCAUCCAAGGAGCUCUCCAAUUAAAAUUGCUUUGUGGAAUUCCUUGCAAUUUUACCCUCCAAUCAUCUUCAGAAAAGUUUUCCCAUUCACUUGAUACAAAUAACUCGAGUGGCUUUUGGUCAAACCACCAAAAAUUUCGGAAUAUUAGUGUUUCAGAUUCUAUAUGGCUUACCAUCCAAAUGAAUAACAAUGGAACACAACAUCUCAUAGAACCUUUCCCAAUCCUUUUGCAAUGAUUGAGAGACAAAAAAGUUUCAGCCAAGAUAGCAGCAGAAGGAUUAAUUUUAGUCUUCUCAUACUCAACAAACAGAUUAGCUGCCUCUAAACUGAUAAUUCCAGCAGUCGAAGGACACAAAAUCAGCCCAAAUAUUCCCAAAGCCAAUAUUCGGUAUACCUCCAAAUUAGCACCAGGAUUAGAUGUUUUAGCAAUCAACAGCUCUUCUAGCCGUUUCCAUCUCAAACCCCCAGAAUUGUUUUUUUCUCUAUAUAAGCUCAUUUGAUGGAUUCCCAGUAGCUUAGCAAGCUCCUAUACAGUAUUCUCAAUCUUUUGAUGAAAAUAAACCUUAUGGAUAUCCUCAGGGAAUUCUGUCAAAACACCGUAUUCUUCAAUGGUAGGAACCAUAUCGACAUUCCCAAAUGUAAAACAUCGAUAAUCAGGAUCCCAAAAAUGAAUUAGGGCUUUUAUGGCUAAUGGCAGUACUGGAACAUUCAGAAGAUGCAAAACUCUCCCAUAUAUCUUAGUAAAUUCUGUCUCAUCAGCCAAGUAUUUGGUGAAUGGAAGCAAACGACUGGCAUCAUUUAUUACGCAUCUCACAUCCUUUAGCAGCGGUAUCCCACUGUCAUCCAGUCUAGGGCAGUCUCCCUCAGUCAUAUGCAAUGAUUCAGAUUCGAGCCCAUACUCAACAGUUGUGAUUUAACGAUUAACGACCAUUAUGUCACCCAAAAACAAUCCUGUAAUGAAGAUGCUAUACGUUAAGCUUGCCUUAGUGAAAUUUACAUAGGGAACAACCUAAAUGGUAGGUUCUAGUCAUUUAAAUGCUUGAGGUAGGUUGCUAUCUAGUCUUGAAAGGUCUUUCGCAUGCUCAGUGAUCUUCCUCGAAAGGUUGAUGUGAGGUUUACAAGUAGCGUGAAAAUAGAGGCCCUGAAUGAUAUCAGUUAGGCAUAUCAACCACUAUCGAGUAAACAAUCAAGCGAAAGUUGGAUGGUUUCACGAGUCUUACCCAGGCUAAAGCCAUUGGGGUACCGCUACUCUCCCACUUAACUUAAAGUUGAUAUAACAGAUGUUUAUUAUGAAAUGCGUGGUGUGUGAAGGCCUAAAUCUAUAUCCAAUAUAUGUAUGAUGACAUAAACAAAUAUGGAUGCUAAAACUAUAAAAAUAAAUAAAAUAAAAUAAACCAAAUAAAAUAAAAACCAAAUAACACAACAAGCAUUUGUAGCAAUUAAAAAAAAUCAAAGGCAAAGCUUAGUCCAUUAGUCCCCAGUGGAGUCGCCAUUCUGUCACACCCGACAUCGCGGCGACCUUAAAAAUUUAAUUCUUUGGAAAAGAACAGAUUUCUGGCAUCCUAUUCUUUAAUGGGGAUAUUCUUUGUUUAAGGAGUCGCCACCUAGUAUUAUGGUCACUAGGAACCCUAACUGGUCAACAGAGAGUCUACGGUUCGGGAUUGGUUACGUAAAAGGGAAGAUAUUAUCACCCCUUAAACGUCCUGCCUGAGGCAGGCUGCACUGCUAGUUUUAUCUUUAAUUGCUAAAUGUUUAUUAGUUUACGAUAUGAUAAUUUACUUAUAAUAUUCCCGACUCUGGCGUCAGUGAAUAUUAAACUACGGAUACUUCCAACUCUGGCGUUGGUCAAUAUCACGUAGCUAUAAAAUAAAUUAGAUUAAUAUUUUUUAUUUUCCCGGCUCUAGCGCCAGUGAAUAAAUAAACAAAAUAAAAUUUGAUUUUUUUACGCAUGCAUAUUUUUUUAUUUUUUUUUAGCUAAAUAAAAUAAAGUACAACAAAUAAAAAUAAUAUAAAUUUAAACCGGUAUUUUUAUUCCUGACUCUGGCGUCAGUGAAUAAACCAAUAAAUUUACAUUAUUUUUAUUCAUCUAAAUAAAUUUAAUUUUUUACGCAUGCACAUUUUUUAUUUUUUAGCUAAAUAAAAUAAAGUACAACAAAUAAAAAUAAUAUAAAUUUAAACCGGUGUUUUUUAUUCCUGACUCUGGCGCCAGUGAAUAAACCAAUAAAUUUACGUUAUUUUUAUUCAUCUAAAUAAAUUUAAUUUUUUACGCAUGCACAUUUUUUAUUUUUUAGCUAAAUAAAAUAAAGUACAACAAAUAAAGAUAAUAUAAGUUUAAACCGGUAUUUUUAUUCCUGACUCUGGCGCCAGUGAAUAAACCAAUAAAUUUACAUUAUUUUUAUUCAUCUAAAGAAAAUAAAAUACAAUGAAUAAAAAUAAUAUAAAUUUAAACCGGUAUUUUAUUCCUGACUCUGGCGUCAGUGAAUAAACCAAUAAAUUUACAUUAUUUUUAUCCAUACAUGCAUAUUUUUUUAUUUUUUAUUUUUUAUUUUUCUGCCUUUUAUUUUUUUAUUUUUUUUAUUAUAUAUAUUUUUUAACUGGGCUGGGCCCGGCCCGGCCCAGCAAAAAAAGAAAAAAAUUGGGGGCUGGGCCCAGCGCAGCCCACAUGGACUGGGCUGGACCCAGCCAGCCCAGCCCGGUCACUGGCCCAAGCCAGUGACCCGGCUGGGUAAAAACUAAAGGCACGCGUGACUUAUUCACGCGUGCCCGAACACUGGUGAAGGUAAUUAAAUUACCUUCACACAGUGUUCUUGCAGCACAUAAUUAUCUUUUGAAAUGAAAAUGCAGAGGAGACGGGGUCAUACCUGCUUCUGGAGACCGAAGAUGCUGCUUCUGGAGACCGAAGAUGUUGCUUCUGGAGACUGAGAUGCUUGCAGCGCUGCUUGAUGAUUUUCGCCUAAUGUUCCUCUGGUUUUCCUUCUGUGAAUACUUAUCUAUGCUUUCCUUCUUGAUUUCUCUGUAACUUCUAAAGCUACAAAGAAGAUUCCGGCUUGUUGUGAGUGUUCUUUGGCUGAAUCCGGGUUUUUUUGUUUGCAGGUUCGGAGACAAUUUCAAGGAUAAUUCUCCUUACCGUGUCCUGCCUUCUUGUCCUCUCCUUCUCUGUGUAUUUGGAUUUGUUCUCUGUUUUCUCUGCCUUUUUCUUUUAACUCUGUUUUUCUGGGUUGAUUUUUUCGGUUCUCUCCCUCCUUUUCUUACUGUGUAUAAUUUCUCUGGUUUUCUUGCUCUCCCUCCUUUUUUUUUCUUUAGGUGUUCUUCUCCCUUUUAUAAACCCAGCCGAUUGCCCCCCAUCAGUCCUGCCUUUGCAGGACUGUUAUCUUCCACGAACGAGAUCGUGGGCGAGAGACGUGGUCCUCGAUUGGAUUGAAUCCGUUGCAGAUUUUCCAGCCUGUUGAAUCGGGAUGGAGAAGACGAACACGACUGUUCUACCCGCAGCGGCGACGUUUCGGCAGCAAUGGAUUUCACCAGCAACGACGCCGUUUCAAGCAACAAAUGGACAUUUUUAUUUUGAUCCCUGAACUGUUGGAAAUUCGGCAAUUGGACCUUAAAAAAAAUUCCACUUAAUUUUGUCCCUUUGGAUUAAUUUCAAUUAAAUCCUUAAAUUAUAACACUGUUUACAAAACAGUCCUUAAUUCCUGGAUUGUUCAAUUUAGCCCUUAAUUAAAUCUUUAACCUUUCAAAAUUGAUCAAUUAACUCUCAAAUUACAUCCUCAAACUUUAAAUUUUGUUGUUUUAACCCCAUUGGCAACUAUAUUUAAUUUUUUUAUUAUUUGUUCAAAAAUUGGUUAUGACAAUGAUAGUAACAAGAAAAUAAAAAUUAAUUUGAAUAAAUGGUAGGAGUUUCUAUUCUGAUAUAUCCAGGGAAGAAGUUCGAAGAAUAGAAUGAAGAUAAAAAAAGAAAAAAUUUGUGUUACAUUUUUAUCUUUUAUAAUUAUAAUUAUUGCAUUGCUAAUAAUUUGCACGAAAAAAUAUUCUUUCUCUGAAAAGGGCUUGAGAGAACCCUAAGCAUAUAUAGGAAUCUCUUAUAGGAAUCUCUUUAUUAAAUCAUCAAAAUAUGAAAGUCUAUUUCCAAAUACUAUUACUACAGUUUAUAUAUAUAUAUAUAUAUAUAUAUAUAUAUAUAGAAACAACUAAAUAGAAAAAUUAUUAUUAUUUAAAUAAAAAACUAGAAAAGCCUGAUAAUAUUAUUGAAUGAAAAAUAAAAUAGAAAUUUAAUAAAUUAAAAGUUAAAAAAUACUGUGUGACUGUUUUGUAUAAAUUCUAAAGUUAAGGAGUCUUUUAUGCUUGGUAAAAUACGUCACAAUAAAGUUAAUAAAUAAGAACACAAGAAAGGAUCAAAGUUAAUAAAUAAUAGCAUGCACGAAACUUCAUGAUAUCCAUGUUUUUCACGUUUUAUACUGCUUUAAUAGAUUGUUACAGCAAGAGAAACGGUACAAGACAGAACAAUAAAGGAGGGGCUGACGUUCAGUGAGGACAUCCUCCAGCUCAUCAGAUCCAGCUCAAGUUGUUGCAACCACCGCGAAAGGAACGCAUUGAUGUUAACGCGUGGACCCAGUCGCUGCAACCAGCACGAAAGUACCACUCCAAAUUCCAGCUCAUUUGUUAUAUAUAUAGUAAUAACAAAUGGUUAGAAUGCUUUAGUCCUUUUCGAGUGGAAAGUGGUGUGAAUGUGGGAAGUACUGUGAGAGCUUUAUGCCACUUUCUAUCUUUGAUGUGAUGGCUUUGGCAAGAAGAAACAAAUAAAAGUUAGUGUUCGCACUGCUUUAGCCCAAGAGUCUUUCAUCGUCGUUGCCUUGGAUUGAUUGAUUGAUUGACAGGAAGAAUUCUGAAUGUUUUUAGAAAAGUCUUCAUUGACAGGAAGAAUUGUGAACGGAAUGAGAUUUUAUUUUGUUUUGUUUUUUAAAUUAACAUGGAAUAUUUCAGUUAUUUCAGGUGAAACGAAACAAAAUUAACAACCUUGAUAAAAACUCUAAAUCACGAGUAAAAUCUGAAUGUUUUUUUAUAGAAAGAAGCAAUCUUCAUUGCUUUAAUAAAUUGUCACAAUAAUAGCACUAAGAGAAGAAUGGGUAGACCCUCGAGCCGGGCCAAAUUUUAAAAUUAUAGUUUAUAUAUAGAAACAACUAAAUAUAUAAAUUAUUAUUUUUUAAAUGAAAAAACCAGAAGAGCUUGAUAAUAUUUAAUAAAAAAAAUAAAAAUGAAAAAAUAUUCCUUUUCAAGUACAAACAAAAUUAUAAAUAUUUAAUAAUACUGUAUAAAAAAUUAAAAAUUCUAACCUAAAUUUUAAAAAAAUUGUCAUUGGCUAAUUGACUAAUUGACUUGUGCUAUCUCUUGUACAUUAUUAGAAAAAUUGUCAUUGACUAAUUGACUUGCAAAAGUAUUUGCAAGAAAGCUAAAGAAUUAGAGUUUUUAACAUUUUUAAAUUUUUAAAAACAUCCAAUUAUUUUUUUAAAAAAUCAAGAAUAAAACAUCAACUAUUUAUAUAAUUGCUAAAUAAAUCUAAUAAAAUAAAUCAGAAAUAACUAGUAAAUAAUCCAAAAAUAACUAGAAAAUAAAUAUAUCUCCUCAAUAUGAUUUGAGUAUGUUUUCUAUCUUAAUUGACUGACUUGCUAAGUAUUUGUUAAGCAUAAACGAACUUUACUCUAAAAGUAUGUUUAAUAUUUUUCUUACUUUUACUAUUUUACUUCAAAGUUUCAAUUUCAUAUUUUUUUACAAUGUACAUGUUAUUUGAUUAGUCUGAUCAUAGGAUAUGUUAAGCAUUGACUCGAAAUUAGCACUUGAAAUUAUGGACUGGAAACUAGCUUAAAUGCUGGCCACCAACCCUUUUUUGCUCGUUCUAUAGGGAGAGUAGAAAAUGUGAUUUCUUAUUCAAGAUCGUGGAUAGUACGCUCAAGAUUAUGGGAAGGUGUUUUUUGUUUACUAGGAGGAUUGGGUCGAAAAGAGGAGAAAAAGUGGCAGCCUUCCAUAUACAUUUAAGGAAACCCAGAUUUUUGUAGAUUUUAGAGACAAAACGAUGUCAUUUUCAUUUUUCUUUCAAUAUCAAAAUUUUUUCUUCCCUUUUCCAGGCAAAACGCACCAUUUCAAUUAGUGUGAAAAGGCAUCAUUUUGCUUUAGGUUUUCUUCAUAUGUAAUAAUGCUAAACACACCAUGUGGAACUAUGUUAAACGCAACAUUUUAGCAUCUUUUGUGCUUCGAUCCCUAGAAUUUUAAUUCUUUUAUUUUGAUCAAUUUUCAACUCUUUUCCUUUAAUUUCAUUUAAUUUGCUAUUAACUGAAUUACAAUAUGACCUUUAAUUUCUUUAUUUUUUUCAUUUCAGUCACUGAUUCUUUCAAUCUUCAUUUUUAAGCCAAAUGAAUUGCAGUUUCAAUUUUCUUUUUUAAUUAAAUCUCUAAUUGAUUUUUUAAAUUGGUUAUUCAUUUCAAACUCAUUCUUGAACUGCUAAUAAUUUUAAUAGAUGUAUGGUACAUCCUAUGAAUUUAUUAGAAAGAAUGUUUAAUGUAAAGUAUGAACCACUUGCCAUUAACUAGCUUUUUCAAUUGGAUCUUUUAUUUAAAUGAAAAGGAAUAUUUAUUUUAAUAUGAAGAAAAUAAUUAUUUUUUUUGAUAUAUCUAGUGAUAAUAAAUUAGAGGAUAGUAACAAGAAAAUAGGGAUUAGAUCGAAUAAAUGGUACCAAUUUGUAUUAUGAUAUAUCUAGUAAUAAUAAAUUAGAGGAUAGUAACAAGAAAAUAUGAAUUAGAUCGAAUAAAUGGUACCAAUUUCUAUUCUGAUAAAUCUAGCCAAAGAGUAGAAUGAAUUAAAAUAUUCUUAAUAAAAAAGAAAAACAGAAAACACAGAAAGAAAAAAAAAAUGCUCUUAAUAAAUAUUAAAGAUAGGUGAAAUUAGAGAACAAGAAAGAGAUAUAGAAUCUCUUUCUUAAGAUUUCUAAAAACUUAAUUACAAUUACAUUAUAAUUUCUUCCUUAAAAUUAUUCAAAAUAUAGUAUUGUAAUUACAUAAUGCUAGGUUUUAAUAUAUAAGUUUUUAUAUUGUUGAAGAGUCUCUCCUAAAACAAAUAAUAAAAAUAUUGUUAUGAACUGUUUUGAAUGAAUUGUUAAUGCACGGACUAUUUUGGGUCCUGACUUGGCUGAUUUAACUUGAAUGUAUUAUUUGAUUGGUCCAAGUAAAGAUCAACUCGAAAUUUCUAUUAAUUUAUGUCGCACCCGACAUCGCGACGGCCUUAAAAAAAAAAAUCAGGUAUAUUGCGGAAAAAGAACAGAUUUCUGGCAUCUUGUUCUUUUAGGAAAAAUGUCUUGUUUAAGGAGUCGCCACCUAGUAUUAUGGUCACUAGGAACCCUAACUGGUCAACAGAGAUUCUAUGGUACGGGACUGGUUACGUAAAAGGGAAGAUAUUAUCACCCCUUAAACGUUCUGCCUAAGGCAGACUGCAUUGCUGGUUUUGUCUUAAAUUGCUAAACAUUUAUUCGCUUAUGCUAUGAUGAUUUGUUUAUAAUAUUCCUGACUCUGGCGCCAGUGAAUAUUCGAUCGCGAAUAAUUCCAACUCUGGCGUUGGUAAAAAUUCCACCCGAAUAAUUCCAACUCUGGCGUUGGUAAAAAUUCUACUACAAAUAAUUCCAACUCUGGCGUUGGUAAAAAUUCAUAGCCACCAAAAAUAAAUUCAGAUUAAUAUUUUUUUAUUCCUGACUCUAACGCUAGUGAAUAAACAAAUAAACUAAAUUUAUGCAUUCACAUAUUUUUUUAUUUUUUAUGUAGUUAAAUAAAAAAAACAAAGAGAAUAAUUAAAUAAGUAUUUUUAUUUUUGACUCUGAAGUCAGUAAAUAAAAAUAAAUUUAUUUUUCAUACAUGCACGUAUAUUUUUUUGCUAAAUAAAAAAAAUAUACGAAUAAAAAUAAUAUAAACUUAAACUAAUAUUUUAUUCCCGACUCUGGCGUGGGUGAAUAAACUAGUAAAUUUAUAUUAUUUUUAUUCAUGCACACACAUAUUUUUUUAUUUUUUUAUUUUUUAUUUUCUUAUUUUUUUUAUAUAUAUAUAUUUGUUUUUUGCUGGGCCUAGCUCAGCCCACAUGGGCUGGGCCCAGCCCAGCCCAGCCCAGCCCAGUCACUGGCCCAAGCCAGUGACCCGGCUGGGUAACAUGAAGCACGCGUGAACUAAAUCACGCGUGCAUUAGCAGAUAAAGGAAUUAAUUGAGAGUGUACAGUAGGAAGUGAAUUAAAAUGAAAAACGGUGAAAGGUGAAAGAGAAACUUACUUACCUGGCUCUGGAUACAACGAAGGCAGCAGCAACAAUGGUUCUGGUCACGGUGGCUUUCCUCUGCUUAUGUUCGUCCCCUGUUUAUUGGCUUGUUCGUCCCCUGUUCUUGUUUCCAGUCGCUCUCCUUUUGUUUCCUUGCUCUCGUUCUCUGUCUUCUGCGUUUGUUUUUCUUCUGUGUUUCCCUGGUUCUCUUUUUGUUCACCUUAUCUUCUCUGCUUUUCCUUUUUUUUUCGUCUGUGUCUGUCCCUUCUCUCUCGGUCUGUUUUUUCUUUUUUUUUCUCUUGCUCUCACAUGCUCUGUCUUUCUCUGUUUUUUUCUGUUCUUGGCUCUGUUUUGGGUUGAUUUUUCUUGUGCAGGGAUGAAGAUGAUGGCGGGGUUGAUCUCUGAUUCCUUUCUGCCUUUCUCCCCUUCUCCCUGGGUAUUUCUUUUUGUGUUUGUGCUCUGUUUUGCUCUGCUUGUUUCCUCACUGAUUUCCGGUUCUUGCUUUUUCCAAUCUUCCCCCUCGUUUUAGUCCAAUUCAUCCCCUGUUUCCAGUGUUCUUUUUCCUGCGUUUUGCUCGGUUCCCCUCCUCCGGUUUGUUCGGUUCUUUGUCCAGCCCCGUUGUUCCCCUGUUUCCUGAGUUUUUCUAUGGGUUCUGCUCCAGUUAUCCCCCCUCUGUUCGUCCCCUUGCCUCUGCUCUGCUCUGCCUUUUAUAGAGCCCGAGCACGCAGAAAAAACCCGUUCCUCUGUUCAUCAAUCCAUGAGCGGGAUCAUGGGCAAGAAAUCAUGGUGUCGUGGUCCACGAUUUGCUGCAAAUUUCCUGUUAAAACGGCUUUUUCCGCUCAAACGUGGGAGACGAUGAACAAUGCUUCCAAAACGGUGCCGUUGUGUCCUUGGGCAUGGCUUUUUUUAAUUUAGUCCCUAAACAGUUUAAACUUAACAAUUGGGAUCCUAAUCAGAAACAAUUGAUUUCUAAUUGUGCCCUUGGAUUAAAUUUAAUUGAAUCCUUGAGUUAUAACGCCAUUUACACAACAGUCCUAGAUGUUUGGACUAUUCAAUUUGGUCCUUGGACUUUAAUUUUCUAGCAAUUUUUCCUUGAAUCAGCUCUAAACUUUGAUAUUCUUUCAAUUACACCCCUGAUUCCUUUAAUUAAUUAAAUCAAAGUUUAAUUAAGUCCUUAAACUCAUUAAUUCUUCAAUUAAACUCUUGAUUUCAUUAAUUAAAAUAAUCUGAAUUUUAAUUAAAUCAAUUCUCCAAUUAAACCCUUGAUUUAAUUAAUUAAAAAGAGUUUAAUUAAAUCUUUAAACUUCCAAUCAUGCUGCCCUUAACCUAAAUUUUAAUUCAUUCUUCAUUUAUUUUAUUUUUAUUUGUUUUUUCAUCAUUUUUUAAAUAAAAAUAAUUAAAAUAAAAAGGUUAAAAAUUGGGUUAUGACAGUUGCCCCCUCUUUAUAAUAUUUACCUUGCAAAGAUAUUUAGAAAAUUUCAUUUUCUUUUAGCUUUGUGUAGUAAAUUUAUAAAGAAAAGUAGAUAAAGAAGUUUUUUUUUUUUUUUUUUUUUGCUUUUUUAGUUUGAAAACUUCAAAAACAGUAGAUUGACAUAAGAUUUUAACAGAGAGAACAAAUCAUUUGGAAGACGGUCCAUUUUUUUGUUGUUUUUUUUUUGUUCGAAAUGGAUCAAAUUGUUUUGGGCAACCUGCCCAAUGAUAAAAGAAACGCGAAGAAUUUCGCGAGUGGUCUAAUUGUUCCAGGCGACCUGCCCAAUGAUUGAAAAAUACGAGAAAUUUUUUUGUGAUGGUAUAUUGUAAUGGGUUAUCGGCCCAGAUGGUCACAUUGUAAUGGGUUACCUGCCCAGUAUAAGAUGGUAUGUUGUAAUGGGUUACCCGCCCAAAUGGUAACAUUGUAAUGGGUUACCUGCCCAGUAUAGGAUGGUAUAUUGUAAUGGGUUACCGACCCAGUUGGUCACAUUGUAAUGGGUUACCUGCCCAGAUGGUCACAUUGUAAUGGGUUACCUGCCCAGUGGAUGGUAUAUUGUAAUGGGUUACCGACCCAGUUGGUCACAUUGUAAUGGGUUACCUGCUCAGGUGGUCACAUUGUAAUGGGUUACCGGCCCAGUUGGUCACAUUGUAAUGGGUUACCUGCCCAGUGGAUGGUAUAUUGUAAUGGGUUAUCGACCCAAUUGGUCACAUUGUAAUGGGUUACCUGCCCAGAUGAUCACAUUGUAAUGGGUUACCUGCCCAGUGGAUGGUAUAUUGUAAUGGGUUACCGACCCAGUUGGUCACAUUGUAAUGGGUUACCUGCCCAGGUGGUCACAUUGUAAUGGGUUACCGGCCCAGUUGGUCACAUUGUAAUGGGUUACCUGCCUAGUGGAUGGUAUAUUGUAAUGGGUUAUCGACCCAGUUGGUCACAUUGUAAUGGGUUACCUGCCCAGUAUAGGAUGGUAUAUUGUAAUGGGCUACCGGCCCAGAUGGUCACAUUGUAAUGAGUUACCUGCCCAGUAUAGGAUGGUAUAUUGUAAUGGGCUACCGGCCCAGAUGGUCGCAUUGUAAUGGGUUACCGGCCCAGUUGGUCGCAUUGUAAUGGGUUACCUGCCCAGUUGGUCGCAUUGUAAUGGGUUACCUGCCCAGUGGAAGAAUACGAGGAUUUUUUUUUUUAAGACAUGGUAAGGCUCGAAGGCGCUUUUAUUCAAUAGAUGGAAGCUCAAAGGAAAUGAGGGCUCGAAGACGCACUCAAAAGGAGGUAGGAUAGGAAAUGCACUACCUUUGAUGGUCGAGGGCUCGAAGGCGCGCUCGAAAAGAAACAAGACGAGGGCUCGAAGGCACACUCGAAUGGGGAUAAGACGAGGGCUUGAAGGCGCGCUCGAAUGGAGAAUGAAAGGUGGUGGGAAAAUACAUAUAUUUUUCAAGUGGCCUAAUUUUCAUGGGCGGCUUGCCCAGGUUGAAAAAUUCUCAAAAGUGAAAAUUUUUCAAAAGCAAUUUCAAUGUUCGCCAUUUCAAGUUGGCCUUCCGCUUGAUGGAUUCUGUUAGAAUUUUCUCUAAUAAAAUUUGCAAAACUCAUUGUCCAAUGUCUCAAAGUUUAAAUGAUAUGCAUGCACCUGAUUUGAAAUAUAGGCCCCCCAUUUCUUCUUAGCCUUCUCGUUGCUUGGUUGGUGAGAUCUUGCUAUCUGAUUUGAGUCAUCUUUGUCGUUUGGCUUUCUAGCCCACUCGAGUUAGCCCAUAUAAGACUUUUUCUAGAUUUGUUUGCACAACUCAGCCUUUAUGGUACCCAUCGUGACCCACAUGCUUGCUAAAGAUUUUCGGACUCGUCAAAUAAUUUGAGAGGAUCAUUCAUUACCCCUCGUCUCAAUGCUAAAAACAUUCGGUGUCACUAGCUGAAAGGAUCAAACGGUCUUUUGUAAACCAAAAUGCCCCCUUGUCUUGUUGUAAGGGAUGAUAGAUUUUCCUUAAACAUAAUGUUGUCCCCUUGUACUGGUCAUUGCCCCCAAGUGCGCUAUGUCACUGACUUAGAUGAAUAAUGAUUUUAAGAGGCCAUUCUCUCAUUUGGUGAAGGAAUAUGAGUCUAGAAUAAAUCUUGAAAUCUUGAUCUUGCAUUUUAAAAACAAAAAUUAUUUCGAUGUGAGUCUAAAAUAAUUUGUUUUUGAAAUCUUGCAACUCCUUGGUUAUUUUCUUUCUUGGAAAAGAGAUUAUUUGCUCUUGUGUUUGGUAAUGAGGUCUUUGAGGAAAAUAUGUCAUGAGAUGACCUUUUGUUUCGAAGUGAAGGGCUCGAGAAAAAGCUCGAGGUUUUAUAUGAGAAAAACUUGUCUUUUUUAGCAUUUAUUUUUAUCAGCAUGAAUAAUAAUGAGUAGUUUAUUCUUGAUGUCAUGAAUCUUAUGAAAAAAUAUUCUUUGCAUUUUGAGAGCAUUGUUUAUUGUUCUAAGUUGCUUGCUUGCUUGAUUAGAAAGGACUUCUACAGGCAUGUAACGUAGGCUGUGUUUUUUAUUUUUUUGCUAUGAAAGAAAAGGAUUCAUAAGGCUCAAAGAGUGUUUCAGGGUUUCAAAGAUUGAAGAUCACGAUCAACAGUUUGACUCUUGAUGUCAUUCAUAUUUUCUUUUGCCGCUCUUCUUUGAUUUGCCCCUUUUUUUUUAUAGCUUUGCUAGAGCAUACUCACUUUAUCUUGGUUAUCAUUUUUUUCUUGUGAUUUGGGUAUGCCCCCUAGCAUUUGAGUUUCUUGGGCUCUUUAUGCCUUUUUGGCUUUCUCACGGCUUUUUCUCAUUUCACAUUGAAAUUUUCUCUUGCCCCCCAGUGUAGGGUGUGAUCUUAGUCAGGAUUUUUAAUGAAAGAAAAAUUAUUCAGGCUCAAAAAGGGAUCGCAAGGGAUGUACUUAUUUUAGAAAGUGAAAGGAAUAACAAAGAUGGCCUUUCCUCAUUUUAAGCGCAAGCAGUUAAGAUCAAUAAACUUUGACCUCAUCUAGUGUGAUGGUUUGGUCUUUGCAAAGAUGCAUUUCAUAAAUCAUGAGCAACGAAUUCUCUACAUACCAUUAUUCAUACAUUUAAAAACACAUGAUUCAAGAGUCAUGGGGUAAGUGUCUUUCUUUUUCUUUUUCAUAAUUUUUAUGGUUUAUAAUUUAGUCACCUCAAUGAUGAAGCUGCUUGAUUCACUUGUCAUUCUACAAGUAGAAUGUGAAAAAUAUCAUUUUUGAAUGAACAUCAAAUUAUUUUUGAAAUCAAAAUACCAGAUCAAAUUUUCAAAACUCCAAUAGGGAAAUGGAUUUUGGUACAAGAGAUGAAUUGCGUCUAUGAGAUCACGUAAGGCUUCAAAGGUGGAUUCGUGAGUUCUUAUAAGAAAAACUCUCUUAAUCAGAAUAAUGCUUGGUCGUGAACACGAUUGAAUGACAAACUCAAUAUUUCAUUGAAGCUUAGGAAAAGAAGUUCAACAACAAAGAUCUUAUGCCAACAUGAAUACUGGCAUGAUAACACAUAAAGGAGCUAAACAUUUAGUGAUCAUUCUCGACCUAAUAUCACCAUAGCUUUCUCUUCAAGGUAGUUGAUUUCUAGGAGUCGGCGUAAAGAAAUUAACCAUAGGAACAGUAAGAGCCUUGGCCACCCCCUUCAGUGUCCUUUCCUUUUUCGGUGAAACCGUUCUUUUCAGUUGGAUCAGCAAUUUUACCUAACCCAAUGGCUUGUUCAAUCCUCUCAGCUACAACAACCAGGUCAGUGAAAUGUUGUGCAGAGCUUCUAACCAAGUAUUCAAAGUACGGAGCUUUAAAGGUGUUGGAAAAUAAACUGAUCAUCUCUUUUUCCAACAUGGGAGGAUUAACUUGUGCAGCUACCUCACUCCAUCUCCGGGCGUAUUCCCUUAUGGACUCCUUGUUGUCCUUCUCCAUAGCUUGCAAGCUUAACCGAUCAGGGCCCACGUCUAUAUUGAACUUAUAUUGCCUCAUAAAGGCAUCCACUAAAUCCUUCCAUUUUUUAACCUUGGUAUUGUCCAACCGCAUAUACCAAGUGAGGGCAACAUUACUCAGACUGUCUUGAAAGAAAUGAAUCAGCAGUUUCUCAUUAUCAACCACCUCAGCCAUUUUGUUGCAGUAUGCUUUGAGAUGAGUUAUAGGACAUUGAGUUCCCGUAUAUUUAACAAAUUCGGGCACUCUAAACUUUUUAGGAAUGACAACGUUGGGCACCAAACACAUCUCAACAGCCCUUAUAGGAUCAUAUAGGUGAAUUCUCUCAAAUGCCCUCAUCCUUUGCUCUAGGGCAAUGAAUUUGUUCAGAUCAUCUUCUUUUACCACCUUGCCUUUUUGAUAUUCCUUCUCUAUAGAAUCAAUGGUGGACAAAACUCUCGCAGGGUAUGCUGGCUGGAAAUGCAUAGGUUGUUGAAAUUCAGAUGACACCCUAUUUGCCCCCAGAUUCUGUGGAUCGAAAUGAGUUACAUGCAUAUCUUCAGGCUGAGCUAUAAGUGUUGCUUUUCCGGAUUUAUUUCUCAAGACCUGCUCGAGUAGACUAGUAAUCCUUGUGACUUCUUCCUUAAGAUUGUCCACCUCUUUUUGAUGUUGGGCUUCCAACUGGGCUCUUUCUUCGUUUUCCAUUUGUCUUUUUCUCGAACGAGUGUUAUACAUGGGUUUCAAUGGGGAACCUAUAUUUCAACCUGUUAAAUGUAAAUCAUGCAAUUAUGCAAAAAUGCUGAAGCAAUUAGAAAAAAUGCAAAUGAAAUGCGGACUUGCCCUUUUACGGGAUGACAACCUAAUAAACAGAUCCUAAUUGUUGAGUGCAUCAAAGGGUUGGUCAUUAUCUAGUUUUAAAGGGUCUCUCGCACGCUCAGUGAUCGUCCAUGAAAGGUCGAUAUGAGGCUUACAAGUAGUGUGAAGAUAGAGGCCCUAAGUAAUAUCAGUUUGGCAUAUCAACCACUUCCAAGUAAACAAUCAAGCGAGAGUUGGAUGGUUUCACGAGUCUUACCCAGGCUAAAGCCAUUGGGGUACCGUUACUCCCCCCAUUUAUCCUAGAUUUUAAGGUAUGUGCUUUUAACGUGAUGCAUGACAAUAUAAACAUAGAUGCAUGCUAAAGCAGUAAAUGCAAGAAAAAUAAACAAAUAAACACAACAUAACAAAUAUUAUAGCAAUUGACAAACAAAAGGCAAAGCUUAGUCCAUUAUUCCCCAGUGGAGUCGCCAUUCUGUCGCACCCGACAUCGCGGCGGCCUUAAAAAAAAAAAUCAGGUAUAUUGCGGAAAAAGAACAGAUUUCUGGCAUCUUGUUCUUUUAGGAAAAAUGUCUUGUUUAAGGAGUCGCCACCUAGUAUUAUGGUCACUAGGAACCCUAACUGGUCAACAGAGAUUCUAUGGUACGGGACUGGUUACGUAAAAGGGAAGAUAUUAUCACCCCUUAAACGUUCUGCCUAAGGCAGACUGCAUUGCUGGUUUUGUCUUAAAUUGCUAAACAUUUAUUCGCUUAUGCUAUGAUGAUUUGUUUAUAAUAUUCCUGACUCUGACGCCAGUGAAUAUUCGAUCGCGAAUAAUUCCAACUCUGGCGUUGGUAAAAAUUCCACCCGAAUAAUUCCAACUCUGGCGUUGGUAAAAAUUCUACUACAAAUAAUUCCAACUCUGGCGUUGGUAAAAAUUCAUAGCCACCAAAAAUAAAUUCAGAUUAAUAUUUUUUUAUUCCUGACUCUAACGCUAGUGAAUAAACAAAUAAACUAAAUUUAUGCAUUCACAUAUUUUUUUAUUUUUUAUGUAGUUAAAUAAAAAAAACAAAGAGAAUAAUUAAAUAAGUAUUUUUAUUUUUGACUCUGAAAUCAGUAAAUAAAAAUAAAUUUAUUUUUCAUACAUGCACGUAUAUUUUUUUGCUAAAUAAAAAAAAUAUACGAAUAAAAAUAAUAUAAACUUAAACUAAUAUUUUAUUCCCGACUCUGGCGUGGGUGAAUAAACUAGUAAAUUUAUAUUAUUUUUAUUCAUGCACACACAUAUUUUUUUAUUUUUUUAUUUUUUAUUUUCUUAUUUUUUUUAUAUAUAUAUUUGUUUUUUGCUGGGCCUAGCUCAGCCCACAUGGGCUGGGCCCAGCCCAGCCCAGCCCAGCCCAGUCACUGGCCCAAGCCAGUGACCCGGCUGGGCAACAUGAAGCACGCGUGAACUAAAUCACGCGUGCAUUAGCAGAUAAAGGAAUUAAUUGAGAGUGUACAGUAGGAAGUGAAUUAAAAUGAAAAACGGUGAAAGGUGAAAGAGAAACUUACUUACCUGGCUCUGGAUACAACGAAGGCAGCAGCAACAAUGGUUCUGGUCACGGUGGCUUUCCUCUGCUUAUGUUCGUCCCCUGUUUAUUGGCUUGUUCGUCCCCUGUUCUUGUUUCCAGUCGCUCUCCUUUUGUUUCCUUGCUCUCGUUCUCUGUCUUCUGCGUUUGUUUUUCUUCUGUGUUUCCCUGGUUCUCUUUUUGUUCACCUUAUCUUCUCUGCUUUUCCUUUUUUUUCGUCUGUGUCUGUCCCUUCUCUCUCGGUCUGUUUUUUCUUUUUUUUUCUCUUGCUCUCACAUGCUCUGUCUUUCUCUGUUUUUUUCUGUUCUUGGCUCUGUUUUGGGUUGAUUUUUCUUGUGCAGGGAUGAAGAUGAUGGCGGGGUUGAUCUCUGAUUCCUUUCUGCCUUUCUCCCCUUCUCCCUGGGUAUUUCUUUUUGUGUUUGUGCUCUGUUUUGCUCUGCUUGUUUCCUCACUGAUUUCCGGUUCUUGCUUUUUCCAAUCUUCCCCCUCGUUUUAGUCCAAUUCAUCCCCUGUUUCCAGUGUUCUUUUUCCUGCGUUUUGCUCGGUUCCCCUCCUCCGGUUUGUUCGGUUCUUUGUCCAGCCCCGUUGUUCCCCUGUUUCCUGAGUUUUUCUAUGGGUUCUGCUCCAGUUAUCCCCCCUCUGUUCGUCCCCUUGCCUCUGCUCUGCUCUGCCUUUUAUAGAGCCCGAGCACGCAGAAAAAACCCGUUCCUCUGUUCAUCAAUCCAUGAGCGGGAUCAUGGGCAAGAAAUCAUGGUGUCGUGGUCCACGAUUUGCUGCAAAUUUCCUGUUAAAACGGCUUUUUCCGCUCAAACGUGGGAGACGAUGAACAAUGCUUCCAAAACGGUGCCGUUGUGUCCUUGGGCAUGGCUUUUUUUAAUUUAGUCCCUAAACAGUUUAAACUUAACAAUUGGGAUCCUAAUCAGAAACAAUUGAUUUCUAAUUGUGCCCUUGGAUUAAAUUUAAUUGAAUCCUUGAGUUAUAACGCCAUUUACACAACAGUCCUAGAUGUUUGGACUAUUCAAUUUGGUCCUUGGACUUUAAUUUUCUAGCAAUUUUUCCUUGAAUCAGCUCUAAACUUUGAUAUUCUUUCAAUUACACCCCUGAUUCCUUUAAUUAAUUAAAUCAAAGUUUAAUUAAGUCCUUAAACUCAUUAAUUCUUCAAUUAAACUCUUGAUUUCAUUAAUUAAAACAAUCUGAAUUUUAAUUAAAUCAAUUCUCCAAUUAAACCCUUGAUUUAAUUAAUUAAAAAGAGUUUAAUUAAAUCUUUAAACUUCCAAUCAUGCUGCCCUUAACCUAAAUUUUAAUUCAUUCUUCAUUUAUUUUAUUUUUAUUUGUUUUUUCAUCAUUUUUUUAAAUAAAAAUAAUUAAAAUAAAAAGGUUAAAAAUUGGGUUAUGACAAUUUACAAAAGAAAUUUCCUAGUACUUUCUACUGUAUAUAAUUUGAAAAAUUGUGACUGACCAACUUACUUGCAAAGUAUUGGCAAGAAAGUUAAAGAAUUAGAGUUUUUAAAUAUUUAAAAUUAUAAUUUUAAAUUCUAAGAAAAAAAUCAAUUAUUUUUAAAAUUGUUUUCAAAAAUAAAAGCAUCAACUAUUUAUAUAAUAGCUAAAUGAAUCUAUUAAAAUAAAUAAAAAAAUAACUAGUAAAAUCAAGUGAAUAAUCCAAAAAUAACAAGAAAAUAGAGAUAUUUCCUAAAUAUGAUUCCAGUUUGUAUUUGCUAACAUAAAUAGCAUACAUGAACUUUAUUAUAAUAGUAUAUUUGAUAUUUAAAUAAAAACUUAUAGAUAUUAUAUGGGUUGGAAACCCAUUUUUUAUUAAAUUUUAAAUUUUAUAUGUUUAAAAAUAUUUUUUUAUAUUUUUUAAUUAUUUUAAUGUGAUAAUAUUAAAAAUAAAUAAAUAAAAUUUUUCUAACUUUUACUACUUCUGACUUGCUUUGACUCGAAAUUCGCGGUGCUUUCUCCUGCAAAUGAAUAGAAAGCAUAUCAUUUCUCCUCCUCCUAUAUGAAGAAUACAACUCGCUUUGAAACCUCAAUUAAAUUUCCUUGGUUUACUCUUCAGAUUACUUCUCCUAAACUCCUUUGUUCAUUUUCUUUUUUAUUACCCCUUCAUGCCAAUUGUUAGAUACUAAAAACAGCAAGAACUGUACUCAAUUAGCAAAAAAUAGAUUUUUGACUAGAAAAAUUCUAUCAAAUUCUCUACUUUAUUAGUGUUCAUUUUCAUUCUUUUUUAACAUAUCUUUUCCAAUUGUUUAGAAAACUUUUAUGUCAAUCAAUAUACACCUACUUUCAACGUUUUACACUGCUUUAGUCCUAAAAAAUAAUUCUAGAUAUAGUUGUAUUGUAAUAGAUAUUAUAUUUCAAACUAUUUUUGAAAUAUAUUAAAGUAAUAUAUUUUUUUAAAAAAAUAAUUUUAACAUCGCUACAUUAUAAUAAUAAAAAUAAUAAUUUAAAACAAUAAAAAAAUUUAAAAUAUUUUUAAAAUAUGAUUUUACUGCACUCCAAAACAUACCAUCCUCCCUCAGCAACCACCACGAAAUUACCACUCUAAAAACUCUUUGACAAUUAUUGCUUGCUCUUUGACUAUUAUUGCUUGGCUAAUGAUUUGCAAGAAACUUUCUCAAUUUCCUUCUAUUUUCUUUUUAUCAUGGAAACUUUAAGUCACAUCUACGCCUACCACGAACUACCAAUAAGUAAAUUUCAAUAUGUAAUUGUGUAGGUUGAAUUAAAAGUGCUUUAAUGAAGUAUGUUAAAAAAUAAUAUAAAUUAUAUUUUAGAUUUUAUUUUAAUAAUUUAAAUUUCUAGAUGAAUAGAUUUUUUACAAAUAAAAGAUAUAGUUUUACGAUAAAAUGCAUUUUUUGAAAUGAAAUUAUAUUAAAUUAAACAUGCUCGAGAUUGUUUGAAUUAUUAAUUAAUUAUAAUUAACUUUAUGUUUUUUGAGGAAACAAAUGGGAAGGACAAAAUUAUCUACCCCAAACGAUAGACCUAGCCCACUUUUCAAACCAAUCCCCAAAUAAAUAGAAUGAUGGUCUCAUAAGUUGCUUUUUUUCUUUCUAGGCCGCCAAGCAGUUUGGUCUCCCUCACUAGACCACUUUAGCACAAGAAUCACACUAGAGGAUUUAAAAGUAGUUUGAAGUAUCAUUAAACCUGAUAAAAAUGAAUAACUGAUAAUAAUAUAGUUGGGAUUUUAAAAAAAAAUUCAUAAAAAACUAUAUAAAAAGCAAUUUAAAACCAAUUAAUCUUAAAAACACCAAAAUGAAACAUGCCAUGAAAAACAAAUUAAAAAAAAACAAAAUACUUGAAAAAAAUUAAUUCAACCCUUUUUCAUAUAAAAAAAAGUAAUUGGGUAUUAAUUUACGGUAAAAAGAGUAUAUUAAUGCAAAAAAAAAAAAAAAGAGUUUGAGGGUAUUGAUUUUAUUACUUGUUAGGUAACUAUGUAAUCUAAUCUGUUGAUGUGGAAAAUAGCACUAAGUUUUUGGCAUUGCCCAUUGGUGAGAAGCAAAAGCAGUAGCAGUCCAUCAGGACCAUCACUAUCGUAUCGCUUCGCCGUACUGUUUAGCUUCUUGGCAUUGUUCGAAGGAACGCAGAAAUACAUUCCAAGUGCGAAAGUGUAUUAUUGUCAUAAAGUUUUUCAAACCUCCACUAUAGAGAGAGAAAUAAAUAAAAAGCGCAAAGGCAACUAUACUAAAGGUCAGUUUUUCACUCUCUGAAAAAUCCUUAAAAAAUCUUUUUUAGUUUAUUUGUAAUUAAAUUAAAGAAAAAUAUUAAUUAGUAAUUUUACAUUUUUUUCUAUACUAUAAUUAUCAAAUAACCCUUAAAAAAUUUCAUUUUAACCUUUAUUCUCUCUUCUUCUUUUUCAAUUCAUUUGUUAAUUUGAUUUUUUUUUAAUUUUGCUUUUUGAUUCAAAAUUUUAGUUUAUCCUCUCAAUUUUUUUUCAAAUAAUGUUCUUAUUCUCUUAAUUGCUAUUUUUUUAUCCUUUAAUUUUUUUAUUUUAUUAUUCGACAAUUCAUUAAUUGGAUCUGAUCUCAUUGGUUUUUUCUAUUGUUUCUAAACCCUACCCAAUAAUCAAUCCAGGAUAAUUAUCGAGUUACGAGUCGAGUGGGUUGACUCGAGUGAACCCAGACAACCAAAUCCUUUUGUUUUAUAAAAAGCCAAAAUGAUACCAAUUUUUUAUUUUUAAAAAAUAAUAAACGAGUUUUGACCCUGUUUCGGCUAGAUUUUCUUAGGAUUAACUAAAACAUUUAUCAACCCAAGUUUUUUAUUGUAUUACAUUAGAUUAAUUCUCUCUCAAUUAUUUUUGAAACUCGUGCGUUUUAAACCAAAGGUCACAUGGGACACAAUUUCUUUGUGCUUUGUACUGUACAUAAUUUGAAAAACUGUGAUUAACCGACUUACUUGCAAACGAAGCUAAAGAAAAAAAUCAAUUAUUUUUUUUUAAAUUCAAAAAUAAAACAUCAACUAUUUAUAUAAUAGCUAAAUGAAUCUAUUAAAAUAAAUAAAAAAUAACUAGUAAAAUCAAGUAAAUAAUUCAAAAAUAACAAAAAAAAAUAGAGAUAUAUUUUUUAAAAACUUUUAUCUUAUAUGGGUAGGGGUUGCCAUGCAACUUAACCGGGAUCACCAUGAUUGUCGAGUAAAGUAAAUAAAUUACUUAACCGGGAUCACCAGAGGAGUUAUUUGCCAAGAUUGAGUUAUAUAACAGUUUAUAAAUCAUGCUAUCAUCUCCAUCACCAUAUAUAAAGCUAGACAAAAUAGGAUAAGAGGGGAUUAAAUUUAGUUUUAGAAUAUAUUUGAGAAUAUAGUUGAACCAUGUUUUUUAAAAUGUUUUUAAAUUGUUUUAAUAUGCUGAUGUUAAAAAUAAAUUUUAAAAAUUAUUAUUUUAAUAUAUUUAUAAUUAAAAAAUAUUUUAAAAAGUAAUUUUCAUCACAUUCUCAAAUUAGUUAAAGUUUUUCAAAUGAAUAGAUUCAUGUCGAUGACACUCUCUAGUCAGUUUUGAGAAUUUUAAAUCCAAACAAGUGAAUUUAUAUUAUAUAUGGAUCAAACAAGCAUGCUUGUACAAUAAUUUCUCAUACUCAAUAGAAAUUUGGGUUUAUCAUUAGGGUAAGACAAACCGAAUAAUUCUUUUAAUAUUUAAAAAUUAAAAAAUACUGUGUAGCUGUUUUGUAUAAAUUGUAAAAUUGAGUCUUUUGUGCUUGGUAAAAUACGUCACAAUAAAGUCAAUAAAUAAUAACACAAGAAAGGAUCAAAGUUAAUAAAUAAUAGCAUGCUUUAAUAGAUUGUUACAGUAAAAGCACAGAGAGAAGAACGGUUCAAGACAGAACAAUAAAGUUAACGCGUGGACUCAUUUGUUGCAACCAGCACGAAACUCCAGCUCAAUUAUAUGUUAAAAAAUAAUAAAGUAUGUUUUAAUAGCAUGCUUUAAUAGAUUUAAUAAAGUAUGUUAAAAAAUAAUAUAAAUUAUAUUUUAGAGUUUAUUUUAAUAAUUUAAAUUUAUAGAUGAAUAGAUUUUUUACAAAUAAAAGAUAUAGUUUUACGAUAAAAUGCAUUUUUUGAAAUGAAAUUAUAUUAAAUUAAACAUGCUCGAGAUUGUUUGAAUUAUUAAUUAAUUAUAAUAAACUUUAUGUUUUUAGAGGAAACAAAUGGGAAGGACAAAAUUAUCUACCCCAAACGAUAGACCUAGCCCACUUUUCAAACCAAUCCCCUGGUAAAUAGAAUGAUGGUCCCAUAAGUUGCUUUUUUUCUUUCCAGGCCGCCAAGCAGUUUGGUCUCCCUCACUAGACCACUUUAGCACAAGAAUCACACUAGAGGAUUUAAAAGUAGUUUGAAGUAUCAUUAAACCUGAUAAAAAUAAAUAACUGAUAAUAAUAUAGUUGAGAUUUAAAAAACAAUUCAUAAAAAAACUAUAUAAAAAGCAAUUUAAAACCAAUUAAUCUUAAAAGCACCAAAAUGAAACAUGCCAUGAAAAACAAAUAAAAAAUAAAAAAAAUACUUGAAAAAAAUUAAUUCAACCCUUUUUUCAUAUAAAUAAAGUAAUUGGGUAUUAAUUUACGGUAAAAAGAGUAUAUUAAUGCAAAAAAAAAAAGAGUUUGAGGGUAUUGAUUUUAUAUUUUUUAUUAACGUGGGUGUCCGAGUCAGUUUACAUGCACCUCGACUAAUUCUACGGGUCCUGAAGCUAACUACCAUGUAAGUCUCCAGUGGUCCUGAGAUUUAUGAGACUCGAACUGGUAAUCUUUAGGAAGCAAACUCAGGAGCUAGUCAGUUAAGUUACCCUGAGGAUUGGAUCUAGAUUUUAUUAAGAAAAAAACCGGUCGAUCCACCGAGUCAAUCUGGAACCCGGGUGACCCGACAAAACCCGGUAGAAACUUUUUUUUUUCAAAUGUGUUUUUUCUUCUAGCUAGAGAUUCAUCUUUUUUCAUACAUGAAAAUAAAAAAAAAUAAAAAUUUAAAACAAUAAAAAUUUUAAAAUAUUUUAAAAAUAUAAUUUUAUUGCAAUCCAAAACACACCCAUGCUCCCUCAGCAACCACCACGAAAUUACCACCCUAAAUUCGGGCUCAAUAAUUUAUUCCUUAGCAAUUAUUGCUUGCUCUUUGAAAAUUAUUGCUUGGCUAAUAAUUUGCAAAAAACAAUUGCUUUUUUUCUUUCCAGCCAGCCAAGCAGUUUGGUCUCCCUCACUGGACCACUUUAGCACAAGAGAUGUCGUUAAAAGAGUACCAUAAUGCAAAAAAAAAAAACAAAAAAAGGAGUUUGAGGGUAUUGAUUUUAUUAUUUGUUAGGUAACGAUGUAAUCUAAUGUGUUGAUGUGGAAAAUAGCACAAAGUUUUUGGCAUGGCCAUUGAUGAGAAGCAAAAGCAGUAGCAGUCCAUCAGGACUAUCACCAUCCUAUCGCUGACAUUCCAUGUGUGAAAGUGUAUUGUUGUCAUAAAGUUUUUCAAACUUCCAAUAUAGAGAGAGAAAUAAAUAAAUAAAUAAAUAGAAAGCGCAAAGAAAACAAUACGAUAAAUUUAAACUAUACUAAAGGUCAGUUUUUCACUCUGUGUGAAUCUACAGUGAAAGCUUGAUUUUGCACAUGGUAGAUAAAUUUAGGUUUAGGAGUAUAAUUUUUUUUUUUAUAUAAUUACACUAAAGAAGAAUAUUAAUUGGUAAUUUUACAUUUUUUUAUAAUAUAAUUAUCAAAUAACCCUUAAAAAAAUUCCUUUUAGUUUAGGGUUUUUUUUUUCAUCUCAAUUACUUAACUGUCCCUAAAAAAUAAACUCCUUUACUAUGGAUGUAAGGUCAUUUUAGAUUUUUGGCUAUAUUUUUUUUAUUAACGUGAGUGUCUGGAUAGUUUAUACACACCUCGACUAAUCUCAUGGGCCCUGAAGUUAACGAUCAUGUAAGCUUCUAGUGACCCUGAGGUUUGUGGAACUCGAACCAGUGAUCUUGAGGCAACAAACUCAAGGUCUAACCAGUUGAGUUAUACCCCUGAGAAUUGGGUCUAGAUUUUAUUAUUUGUGAGGUAACUAUGUAAUCUAAUCUGUUGAUAUGGAAAAUAGCACAAAGUUUUUGGCAGUCCAUAGUCUUACAGCUAGUACUAAAGUUUUUUUUUUUCUAAAUUAAAGAUGAAUAUUUUUUGUUGGCAUCAAAUAAUUUAAAAUGAGAAUUACAGAGCACAGGGUUUAAUCAAAUAUUAAAAGAGAAGAUUUUGUGGAAUUAUUAGAUAAUUAAAAUCAUCACUAAUCUCCUUUUUUCAUUUUUUUUUAAUUAUUAUUAUCCCUGGCAUGCACGAAACAUUGAAAACCGCAAUUUUUCAUGAUAAAAUCCAAAGGAUUGGUACUUUGGUGUUUGUGGGGCUGGUAAAUGGAAGAACACGUGUUUGUGGGGCUGUUAUUUCAUUCAAGGUGCGUACUUUGGUGUGUAUCACGUGUUUGUUGCAUUGACUGAAUAUGAUAGUGGGAACUUAUUUAUCAAGAAUUAAAGCAGUAGUUGCUUAUGGAUAAUUAGCUCUUCCAUCCAGCAUUAAUUCUAUUAUCAAUUAUAGUUCAGUCAUAAAGUUUUUCAAAGAGAGAAAUAAAAAGGAAAAGGAAAAGGAAACAACCCCCACUCCAUCUUUCCCUUCUUUCCAUGAAAAAAGGAAACACCCCAUAUGAUUUUGAUUUUCAAUCAGUGUGAGUGAGAAAGAAAGAGAGGAUUAAAUUUGAUUUUGAUUUCGAAGAGAGAAUUAAUUAAAUUUAGAAUUAAUUCUAUUAUGUAUUUAAAUGUGUUUAGUUACCUUGUAAACCGUAUGGUAGAGUCCCUCAAAUAUUCUGGCCACAGCAAUAUUUUAGGUGGAUUGUAUGGGGCUUGCAACCACUCUAUUAUGCCAAGCAAUAUUUUGUCAUAGAACCCUUUGGCCCUCUAAAUUACCCAAAAAGGACAAUAAUUGAGCACAAGUGGUACAGGUCAGGGUUAAACUCAGCUUGCUAGAGCCAGUUCUCAAUUUUAGGCACCAGUUCUCAAUUGAAUUUUAGCAAAAUCAAGGAUUCAAGAAUUGGCCUCUGUAACAUGGUUUGUAUUCUGAGCCAAUCUGGGCUAGGAUUUGAAACAAAUGUAGCUAUUUUUUCUCCUUUUAUUAUUAAAAAAUAUAUUCAUGGAUUAAUUUUCGUAUAAUUUAAGAAAGUAAGUCCUUUAAUCAAAUUUUAGAUGUGGCCAUCCUCAAUGUGUUAAAAGUAAAUGUUAAUUACCAAGUUGUUGCAAAAAGACAUUCCCUUUCUUGUCAUAAAGUUUUAAAGAGCUAUCAAAAACGUACUUCGUGUAUUAUUGUCGUAAAGUUUUUCAAGCUUCCAAUAUAGAAAGAGAAAUAAAAAGGAAAAGGAAAAGGAAAAGGAAACAACAAGGAAUCUUUCUUGUGCGCUUUCCCUUCUUCACAUGGCUUCCUCGAUCGAUGUAAAAAAGCAAACGCCCCAUUUGAUUUUCAAUCAGUAUGAGUGAGAAAGAAUGAGAGUCCUCUCUUUCCUUGCUUUUUUUAACGCGUGGACCCAGCAGUGGUUGCCACCAAAAUCCUUCCUCAAUAUUUACCAGUACUACACGCUUGAGAAAUUUCCUUGCUUUUUUUCCUCUACGUACUGUUACCUUUUACCAGAUUUCCCAGAAUAGCCCCUUCGUGGGCUACUUUAUUCUUCACGGGUUCUUCUAUUGCCAGAUUCUCUCAUGCAAUUAAGUUUUUCUUUCCGUUUCCAAAUUUGAUAGCCCCAAAACCUCAUCAUUGAGUAGGUUUUGUUUUAGUUUAAGCGUGAUGGAGACGACACUAAAAAUAACAACAACAAAAAAACAGUUUUGGUGUAAAUAUCAAUGGAAGGUUUGGGUGCAGUCCUGUUUGUUUUUGUAUUUUAAAAAUAUUUUUAAAAAAAUUAAAUUUUUUUUAUUUUUUUACUUCAAAUUCAUAUAUUUUUUAGCCAUUUUAGAUCAUUUUGAUGCGCUAAUAUCAAAAUAAUUUUUAAAAAAUAAAAAAAAUAUUAUUUUAAUAUAUUUUAAAAUAAAAAACACUUUAAAAAUAACUCCAACAAUAAUCUCAAAUAUUCUUUAAAGACACAAUUUAAGUCACCGUAGGGUCAAAUAGGUCAGGCACUGUGCUGCAUGGUUAUUACUACUUUUUAGCCUUUUUUUUUUAUAUAUAUAUAUAUAAACAUCUUUUAUUUUUCUUAUCGGUUUCUCUGUUUCUCAUUAGCUUUAUGACACCAAUUAACAAUAAUCAAAUUUAAAAAAUAAUUAAUUUGUCCUUUUAAAAAAUAAUAUUUAAUCCUUAUGUUUUAAUAUAAAGUUAAACAUGUGGCAGUAGAAAUGAAGAAGAUGCCACACCACUUAAGGGCCCAAAGCCAAAUUUAAAAACAGGACCAUCAAACACGUGUUAACCUCUCAAGAUAAAGGAUGCAAAACUUGGAACAAAAUGAAAAAAGUGCAAUGCUGAUGAGUUCAUCAAACCAUGACCGUUCCAGGUGAAAUACAAAGUUUAGAUCAGUGCUUGUCAGUUGUGUGUUGAACUGAGAAAGAAUAAUUUGAUUGUCAUUUCAGUACAAAAGUAAGAGCAGAAGAGGCUUUUAUAUAUAUAUAUAGCCUAUACAGAGACUAAUAAGGAAAAACUCAUUACACUAAUCUAGUAAAUAAUCAUGGACGAUUUACAAUCAAGUAAGGCUAAUUAGGAAACUAAAUAUUCUAUGAUUCCUAUUCUGUGAUUUCCAUAUUUAUUCUUCACGUUAACACUCCCCCUCAAGUUGGUGCAUAGAUAUCAGCAAUGCCCAUCUUGUCAAGUGAUUUAUGAAAGAUUUUGCCCGAGACAGCCUUUGUAAGUAUAUCUGCUAGCUGAUCUUCUGAUUUUACAAAUGGAAAUUGAAUCACGUUGUCUUCAAGCUUCUGUUUAAUGAAAUGCCGAUCUACCUCAACAUAUUUGGUACGAUCAUGUUGAAUUGGGUUGUGCGCAAUUGCUAUGGCUGCUUUAUUGUCACAAAACAUGUUCAUUGUAUCUUGAGAUGAACAUCCAAUUUCUUCCAUUAAUCUCUUUAACCAAAGUAGCUCACAUAGUCCUUUGGUCAUACCUCUGAAUUCAGCUUCUGCACUUGAUAAAGCAACUACCUUCUGUUUCUUACUUCUCCAAGUGACUAGAUUCCCGCCCACAAAUGUGAAGUAGCCGGAUGUGGAUUUCCUGUCAGUGAUGUUCCCUGCCCAAUCUGCGUCAAUGUAACCAUUGAUGUGCAGAUGUUGAUGUUUCCUGAACAUCAGUCCUCUGCCUGGAGAAGACUUCAGGUAUCGUAAAAUGCGAAUCACAGCACUCAUAUGAUCUUCGCUGGGGUAAUGCAUAAACUGACUUACCAAACUCACGUCAUAUGCAAUGUCUGGUCGAGUAUGAGAUAAGUAUAUUAGUUUUCCCACAAGGCGUUGAUAUCUCUCUUUAUUGGUGGGAGCCUGAUUAGGAAAUUCUCCCAAACCAUGGUUUUGAACUAUUGGUGUAUCAGCUGGUUUGCAGUCAAGCAUUCCUGUUUCAGACAGCAAGUCAAGCACAUAUUUCCUUUGGGAUAGAAAUAUGCCUUGUCUCGAUCGAGCCACUUCAAUCCCCAAAAAAUACUUUAAUCCUCCGAGGUUCUUCAUCUCAAACUCGGUUGCUAACUGCUCUUGUAAUUUUGAGAUUUCUUCUCUGUCGUUUCCUGUAAUUAUCAUAUCAUCAACAUAGAUUAUGAGAGCUGUUACCUUUUCUCGUUGGUGCUUCAAGAAGAGAGUGUGGUCUGAAUUACUUUGCUUGUAACCGUAUCUCCGCAUGGCAAAACUAAAUCGUCCAAACCAUGCUCUCGGGGAUUGUUUUAAGCCAUAUAACACCUUUUGUAGCUUGCAGACCACCUUCCCUUGCAUUAGGGAAGUAAGGUCAGGUGGAACAUCCAUGUACACCUCCUCCUCAAGAUCUCCAUGGAGAAAAGCAUUUUUCACGUUAAAUUGGUGUAGUGGCCAGUCCAAGUUUGCAGCAAGAGAUCAGUACUCUCACAGUAUUUAAUUUCGUUAUCGGUGAGAAGGUUUCUUGAUAAUCUAUCCCAUAUGUCUGAGUAUAUCCCUUUGCCACCAGCCUUGCUUUAUAUCUUUCUACCGAACCAUCUGCUUUGUGUUUGACAGAGAACACUCAUCUACAUCCCACAGUUUUCUUUCCUUCAGGUAGUGGUACGAGGUUCCAAGUAUUAUUUUCCUGCAGUGCUUCCAUUUCUUCAUCUAUUGCUUGAAUCCAUUUAGGAUUAUUCAAAACUUCAUUCACUGUAUUAGGGACAUCUUCUGUAGAUAGUUUAUGCGCCAAUGCCUUGAGGGUUCAGACAGCUUCUGAGUUGAGACAUGGUUGGCAAUUGGGUACUUGGAUUUGCUCAUUCCAUGAUCAGGUGAAUAUCGUUUUGGAGGUUGUCCACAAUUAUGUCUGAAAGGCAAGUUAUAGCCAGCAGAAAUAUUUUGAGAUGAGUUUAGAACUUGUACCUCAUAAAUAUUCUCAGGAGAUUGAACUGAUUGUGGUACUGUCACGGCAUGGAAGGGCUGUUCAUUGGAGACUUCUCCAGUUGCUUCCAUUUGCUCACUAGUUUCUGCACUCUUCUCCACUGUCUCGGUCUCAACGUGCUCAUCAUUUUCUCCUUGUUCCCUCAUUAAUUCUGUCUCUGUAUCAAUAGCAACAUGCGGCUGGAUAAUAUUAUCUGAGAUAUGCUCACUAUCUCCCCCUGCAUUCUUCACUGUACUGUCAGUAAAGCCCGGCCAAUAUUCCCAGGCCUGCUCUGCACUUAGGAGCUCCCCCUGACAAGAGGAGCUAGAAGAUAGGGAAGUGAAUAAAUGCUCAGAUUCAAGGAAGGUAACAUCCAUGGAGGUAUAGAGUCGUUUUGUAGCUGGAUCAUAGCAUUAGUAUCCUUUCUUAUGAGCUGCAUACCCAAGAAAAACACAGCGGACAGCACAAGGGUCGAGCUUGGUUCGUUGGUUUUUGUGUAUAUGAACAUAUACAACACAACCAAAUGUUCUGGGCGGAAGCAUGAGAACUGACGGUAGGAUCACAUGGUGGCCUAGAACUUGAAGCGGGGUCUUAUAGUCCAGAACUCUUAAUGGCAGUCUAUUCAGCAAGUAUACUGCAGUCACCACUGCAUCAGUUCAGAACCGUUUGGGCACAUUAGCAGCUGUCAAGAGAGCUCUAGUGAUCUCCAAGAUAUGUCGGUUUUUACGUUCAGCAACACCAUUCUGUUGUGGCGUUUGUGGACAAGAUGUCUCAUGAUGCAUACCAUGUUCCUGAAAGUAUCGGUGGAAUUGUUUGUUAUCAUAUUCCCCACCAUUAUCGGAUCAUAGAAUCUGUAGUGUUGCAGAAAAUUGUGUUUGAAUCAUAUUAUGGAAUGAGCGAAAUAUGUCAAACACUUUAUAUUUCGUUUUCAUCACAUACAACCAAGUCAUUCGUGUACAAUCGUCAACAAAUGUGACAAACCAGCGAGCUCCAGAAGAGAUAGUAAUCGGGGCAGGGCCCCAAACAUCAGUAUGAACAAUUGCAAAUGGAGUGGCACUCUGAUUUAAACUUAUUGGGUACGAUACACAAUGACUCUUAGCUUUAAUACAAGUUUCACACUGAAAAUCUGCUUCACGAAAUUUCGUGAAUAGUUCUGGAAAUAAACAGCGUAAAUACCGAAAUGAGGGGUGUCCCAACCGAUUAUGCCAUAACCAAAUCUGCUGUUCCUUAUUGUCGACGAUGUGUAUGUUAUUUGCUCGACCACAGCUGAAGUCAUCCAUGUAAUACAACCUUUCCCUCUUAGUACCACGACCAAUAAUCUCCUUGGUGAGAAUAUCCUGAAACAAGCAAAAACUAGGAUACAUUAGUGCACAACAUUGUAAUUCCUCAGUCACUUGUCCUACAGAUAACAACUUAUUGGACAGUGAUGGAACUAGCAGGGUAUGUGGUAAUGAGAAAGAAGGAGAAAGUGCAACUGUUCCAACCCCAGUCACUGGAUAUGUCACUCUAUUAGCAUUAGCAAUGCAUAGCCGUUUUGGUUGAGUGGUGUCAGACAAAUCACAGGGAUCAUACGUCAUGUGGUCUGUUGCUCCAGAGUCAAUAAUCCAGCCAUCAUGAUCAUGUCUUCUCUUCUAAGAGCAAAAAACAUAACCUUGAUUACCUGGGUCAUUCUGAUCAGUCUGUUCUUUAGCCGAGAUAGGAGAUUCUUGUGCAGGUACAAGUGAUAGUGUAGGUUCCAUGCUUAUAAGGGCUGCACGACCAGGAUGUUCACUACGCCUGGCUUCUGGUUUUUUCUUCGCCUUGAGUUCGUGCCACCAAUCUGGAUAACCAUGUAUUUUGAAACAUGUAUCUUUGGUGUGUUUUGUAUUUUCACAGUGUGUGCAACCUGCCCCUUCCCCAUGUGAUUUUGUAACUGGCCUUCCAUUCGCUGGCAUUAGAAAGGAUAAACGAUGUUGAGGUUUCUGUCCUCCCCUUGACAGCAUAGCACCUCCAGAUAUGACUUCUUCAUUUUUCAGCAUCACAGAUUGCCUUAGGUCUUCUCUCCUGACUUGCGCAUAGGCUUGUUCUACUGUUGGAAAUGGCUGCAUCUGGAGCACAUCUGCUCUAAUAUUGUCAAGUCUGUCAUCAAGCCCGUCUAAGAAUAUAUAGACUAUGUCCUCUUGCAAAAGUGAAUUAUAUUUCUGUAUGUCAGUAUUGCACUCCAUAGGGUUUGGAUGCCGGAAAUCAAUUUCUCUCCAUAAUCCCUGCAGAUUGUUGUAAUAUGUUUCAAUAGAUCCUCCUCCCUGUUUCAGCCUAGUAACUCUUUUUUUGAGUGUAUCAGUGCCAUCAAAGUAGGUUGUUGCAAUGUUAUCCCAAACAGCUUUGGCUGUUGAAAAUCUGAUGAAGUUGCUUAUAAGUUUUGGGUUCAUAGAGUUGAUCAGCCAUCCCUUCACCAUUGCAUUUUCAGUUCUCCACUUCCUGAAUGUUGGAUCUGUUUGCAGAGGUUGUGGAAGGUCUCUAUUUAUGUAUCCCAACUUGUCUUUUCUUGAGAUAUACAUGUCAACAAUUUGGACCAUAAUGCAUAAUUGUUGUCAUCUAACUUGAUUCCAAUCGGUGCAGCAGGUUCAUGGCUGGCAAGUUGUGUCAUCCCUGCUGUCAGAUCUGCAAGGAUUGAGUUCUCCCCUUCAUAAGUUUUCACCCCAGCAGAAGGGGUUUCCAUUCUUUUCCAGAAAAAAUUCUAUGGCCCUAGAAUCUCUGUUCUGAUACCAUGUUGAACUGAGAAAGAAUAUAUUUGAUUGUUAUUUCAGUAUAAAAAUAAGAGCAGAAGAGGCUCUUAUAUGUAUAGCCUAUACAGAGACUAAUAAGGAAAAACUCAUUACACUAGUCUAGGAAAUAAUCAUGGACGAUUUACAAUCAAGUAAGGCUAAUUAGAAAACUAAAUAUUCUAUAAUUCCUAUUCUGUGAUUUCCAUAUUUAUUCUUCACGUUAACAUUGUGCGUCCAUGGGAAGAACCUUUCAUUAAGCAGACUUAAAGAUAGAUGCUUCAGUUGUCCAUCACAUUAAUAAUUUAUUUUUUUGUGCUCUAAAACGGACUGGAAUAGAACAGGCAAAAGUUUGUUUCUGAUGAGAAAUAAUUUUUUUAUAUAAUAUCAAAGUUUUAUUAAUUAAGUGAUUAAUUAUAAGUUUAAAUUUUACAAUUUUUAUACUUGUACUAUAUAAUAAAAAUUAAACAUAAAGUAUUGAUGUUACAUGAAAAAAAAGAAGUGAUAAUUGCUUUAUCCGAGGAAUCUUUCAUAGUUGUAUUGCCUAGGCCACAUUGAUUUUUAUCCACAGUCUUACCACUACAUUAUAAUUAUAAACGAAACUAAAUAUAUAUAUAUAUAUAUAUAUAUUAUAGCUCCUUUGUCGCUUUACUGUUCAUGUCACUGCUUAUAGCCAUUGUUGUUUUUCUUGGUCCUUGAAACUUUUACCUAUUUUCGUUUUGGUCACAAAACUAUAUUAUUUUUCUUCAUUUACAUCCUUGCAAGUUCUAUUAACACGGUUCCGUUUGCUGUUAUCUACUUCGAUUUUCAUGUUCUCGCCUGUAUCAUAUAUCUUUAAAUAUUACUACAAUGAAUUAAAAAUCAAUUUUUCUAACCCUCCUACCCAUAAACCGAUCCUUGCCACAGGUUAAUCAUAUAAUCUCAUGCUCUUACCUACAGCUAAGCAUCGGCAGAACCAAAUAGUUGCUAUUAAGGUCAGUUCUCCACGUGCAUGUUCUUCCUUUUCAAGCUAAGCUGUUUUUUAGAAAGCUUCUAAUUUAGUUCAAGUCAAUAAAAGCUUAGCAGGUUGAUACAAAAGUUCAUGGCCAAGUAAAAGAUGUUUAUUUUGGAUGAAAUAAAUAUUCAUAUUGGAACAUAAUAUUCAUCUCUCAAAUCCCUAAUCCAGUUGGUAUAUUCAUGAUAAAAUCCAAAGGAUUGGUACUUUGGUGUUUGUGGGGCUGUUAUUUCAAAUCGCUAGCUUGUAAUUUACUGGAUCUAUUGCAAACAAUUCCCUCAGACGUCUAAAUAUCAAACCAACCAACCACCACCAUGCAUUUACUGAAUAUGAUAGUGGGAACUUAUUUAUCAAGAAUUAAAGCAGUAGUUGCUUAUGGAUAAUUAGCUCUUCCAUACAUUGAAAAACCGCAAUUUUUCAUGAUAAAAUCCAAAGGACUGGUACUUUGGUGUUUGUGGGGCUGGUAAAUGGAAGAACACGUGUUUGUGGGGCUGUUAUUUCAUUCAAGGUGCGUACUUUGGUGUGUAUCACGUGUUUGUUGCAUUGACUGAAUAUGAUAGUGGGAACUUAUUUAUCAAGAAUUAAAGCAGUAGUUGCUUAUGGAUAAUUAGCUCUUCCAUCCAGCAUUAAUUCUAUUAUCAAUUAUAGUUUAGUCAUAAAGUUUUUCGAGGAGAGAAAUAAAAAGGAAAAGGAAAAGGAAACAACCACUCCAUCUUUCCCUUCUUUCCAUGAAAAAAGCAAACACCCCAUUUUGAUUUUGAUUUUCAAUCAGGAUGAGUGAGAAAGAAAGAGAGGACAAGGGGGUAUUCUCUCUCUCUUUCCUUGCUUUUUCUAACGCGUGGACCCAGCAGUUGUUGCCACUUGCCACCAAAUUCCUUCCUCAAUAUUUACCAGUACUACACGCUUGAGAAAUUUCCUUGCUUUUUUUCCUCUUACGUACUGUUACCUUUUACCUUUUAUAAUUAUGAUUAUUGCAUUGCUAAUAAUUUAUUAUUAAUCAUCAAUAUUUAUUCUUGGUCAUCAAUAUUGAAUAAUGGCUUAUUUUCUAUUAUAAACUGUGUUUGAAAUAUAGGUUGAUGUUCUUAAAUAUUUUUUAAUGAUUUUAAUAUGUUGAUAGUAAAAAUAAAAAUAAAAAAACUGGUUUUGUUUUCCAAAAGAAAUUGACAGUCAAUUACUUGUUUACUAUGUUUUUAAGAACCAAAAUAAAUAAAUAAAGUUUUUUCUUUCCGUUUCCAAAUUUGGUAGCCCGAAAACCUCCUCAUCGCUGAGUAGGUUUUGUUUUAGUUUAAACGUGAUGGAGACGAUACUAAAAAUAACAACAAUAUAAAAAAAAUUGGUGUAAAUACCAUUUAUUUUUGCAUUUUAAAAAUAAUUUUUUAAAAAAUUAAAAAUAAAUUUUGUUUUUUAUUUUAAAAUAAUAUUUUUUUAAUAAUUUUAAAUUAUCUUAAUAUACUGAUAUUAAAAAUAAUUUUUAAAAGAUAAAGUUUUUAAAACAUAAAGUUUAGCCUGCAGAUCUUCCGCUGAUCCCAUCUCAUUGUUGUAUGCAUCCAAGCUAAGCCAAUUCAAGAAAGAAGAUUUGAAGAAUACCAGCAGCAGCAGGAGUAAUAAAUUAACAUAACAAACCAUCUAGGUGGUGGCCAGUAAUAAAAGCCUGAGACCAAGAGAUUUGUUUCUUUUGUGGUCUCAGAUUCGAGUUCUGUGAUUGCUCAUAUGAUUAUUACUGGAGGCUUACAUGGUCGUUAACUUCAGGGCCCGUGGGAUUAGUCGAGGUGCGCGCAAGCUGACCCGGACACCCACAUUAAACUAAAAAAAAAAAAUUAACAUAACAACAUUAUGGGAGAAGGAGGGAUGACCUCACUGCAAGGGCGGAGGCAUGUUAAAGGCUUGAGUGCGCUAUAAUUUAGAUCAAAACUUUAUUAAUAUAUUUUGAUUAGUUUUAUGUAAAAAAAUUUGUAAUUCUUGAUUGAAUUAUUAAAAAAAUUUAAAAUUUACCUGUAGCCUUCUAAUAUAAUAUUUUAACUUGGGUUAAAAUUUCAGAAUAUUUUGAGAAAUUCAGAAAUUUGAUGAAAAAUCAUAAUUUAGCCAGUUUUAUGUUAUUGAACGUAAUUUUCAAUCCAAUCAUCAGAUUGAACUGAAAUUUUACGAGGAAUCUUAAAAUAUAUUGAAUAAAAUAUAGUUAAAAUUUUAUGAUGAACAGAGCUUGAUAGUGCUAACAAAAAAAAAACCAUCAAAUAAAAACAAAUCAAGAAUAAAAUGAUUAUUUCCAUUAAAAAGUAAAAUAAAUUAACUCUUCCUUCAUUUUAUACGUUGCCAUCCUUGCAUUAGAGUACACUCCCACAUGCGUUGUGGCAGCGGUUUGCUCUGUUAUUGUUCUCAUUUCUCUUAUUGUUGAAAGAUCCUUGGGAAAGACAUUCCAAGGGUGCAGUGUUUCUUGUUCCCUUUCCCUUCUUUACAUGGCUUCCUCAAUGAAAAAGCAAGCACUAACGCACGUUCUCCACAAACUACCCCCUAUUUCGCCACUAUAUAAAUAUAUUAUGGAAAACAAGAUAAAAAGAAAUCUUUUGGUACAUAUAUAAAUAUAUUAUGGAAAUUAACAUGGUAUCAGAAUAUCUGUGAAGUAUUGCUGGGAAGUCAUAAUUUUUGACACGCCUAAUCACAGACUUUUUUGGGAAAAAAAAAGAAAAAAAGAAGCCAGGCUAUGAAAAUAGGUUUGUGGAAAUUUACAUCAUUUGAUCUUGACAGUAUCAGAUUAGACAAUUGCAUGGAAAUGGUCUUCUUAGUUUGCCGUGUGGAAAAUCAUGUCAUUUACGGGACUGCUGGAGAGAGUGUCUAAUGAUAAUUUUACCUUCUUUUAAAAUCUUUGACACUACUUGCAUUGACUGGAAAUUUCGCUCGAAAAUUUCUAGUAAUUUAUAAAGGAAAUUUCUACUGUAUAUGAAUUGAAAAACUAUUAUUGACUGACUUCUUGCAAAGUAUUCGCAAGAAAGCUAAAGAAUUAAAGUUUUUAAUUUUUAAAAUUAUAAUUUAAAAUUGUAAGAAAAAAAUCAAUUGUUUUAAAAAUAAAAAAUCAACUAUUUAUAUAAUAGCUAAAUCUAUUAAGAUAAAUCGAAAAUAACUAGUAAAAUCAAUGACUUGUAUUGACGAGUGUGUCUAUAUAUACAUAUAGGAACUGCUGAUUCGAUUUGAAUAUGUUAUUUGAUUAGUCUAAUUCAUGAUUUGCAUUGACUCAAAAUUACCACUAGAAAUUCCUAGUUUCGUGGUGCUUUCUCAGCCUGCAAAUGAAUAUAAAGCAUAUCCUUUUAUCCUAUAUAAAGAAUACAAUGAACCUUUUUAUCUUUUAUAAUUAUAAUUAUUGCAUUGCUAAUAAUUUGCACGAAAGAAUAUUCUUUCUCUGAAAAGGCCUUGAGAAAACCCUAAGCAUAGUAUAUAAUCUCUUAUAGGAAUCUCUUUAUUAAAUCAUCAAAAUAUCAAAGUCUGUUUCCAAAGACUAUGACUACAGUUUAUAUAUAGAAACAACCAAAUAUAAAAAUUAUUAUUUUUUAAAUAGAAAAACCAGAGAGCUUGAUAAUAUUUAAUAAAAUAAAAUAAAAUAGAAAAAUUAUUCCUUUUUAGGUAGAAAAAAAUUAUAAAGAUUUAAUAAUACUAAAUAAGAAAAAUUAAAAUUUCUACACUAAAUUAAAAAAACAAAAAAAAACUGAGAAAAUAUUUAUUAUCCCAAUAGUUCUUAUAUUAAAAUCUCAUUUAUCAUAUGUUAUAUCUAUCAAAAUAAUAAUAAUAAUAACUUGUGACGUGAACUAAAGCUAUAUGCGAAAACUAGAAAAACCCGGUAGAGACCGGUUCUGUUUUUUCAAAUAUGUUUUUUCUUCUAGCUAGAGACCCCUUUUUUUUAUAUAUUUUUCUAUUGGUUAGUAAACUAUUUCAAAGUUUAUUAUAUAAAUACUAGAAGAAUAUUUUAUUUUUUCAAUAUGGAAUAAAAAAAAUUAUUUUUGUUUAAAUACCUCAAUUUAAAAGAAUUAGAUAAUAUCUUUUUAAUAUGAGAUAAAAAAAACCUUUUAAAAUAAUCUUUUAAACUUUAUUAUAUGCAACAUGUAUAAUCUAUAUUCAUAUGAAUUGUUUCUUUAAUUUUUUUCAUAUGAAAUAUUAAAAAUCAAAUAUUUUUUUUUUAAUUUUUUCGGGUUAAUUUAGAUCAAUCUGUGUAACCCAAGACUCUGUUUUUUAGUCGGGUCAAAUUCAGCUUGGGUUCCAUAACUAUCAGUAAAUUUAUUGAAAAAAACGUAAUUUUUUUGCUUUUAUAAAAAUGAAAGGCAAAGAAUUAAAUUAGGACAUAUAUCACUAAUUAUUUACAUACUCUUAUUACAAACACAAAAUUUUAUGUCACUUCAUGAUAUCCAUGUUUUCAACGCUUUACACUGGUUUAAUAAAUUGUUACAGUAAUAUCACAGAGAGGAACGGUUCAUGAAAAAACAAUAAUGGAGUUGAAGCAGAAUCUCUGUUUGAUUUUUCUUUUUUGUGUUUUCGGUACACUGGUCAACAAUAGCUUGGAAGAGUUUGGAAUCAGUAACACAUGGACCCAGUUAUUGUGGAAACUUUGCAGAGGAUCUGCACUCUGCAGGAAGAAAAUGAUUUUAAUAGAUGUACUGUACAUCAUUUGAAUUUAUUAAAAGUAACGUGUAAUGUAAAGUAUGUACUGUACACCUGCUUUCAACGUUUUACACUGCUUUAGUCGUCCAAAAAAAAAAAAAAACCAUUAGAUGCUAUAAAACAAGAUAUAUACAAUUUAAUUUGAGAGUGUAAUAGAUAUUAUAUUUCAAAAUAUUUUUGAAAUAUAUUAAAAUAUUAAUUUUUAAAAAAAUAAUUUUAAUAUCAUAUAUUAGAACAAUAAAUAAUAAUUAUAAUUUAAAAAAAUAAAAAAUUUUAAAAUCUUUAAAAAAAUAAUAAUUUUACUGGACUCCAAAACACACCCAUGCUCCCUCAGCAACCACCACGAAAUUACCGCUCUAUAUUACAGCUCAAUAAUUUAUUUUAGCAAUUAUUGCUUGCUCAUUCACAAUUAUUGCUUUGCUAAUAAUUUGCAAGAAACUUUCUCAAUUUCCUUCUAUUUUCUUUUUAUUAUGGAAACUUUAAGUCACAUGUGCGCCUACCACGAAAUUACCGAUAAGUAAAUUUCAAUGCGUAAUUGUGUAGGUUUCAAUUAAAAAUGCUUUAAUUUGAAAAAUUAUGUUAACAAUAAUAUAAAUUAAUUUUUCUUCAUAAAAAAAGUAAUUGAGUAUUAAUUUAGGCUAUAAAAAUAAAAUAAUAAUAAAAAAAGAGUUCGAGGGUAUUCAUUUUAUUUCAUUUUACUAUAUAAUCUAAUUUGUUGAUGUGGAAAAUAGCAUAAAGUUUUUGACAUGGCUAUUGGUGAGAAGCAAAAGCAGUAGCAGUCCAUCGUUAUACUAAAGGUCAGUUUUUCACUCUGUGUGAAUUUACAGUAAAAGCUUGAUUUUGAAAGUGAGAUGAAAUUGGAAUAUUUUGAUUGAAAUUUAAUUAAAAAUUCAGAACAGAGUGAGAUUUGAAAUGAGACAAAAAAUCAUUCUGUUUUUUAAAUUUAUAUGAAAUUUUUUAGCUAUUCCAGACAGACAAAAUGGAAUGGAAUUGAGAACCUUGGAUGCAAUAUGCUUUUUAAUUAAAGAUAUAUUUAAAUAAUAAUUUUUAAAAAAAAUUAUUUUUUUUAUUUUAGUACAUUAAAAAUAAAAAAUAUUUAAAAAUAGUAAUUUAAUAUUUUCUUAAAAAAAUAUUUAAAAAACACUUUUAAAUUUUUUUGAACUGUACUAUUCCUUGAAAAAACUCAAACUCUAAAUAACAUCUACUAUUUUCAGAAUAUCUGUAAGAGAUUGCUGGGAAGACAUAACGUUUUGCCUAAUCAGUCUCUUUUGGAAAUUUAUACCAUUUGAUUUUGACAGUAUCAGAUUAGACAAUUGCAUGGAAAUGGUCUUCUUAGUUUACCGUGUGAAAAAUCAAUAUUAUUGUCCGGGAGGGAAGUAAGGUUUUUUUUUUAAAAAAAAUUAUUUAAAAAUAUAUUAAAAUAAUUUUUAAAAUCAAAAUGAUUUAAAAAUACUUAAAAAAAAUCUAAGACUAAAAAUUAAUCUAAAUGUUUUUGAAAAAUAAUUCAACCAAAGUGCCAAAUAUGAUCAAUAUCGAUUAUCUUUUAUGUAAGAUUAUCUUUUAUCUUUGACAAUUAUUGCAUUGCUAAUAAUUUGCAAGAAAACAUACUUUCUCAAUUUCCUUUUUUAUUAUGUUAGUAGAUGCUAGAUGCUGUUUAUUUUUGUGUUUUAAAAAUAUUUUUAAAAAAAUUUAAGAUUUUAAAUUAAUAUUUUUAGAUAUUUUAAGGUGCUGAUUUUAAAAAUAAUUUAAUUAUUUUUUUUAAAAAAAAAUCAUGACACGGGUAUAAAAAAAAAAUUAUGGUAGAUAUAGCCUCAUCUUCUCUGCUUGUAAAAUUGGAGCAGAUUAUGGACUUAAGCGAGCAAUUACCGCUCGAAAUUCCUAGUAAUUUACGAAGGAAUUUUCCUUGUUGUUUCUCUGUACAGUAUUAGAAAAAUUGUCAUUGACUGAUUUAAUUGCAAAGUCUCUGUAAGAAAGCUUAAAGAAUUAGAGCUUUUUAAAAUAAAAAAUAUAGAGAGAGAAAUAAAAAAUAAAAAUAAAAAAAGGAGCAAAAGGAAACAACCCCCAUCUUUCUUGUUCCCUUUCCCUUCUUUACAUGGCGUCCUCGAUGAAAAUAGCAAACGCCCCAUUUGAAUAUAUAAUUAAAGAAAGAAAGAAAGAGAGGAAAAUUUUUUUAGUGAAUUCAAAAGCCCUUCGCCCCGGAAAGAAAGUUUCUUUUAACAAAAUAAGGUUGUUGAGGCUUUUCUUGGAACCUCGCUCAGGGAUUAAUUAACAAGAAUUAAAAAAUCCCCUGCAAAUUACACAAAAUUUAUUAUUGAUCAUCAAUAUUGAAUAAUGGCUUAUUUUCUAGCAUAAACAAAAAUUGAUAAAAGAUAUUUAUUAUUGAUCAUCAAAUUGUGGUAGCUGUUGUGGUUGUGGAAAAAAUUAUUUUAUAAAAAAUAUUUUUAGUUGAGGUUGAUUUGAAAAAAUAGGUGUUUGGUUAAAACUGUGGUUGAAAUUGAAGUUGAAGAAAAAAUAGCUUAAUGUGUUUGGUUAAGAAUGCUUUUAAAAUUGAAGUUAUAAAAUAAUUUUUAAAAAAUAUAUUAAUACUGAUGAUUUUUAAUUUAAAUAUUAUGGAUUUAACUAUUGCUAUUAUAUCAUGAAAUAAAUCAUACUUUAUAUAAAAUAUUUUUUUAUUAUUCCAUGAAACCAUUUAUAAUUCCAUUACGUAUACAUCCGACAAAAACUACAGUUUUCAUAAUAUUUUUAGCAUAUAAUAAAAUUAGAUAAAAUAUUAUCAGGUAUAAAAUUCACUAUAAACUAGUUUUUUUAAAAAAAAAUGUUAAAAAAAUAACACACUAAAAAAAAUUAACACACUAAAAAAAAAAAGGUUCACGCAGGCAAAUGAACAUUGCAAGAGAAUUGCACUGUUCACUAUUUUUAAGUGAACAGUGCAAUUGUGUUGCACUGUUCACUUGAAUAGUGUACAUUACGUACUGUUCAUGUUAAUUGCACUGUUCAUUGAACGGUGCAAUUAACAUGAACCGUGAAAAAAAGAGUAAGAAAUGGCUGCUUUUCCUUUCCUGCGUUUCUAACAUAGAAAUUAAGUGAGGCCCAGUGAACAGUAAAUUAAUUUUUUCAUUAACCAAACAGCUGCGAACUGCGUUUUAAAUAAAACGCAGCCGCAGCUACAGAGCCAAACGGGCUCUAUAUUUUGGAGUGACGUAGAUAUUAUGUUUUAAAAUCCUUUUUAUUUAUAAAUGUAUUAACAUUUAUUUUUCAAAAUUUAUUUUUAAUAUUAAUAUAUCAAACUAAUAUAAAAAUAUUAAAAAAAUAAUUUAAAACAAUAAAACAUUCAGCAACCACUCUAAAUUCCAGCUCAAUAAUUUAUUCUUUAGCGAUUAUUGCUUGCUCUUUGACAAUUAUUGCAUUUCUAAUAAUUUGCAAGAAAACAUACUUUCUCAAUUUCCUUGAACUCAUUUGACCCAGCUAUCGAGUUAUUUUUUCCGCUCAUCUUUUUUUCCCACAAACUCACCAAGACAGCACCGGAUUAUUUUAACUCAGUGAUCCUUCCAGGUAGGCCCAGGCCACAUUGAUUGUGUUAAAAAAAAAAUCUAAUUCAGCUUAGUAUCAACUACAUUAUAAUUAUUUAGGAGGAUAGUUGAACCAUACUUUUUAAAAAAAUUAAUUUUUUUUUAUAAUUAUACGCCAUCAGCAACUACCUCGAAAUUACCACUCCAAAUUCCAGCUCAAUAUCGAUCAACAUGCGGCUAAAAUUGAUAAAAGACACAUAAUGAUGGUAUUGUAUAUUUUGAGACUAAAUUGAGGUUUUUUAAUUAUUACUUUAAAAUAUAUCAUGGUUUUAAUAGUUGGACGGUAUAUUAUAUAAAUUAUUAAAAAAUAUUUAUUUUUAUUAUAUAUGUAGUAAUAAUAAAUUAGAUGAUAAUAACAAAAAAUAGAAAUUAUUUUGAAUAAAUAGUACCAGUUCCUAUUAUGAUAUGUAUAGAGAAGAAGUUGGAAGAAUAAAAUGAAGUCAAAUAUUCUUAAUAAAAAAAACACAGAAAUAGUUAAAAUAUGUUUUUAAUAAAUAUAAAAGAUGGAUGAAAAUAUUAGAAAACAUGAAAGAGAUACAUAAUCUCUUUGUAAGAUUUCUAAGAACUUAAUUACAAUUACAUUAUAAUUUCUUCCUUAAAAUUAUUCAAAAUAUAUAUUAUUCUAGGUUUUAAUGUAAUUAAAAAGGAAGUAUUUGUAAGUGUAAGAAUUUUUGACACGCCUAAUCACAGUUUUUUUUGGAAAAGAAAAGAAGCCAGGCUAUGAAAAUAGGUUUGUGGAAAUUUACGUCAUUUGAUUUUGACAAUUGCAUGGAAAUGGUCUUCUUAAUUUGCCGUGUAGAAAAUCAUGUCAUUUACGGGACUGCUGGAGAGAGUGUCUAUUGAUAAUUUUACCUUCUUUUCAAAUCUUUGACACUGCUUGCAUUGACUGGUAAUUUCGCUCGAAAAUUUCUAGUAAUUUAUAAAGGAAAUUUCUACUGUAUAAAUUGAAAAACUAUUAUUGACUGACUUCUUGCAAAGUAUUUGCAAGAAAGCUAAAAAAUUAAAAUUUUUAAAUUUUUAAAUUAUAAUUUAAAAUUGUAAGAAAAAAAUCAAUUGUCUUAAAAAUAAAAAAAUCAACUAUUUAUAUAAUAGCUAAAUCUAUUAAGAUAAAUCGAAAAUAACUAGUAAAAUCAAUGAUUGACGAGUGUGUCUAUAUAUACAUAUAGGAACUGCUGAUUCGAUUUGAAUAUGUUAUUUGAUUAGUCUAAUUCGUGAUUUGCAUUGACUCAAAAUUACCACUAGAAAUUCCUAGUUUCGUGGUGCUUUCUCGGCCUGCAAAUGAAUAUAAAGCAUAUCCUUUUAUCCUAUAUAAAGAAUACAAUUAACCUUUUUAUCUUUUAUAAUUAUAAUUAUUGCAUUGCUAAUAAUUUGCACGAAAGAAUAUUCUUUCUCUGAAAAGGCCUUGAGAAAACCCUAAGCAUAGUAUAUAAUCUCUUAUAGGAAUCUCUUUAUUAAAUCAUCAAAAUAUCAAAGUCUGUUUCCAAAGACUAUGACUACAGUUUAUAUAUAGAAACAACCAAUUAUAAAAAUUAUUAUUUUUUAAAUAGAAAAACCAGAGAGCUUGAUAAUAUUUAAUAAAAAUAAAAAAUAAAAAAUUAUUCCUUUUAAAGUAGAAAAAAUUAUAAAGAUUUUAAUAAUACUAAAUAAGAAAAAUUAAAAUUUCUAAACUAAAUUUAAAAAAACAAAAAAAACUGAGAAAAUAUUUAUUAUCCCAAUAGUUCUUAUAUUAAAAUCUCAUUUAUCAUAUGUUAUACCUAUCAAAAUAAUAAUAAUAAUAAUUUGUGAUGUGAACUAAAGCUAUAUGCGAAACCUAGAAAAACCCGGUAGAGACCCGUUUUGUUUUUUCAAAUAUUUUUUUUCUUCUAGCUAAAGAUCAUUUUUUUUUAUAUAUUUUUCUAUUGGUUACUAACUCAUUUCAAAGUUCACUAUAUAAAUACUAGAAGAAUAUUUUAUUUUUUUGAUGUGGAAUUAAAAAAAAUUCUUUUGAUUUAAAUACUUCAAUUUAAAACAAUAAGAUAAUAUCUUUUUAAUAUGAGAUAAAAAAACCUUUUGAAAUAAUCUUUUAAACUUUAUUAUAUGCAACAUGUAUAACCUAUAUUCAUAUGAAUUGUUUCUUUAAUUUUUUUCAUAUGAAAUAUUAAAAAUCAAAUAUUUUUAUUUUUAUUUUUCUGGGUUGACCUGGAUCAAUUUAUGUAAUCCAAGACUCUAUUUUUUAGUCUGGUCAAUUUUAAGUUGGGUUCGAUAAUAAUGAUUAAAUUUAUUGAAAAAAACAUAAUUUUUUUUUUGUUUCUAUAAAAAUCAAAGGUAAAGAAUUAAAUGAUGACAUAUAUCACUAAUUAUUGACAUACUCUUAUUACGAACACAAUAUGAUACCCAUGUUUUCAACGCUUUACACUGCUUUAAUAAAUUGUUACAGUAAUAGCACAAAGAGGAACGGUUCAAGAAAAAACAAUAAUGGAGUUGAAGCAAAAUCUCUGUUUGAUUUUUUCUUUUUUGUGUUUUCGGUACAUUGGUCAACAAUAGCUUGGAAGAGUUUGGUAUCAGUGACACGUGGACCCAGUUGUGGUGGAAGGAAGAAAAAUGAUUUUAAUAGAUGUACUGUAUAUCAUUUGAAUUUAUUAGAAGUAACAAGAUAUAUACAAUAAGAUGCACUGAGGGUAUUGGCCUGGGAUACGAGGGGCUUGUCUUCUCUUGUUGCUUCUGGAUUCGAGUUUUUAUGUGUAUGUCUGUCAUUUUUACGGUGUCUUAUAUGUUCAUUGAGUUUGCAGGGUGUUCAGUGGGUCGUGGAAUUAGUCGUGGUGCGCGCAAGCUGACUCGGACACCCACGUAAAUAAAAAAAAAAAAAAUAUAUAUACAAUAAGAUGCUAUAUUAAAAUAUUAGAUGCUAUUUUUCGAUCUUAGAAGUAACAUGAUUUUAAUAUACACCUUCUUUCAACGUUUUACACUGCUUUAGUCGUCAAAAAAAAAAAAAAGACUAUUAGAUGCUAUAAAACAAGAUAUAUACAAUUUAGUUUGAGAGUCUAAUAGAUAUUAUAUUUCAAAAUAUUUUAGAAAUAUAUUAAAAUAUUAGUUUUUUUAAAAAAAUUAUUUAAUAUCAUAUAUUAGAACAAUAAAAAAUAAUAAUAAUUUAAAACAAUAAAAAAUUUCAAAAUCUUUUAAAAAUAUAAUUUUACUGGACUCCAAAACACACCCAUGCUUCCUCAGCAACCACCACGAAAUUACUACUCUAAAUUACAGCUCAAUAAUUUAUUCUAGUUAUUAUUGCUUGCUCUUUGACAAUUAUUGCUUUGCUAAUAAUUUGCAAGAAACUUUCUCAAUUUCCUUCUAUUUUCUUUUUAUCAUGGAAACUUUAAGUCACAUAAUAUAUGGCUGAUUUUAUAUGAAUAUAUUAUUUGAUUAGUGUUGACUCUACUAUUGCUGCAUUGACUGGAAAUUUCAGUAUUCAAUAUCCUAUAUCAUUCUACGUUCAUAACGAUAACUCUUUGUUAUAUUUAACUUACACUGCAGCUAACUUCUCUGUCCCAUUGCAGCCAUUUCAUAGCUAACUCUUUGUUAUAUUUAACUUGCUCUUCUUUGCUUCUUUGCUUCUUGCUCAUAACGAUAACAAGAAAGCCUUACGUUCAGAUAGAUAAUCAUUGACCAGUUCAUCCUAUACCAUUCAAUUUAAUUUAGAAAUGCUGAAAGAAAAACGCAAGCAAUCCAAAGAUGAAGACAACGAUUCAUCCUCGCGAAAGAGAAGAAAAGCUGACCUCAGUAAGCCUGUCAGUUUUGUCUCCACAGGUAAGGCAGAUGCGUGAGUCUAUACAUGUAGGAACUGCUGAUUCGAUUAGAAUAUGUUAUUUGCUUAGUCUGAUCAUAGGAUAGGUUGAGUCUACUACUAUUUCUGCCUUGCUUUGACUCGAAAUUACUGGUGUUUUCUCCUGCAAAUGAAUAGAAAUCACAUCCUUUCUCUUUCUCCUAUACAAAGAAUACAAUUAACCUCAUUUCAAUAUCAUAGCUUUGGAAUUUCAUAGCUAACUCUUUGUUAUGUUGCUCCAUUGGUAAUUGAUUGUGCCUUAAUUUCUGCAGCUACCAGGACAGAGCCAGAGUCUUCUCGAUCUAGACCAGAAGGGGCCUAUGAUGUCUUCUUGAGUUUUAGAGGAGAAGACACUCGCAAGACAUUUACAGAUCAUCUAUAUACUGCCUUAGUCCAAGCAGGAAUCCGCGCUUUUCGAGAUGAUGAUGACCUUCCAAGAGGAGAAGAAAUCUCCGAUCAUCUCCUCAGGGCAAUUCAAGAAUCAAAGAUAUCCAUAGUUGUCUUCUCAAAAGGAUAUGCUUCUUCUAGAUGGUGUCUCAAUGAACUUGUAGAGAUUCUUGAGUGCAAAAAGAGGAAAACCGGUCAGAUUGUUCUUCCUAUAUUCUAUGACAUUGAUCCUUCAGAUGUGAGAAAACAGACUGGCAGUUUUGCAAAGGCAUUUGAUAAGCAUGAAAAGCGUUUUGAAGAGAAGUUGGUGAAGGAGUGGAGAAAAGCUCUUGAGGAUGCCGCAAACCUAUCUGGACGGAGUCUCAAUAAUAUGGCAAAUGGGUAUUCCUUCUCUCUCUAAGAUUCACUUGCACACGUUUAUGGAGUAAUUUUACAUUACAUUUUUCAAUGUGAAGUAAUAAAAUAUUUCUUUUUAGCAUACUUAAUUGAGUCGCUAUCAAUGACUUGCUUUUGUCUAUGAGCAGGCAUGAAGCAAAAUUUAUCAAGAAGAUUAUCAAGGAUGUGUUGAAUAAAUUAGAUCCCAAGUACUUAUAUGUUCCUGAGCACCUAGUAGGUAUGGAUAAACUUGCUCAUGAUAUUUUUGACUUUCUAAGCACUGCAACAGAUGAUGUACGCAUUGCGGGCAUACAUGGGAUGCCAGGAAUAGGAAAGACGACUAUAGCAAAAGUUGUAUUUAAACAACUCUGCGAUAGAUUCGAGGACAGCUGUUUUCUUUCGAAUAUCAAUAUUGAAACACCAAAAAAACUUACAGGUCUUGUUGGUUUUCAAACGCAACUUCUUCGUGAAAUUUUAAAACAAGGUGUUCCAAACUUCGAAUGUGUUGAUAGAGGAAAGGUUUUGAUCAAAGAACGACUUCGUGGCAAAAGAGUUCUUGUUGUUGCUGAUGAUGUGGCUCAUCUGGACCAGCUAAAAGCUUUGAUGGGAGAGCGAAGCUGGUUUGGUCUCGGAAGUAGAGUAAUUAUUACAACAAGAGAUUCAAAUCUUCUUCGUGAAGCAGAUCGAACAUAUCAGAUCGAAGAAUUGAAACCAGACGAGUCCCUUCAGCUUUUCAGCUGGCACGCCUUUAAGGACUCCAAGCCAGCAAAAGAUUAUAUUAAGCUUUCGAAGGAUGCAGUUGAUUACUGUGGAGGACUUCCUUUAGCUCUUGAGGUUAUGGGUGCUUGUCUGUCUGGGAAAAACAGAGAUGGUUGGAAAUGUGUAAUUGAAAAAUUGAGAAGAAUUCCAAACCACGAUAUUCAAGGAAGGCUUAGAAUAAGUUUUGACGCACUGGACGGUGAAGAACUACAAAAUGCAUUCCUUGACAUCGCUUGCUUCUUUAUUGAUAGAAAGAAAGAGUACGUCGCAAAAGUGCUAGGAGCCCGUUGCGGUUACAAUCCAGAAGUUGAUUUGCAAACUCUCCAUGAAAGGUCUCUGAUUAAAGUAUUGGGAGAGACGGUAACCAUGCAUGAUCUAUUACGAGACAUGGGAAGGGAGGUCGUUCGUGAUAAGUUUCCAAAAGAACCUGGAAAGAGGACCAGAAUUUGGAAUCAAGAGGAUGCAUGGAAUGUACUUGAGCAGCAGAAGGUAAGAGCUCAAUGCAUACAUGAAAGCAUAGUCAUUCGUAUUUUCUAGUCAAACUUAUUUCACAUAAUUGAAUGAAAGUUGUAUUGUUUUUUUUUUAGGGUACGGUUGUUGUAGAGGGUCUUGCACUGGAUGUCAGAGCAUCAGAAGCUAAAGCACUUUGCGCAGGAUCAUUUGCAGAAAUGAAACGCUUAAAUUUACUCCAAAUCAAUGGAGUACAUCUCACCGGAUCCUUCAAACUGCUUUCUAAAGAGUUGAUGUGGAUUUGUUGGCAUAGAUGUCCUUUGAAAGAUUUUCCAUCUGAUUUUACCGCAGACUAUCUAGCUGUUCUUGAUAUGCAGUACAGUAACCUCAAAGAACUAUGGAAGGGAAAAAAGGUGCGAAACAUGCUACAAUCCCCGAAAUUUCUCCUGUAUGUAAUUUAUAUUGACAUCUUAUGACUUUCUAUGAUUAAUUUUCAUUAUUUUACCCUCUAUUAUGACAGAUCCUCAACAGGCUAAAAAUCUUUAAUCUUAGUCAUUCUCGGAACCUUGUUAAAACACCAAACUUGCACAGUUCAAGUCUAGAGAAACUAAUUCUGAAAGGUUGCUCAAGUUUAGUUGAGGUGCAUCAAUCAAUUGGACAUUCGACGAGCCUCGUUUUCUUGAAUCUCAAGGGAUGUUGGAGUCUGAAGACUCUCCCUGAAAGCAUUAGGAAUGUAAAGUCUCUUGAAACUAUGAAAAUUUAUGGGUGUUCACAACUUGAGAAAUUGCCAGAAGGCAUGGGUGAUAUGAAAUUCUUAACUGAGCUAUUAGCUGAUGGGAUUAAAACUGAGCAAUUUCUCUCUUCAAUUGGGCAAUUAAAGUAUGUCAAAAGGUUAUCAUUACGUGGAUGCAGUCCGACUCCACCAAGUUGUUCUUUGAUUUCAGCAGGUGUUUCAAUUUUGAAAUGUUGGCUGCCAACAUCAUUCACUGAAUGGAGAUUAGUGAAACAUCUUAUGCUUUCUAAUUGUGGUUUGUCUGAUCGUGCAACUAACUGUGUUGAUUUUAGUGGUUUGUUCUCUCUAGAAAAAUUGGAUCUAAGUGAAAACAAAUUCUCUAGCCUGCCUUAUGGGAUCGGCUUCCUUCCCAAGCUAUCGCACUUGGUUGUUCAGACAUGUGAAUAUCUUGUAUCAAUCCCAGAUCUUCCCUCAAGUUUAUGCCUUUUGGAUGCAUCUUCUUGCAAAUCAUUGGAAAGAGUAAGAAUACCAAUCGAGUCAAAAAAAGAACUAUGUGUAAAUAUAUUUCAAAGUCUUUCGUUAGAAGAGAUUCAGGGCAUCGAAGGUCUAAAUAAUAGUUUCUGGAAUGUUAGUAUUGAAAGACGCAGUCAUUCACCAAAUAAAUUACAGAAGAGCGUUCUAGAGGUACUAUUUCUUUCAAUCUCUCUUGCAUAAGAAGAAACACACACAAUUGGCACAUAUUGAUUAAUGUCUAAAAUCGCAGCAUUCCUUGAAAUUAAUAUGUAUACAGGCAGUUAUUAUUAUUAUUAUUAUUAUUAUAUUUUAAAAAAUAAAUAUCAUCUUUAAUAAUAUUUUCUUAUUUUUCUUAUUUAAUCUAAAAAAUUAAAUAUUAUCUUUAAUAAUAUUUUUUAUUAAAUAUUUAAGUCUUUGGUUUUCUUUUUUAUUUCUUGAUUUUAUGAUAAUAUAUUUAUACAGGCAAUGUGCAACCGUGGUCACGGGUAUCGUAUUAACUUCAGUCUAGAACAUGAUGAACUACAUGAGAUGCCAGAUUGGAUGAGCUACAGGGGAGAAGGAUGCUCAUUGUCAUUCCAUAUACCUCCAGUCUUCCAUGGCUUAGUUCUUUGGUUAGAGAAGGGUACUCAUAUGUACACAUACACUAACAUUAUUAUUAUUAUAAGAAAUAAAAGCAACGGAAGAAUAUUGUUUAAAGAUAAACGAGCACAGAUAGGAAUACAUAUAUUUAUGCAGGGAUGGUUAAGAUACAUAAGUAGAAGUGAAAUGGCAAUGGAAGAUUACUGUGGAGACGAAUUGGAACUAUACAUUUCUUCAGAGCCAACAGACUAUGCACUGCGCAAGGGUAAAUCAUUGAAACCAAGCGUUAAAGAAUGUGGGGUCCAUGUGAUCGCAGGGAAGUCAGAUUCAUUAAAAAAGUCGGCAGUGGAAAGAGAUACAGUGAUGCUUUCACCACCGCUGUAUCAUCUGCUUCCUCAUCCUCAUCGUGGUUCAAUUACAACGUCUACACCUAAGCAAUGGUGUGACUUUUUACUUGCGGAGCUGCAAAACCAUAGCCUCGGUUUAUUGCUUCUUGGUAAGAACAAAUAUUUCCUUUAGUUAUUUUUAUUCUAUUCUAUUUAAUUUAUGAGAUUAAAUAUUAUCUUUAAUUAUUUCAUUAUUACUAUUUAAUAUAAAAAAUUAAAUAUCAUUUUUAAUAAUAAAAAAUUAAAUAUUUAAGGCUUUUUGGUAAGAAUACAUAUUUCCUUUAGUUAUUUCUAUUUUAUUCUAUUUGAUGGGAAUUUGUUCGUAAUAACAAAAUGCACAUGUUUAACUUUCUUUUCAAACUUGGAAGUUUUAUUGAAUUUGAUGGCUUUUGAAGGUAGAGAAGACUUGGAGUGAAGAGUACAAGAUCAUUUUAUAUAGAGAUGCUUGAAGUUACUUCAAAUUAGUACGGUACUUCUAUCUGAUGUAUUGAUAUGUAUUUGUUUGUUUGAAGAUUAUUUUCCAAGCUUGGAAGUUUUAUUGAAUACUCUUUGAAAUCUUUUCCAUCCGCUUUUAUAUUUUUAUAUUGGACAACCUAGUUGUUAAUUAUUAUCCAUGAUGUAAUUUAUAUUUUCAAGUUAUAAAUUUUGAUGAAUAUUGUUUCAUUUUUUUCCUCAUUUCAAAAGUUGAAAAUCCUUAUUUUAGUUAGAAAUAAAUUGGUUUUCUAGGAAGAGAUUAUUGAUUGGAAACAAGAGCAAAAGAAAAAAGCAAACACCCCAUUCGAUUUUCAUUCAGUAUAAGAGUGAGAAAGAGAGACGCCAAGGUGGUUCUCGAAUAUUUUGUUCUUUUUUGUCUCGCUCACUGGGGUAAAUACUUCAUCAUUUAAUGUUAUAAUUUAAAAUAAUUGAUGAAAAAGAAUUUUAUUCAAUCCCAAUCCCAAUCCCACAUUGUCUGUAGAAGUAUUUACUUUUGACUGUACACUUUGUUAUUUUCCAAUCCCUCCCCAGUUCUGCAACCAUUUCUCUACUUUCUAUGCUCUUGGCUUGCUAAAAACUAAAGAAAACACAUUGCUCUAGUUGCCUGCCUUCACUCUUCAGAUUGCUCAACAAAUCCCUUGAGACCUUCUCCAUAGUUAACACAUCACAUAAUGGCUACUCUAAAAAAUUUAGCCAUAAACAUUGAACACCUUAAGCAAUCAACGUGCCUUCCUUCACAAUAUGCAUCACCCAUAAAUCUUUCUUUUGGGAUGUCGCCGGGAGUUUAAAUUUCCGAGUGUAAAAAU
RNAcentral lists this long non-coding RNA (102775 nucleotides) under Populus trichocarpa (black cottonwood). Its description in RNAcentral is "long non-coding RNA (PTRI_LNC004308)". The record is from RNAcentral. Lineage: Eukaryota; Viridiplantae; Streptophyta; Magnoliopsida; Malpighiales; Salicaceae.